CUUAAAUGAAUUCAGUUAACCUCUCUCUGGAGAUAACAAUACUUCCUGCCUCAUAGAGUGGCUGUGAUGAACAGUUUAAAUGGAUAAUUCAUUUUUAUUUUAUUUUUAAAAUUUUUUUAAUGUUUGUUUAUUUUUGAAGGAGAGAGACAGAGCAUGAGCGGGAGGGAAGAGCAGAGAGAGAGAGAGACACACACAGAAUCCGAAACAGGCUCCAGGCUCCGAGCUGUCAGCACAGAGUCUGGUGUGGGGCUCGAACUCACAAACUGUGAGAUCAUGACCUGAGCUGAAGUUGGAUGCUUAACCGACUGAGCCACCCGGGCAUCCCUGGAUAAUUCAUUUUUAAAUGCCUGUCUCAGUGCCUGGCUAGUUCAAAAUGGUUGGAUAGUUGGAGGGUUGGAUAGAUACCCAGACCUCACAUAGUUCAAGAUGGAAGUCAUUGGUGGCUUUAACAAGAGCAGUUUUAGGUCAGCAGUGGGGACAAAGGCCUGAUUAGAACGGGUUCAAGUGAGGAUGGGAGGAAAGAAUUGGAGACUGCAGAUAUAGUCAGCUCUUUUGAGUAUUCCUAUAAAAUUGGAUUGGAGAAAUGGGAGUUUAUUCAUUGGAAUGUGGGGUCAAGAGAGAGGUCUUUUUCUGUCUCCCUUUCAGACUGUUUAUAUGUUGAAGGGAGUCAUCCCUUGUAGAGGGGACCAUUGAUGAUACAGUUGGAUUUAGGAUUGUGAGGUGUUUUGGCCAUAGAUAACAAGUUGACUCCGCUAACCAGAAUGUCCUUUGUCUCCUUACUUUCUCCUUCUCAGUCUUUUAUUCGUUCGUUCACCAGAUAUUUAGUGAAGGCUCACAAGGUGGCAAGGACCGUGCCAGGUGCUGGGUAAAGACUGAAGAUGAAGGGGUGAAUCCUGAAGAUUUUACUGUCUGGUGGAGAUGGGCUUUCCAAAAGCACACAAAUAAGUCAAUACAGAUUUUGAUGAACACUCUGUAGGAAAAGUACGAGUCCUUUUUGGGAGAGAAUACCAUGGGGUAACUUAGGUUGGGGGCAUUAGGAGACUCUGCGACUUGAAGCGUGGCCACGACCGAGAAAAGCAUUCUGAGCCAAAGGAACAGAGCAGGCAGAGGCCCUGGGGCAGGGAAGGCCUGCUGCUUUUGAGGAUUUGAGAGGUUGGAAGGGACCAGGUCUCCCUGUUAAGGUUUUGGAUUAUGUCCAAGGAGCAGUGGGAGCCAUUGAAAAGUUUUAAGUCGGGAAGUGACACGAUGAGGUUUGCAUUGGGCAAGAAAAUCCCCUGUGGGGCUGUGUGUCAAGGUGAAUGGACUGGAGGGGGUAAGAGUGCAAGAAGGGAUACCAGUUUAGGCCAAAAGAUAGUAUCUGUGAAAAUCUUUAGACCUAAAUACUGAACAGUUGUGGUGUGAAAUGAACAGAAUUGAGAAUAUCCUCUGGCAGAAUUUUCUUUGAGCAGAAUUAGCAGCUGUGAAGAGAGCAUUUCUUGUUAAAAAUAAUAUCAACACAGGAGAGUCAGACAAUGUCAGUGAUUUCAGGUUAUUUAACAUAAAAUGAAACUUUGAAAAAGACUUUGGCAACGGUGAACGAUUGAGAAAUAAUACCAUGUCAGCCUUUUUUCUUAGCAACAGUACCAGUGACACGGUAUGAGAGAUAGACUCUAUUAAGUAAACAGAUUGAAGGACAUGCAUAUGUACCAAGAAUGAUUAAUCUGCCUGUGGUAUUUUAAGCGUUCAUGUAAUGUAAAUAAGCCUUUAAUUUUUUGCUUUAAUGUGGUGGAUGUAAAUUAUUUUUAUUUUUUUUGGAAUAUAAACCAAUAUAAUAAAGACCAUUUAUUAGUUAAUAAAUAAAUAUUUCCAAAGUUCCUCUUUUCACUCUCAGAAGUGUCUUAGUUUUGCACCAUGAUUAUAGAAUGAGGAUCUACCGGUUGAAGGGUCGGGCCGGUAAAAGGGUGACCAGGUGAUAGUCCAGGAUGCAUGCAUUAUUAAACUGAGUUAGGUUUCUCCCCAGAGAGAGUUCUUAAAACAGAGGGUGGUUAGAACGCAAAGUAUUGCUCUCUCUGCUCACCCACAAUUCCAGGGCCAUGAAUUAACGUGUUCUGAGCCCUCACUUAAAGAGAAAAGAAAGAAAAGAAGCAAGUUAUUUCCUAUCUAGACAAGACACUCACAAGAAUUCUCUCUUGGUUGUAACUCCAUUUUUUUAUUUUCCUCACACAGGCAUUUUAUUAAUGCCUUUGAAGGUUAGAAGAUAUUUUACCUUCUGGAGUUUCUCUGACUCACCGAUGAUCUCAGCUCAAACCUGCCAGUUCAGGGGAGAUGAUCGAUAACACCCUCAGAUGAUCGACAUCUGAGUAAGUAGAUACUGCUGUGUAUUGUGUUUAACUGCUUUAAAAAAAAUUAAAUUUUGUAACUUUAAAGGCUUAAAGUAUUAUGCAUUUUAAUGGGGUUCUUUAAAUUUUGUUGUUGAAUAAUGAUGGCAAUUAUUGUAAUUCCUAUAAGUGAAUAUUUAUAAAUAAUGGGUUUCCAGAAGUUAAUCCCCUAAUGAUAAAAAAAAGUUAGUGAAAACAUUUUCCGUGCAUAAUACUUUACCUUUUAAGAAACAUAUUGAAGACCUAAAUGCAUAUAUUAAAAAUUUAAAAGCAUUCUCCUUAGUGCUUUAUUUUACUUUCAUAUUAAGAAAUGCAAAAUUAUUAGUAAGACUGUUAACUGUAAAUGAAUUUUAAAAAUGCAAUUAUAUUCUUACAGAAAUUGUCUUUUAACAUAGAAUGUAUUUUGGUUAACUUGAAAUAAAUACUGGUUUGUUUUGUGGAAGUAGAAUUUUAAUAGCUCUUUCUAUUUGAAAAUAAUGAUGUUUUUUCCUGCUAACGUAGACAAGAACAUAGAAUCUCUCUGUAUUUAACUUUCGUUUUUAAUUGAGGAGACUAAGAAAGAAGAGCAUGCAUGCUUUCUAAUCAAAACAUCUGAAUGAAAUGUAAAGAGUUCGGCCAGUAGUCUUGACAUAAAUUAUUUCUCAGAAUGAAAGCUGUUAUUCGUCUUGUUAUAUCAUUUGAAACUGUUUUAACAAAACUAGGAAACCAUGAGGUUGUCCCAUGGUCUUGUUUUGGAAUGUGAAGUUCAAAACAAUUAAUAAAUAUACAAGAUGUUCCCCUCUUCGAUGGGGUUAUUUAAAUUAGGUCUAUGUCUGUGCUGUCCCAUAUGGUAGCCACUGGCCACAUGUAGCUACUGACAUUUAAAAUGUGGCUAGCCCCAACGGAGAUGUGUUAUGCAUAAAAUACACACCACAUUGCAAAGACUUAGUCUGAAAAAAAGGCUGUGAAAUAUUUUAUUAAUAAUUUUGUAUGAAUCACAUGUUGGAAUAAUAGUUGUUCAGAUCUGUUGGGUUAAGUAAGCCACUUAAUGUUUUCUUUUACUUUCCUAUGUGACUGAUUGCUAGAAAAUUCUAAAUUACUUGUGGAUUACGUUAUAUUUCCAAAGGGCAGAGGUAGCCCGUGUCAUCGUAUAUGAUUAACAAUUCUUAGUUACCCAUUAUGCGGUAUUCUUUAGGCUUGAACCUUCUGGUGUGUGCAUGGAUAAAUGAAUAUAAAUCUGUAUUCUUUUUAGAAUAGGAUUCUUUGAUUUAUCAGAUAUUUAUUAGUGCUUACAUGUGCCAGACAGUAGUCUAGGCACUGGUGAUACAGUCGGGAACAAAAUAAAACUUGCUGCCUUCAUGGAGUUAACUUUCUCAUAGAGACUAAAAACAGGCUAAGAUAAGUAAGAAAAAAAUACAUAAUCUGUUAGAGAGCCAUAAGUGCUUUCAAGGAAAGCCUCACUGCACGGGUGAUGUUCGAGCAAAGAGUUGAGGAAGGUGAGAGAAAGACCCUCCGGAUAUUUGGGGCAGAGCGGUCCAGGCAGAAGGAAUAGCAACACAAAGACGUCGUGGCAGGAGCUCUCCUGUUUGUUGGCAUGGGGAAAGGAGGCGUGGUGAUGGUUUGGAGAGAGUGAGGACGAGAUGAAAGGGAGUGCGUGGGCACAUCAGGCGAACACUUGCAAGGAUUUUGGCUUCGAGUAAGGUGGAAAGCAGUCGGUGGGUUUCGAGAUGAGAAGUGACAGGAUCUUUCUGUGGAAGCUGUUUUGACAAAAUGCUCGGGGGUGAGGGUGGGAGCGUUCGCAAGAGUGGAAGCAGAGAGCCCCGGUUCAGGGCUACCGCAGUGACCCAGGCGAGAGAGCCCAUAAACGAGGAGAGUGACGAGAAGUGGUGGAAUUAAUUAAUUACCCAUUACUGUGGACUUAUGUGGAAAGAGAGAGAAAGAGAUAUGUCAAGCUGUUCCACCUUAACAGCUGAGGAAUGGAGUGGAGUUGCCUUUGGUUGAGAUCGGGAGGAACAGAUUGACGGGGAGGGGGUGCUUAGUUUGCGACACAUUAACUCUGGGAAGCCUCUGUAGACAUCUAAGUGGAAAGGUCAGGUAGGCAGAGCCUGGAGUUCAACGAGAGGUCGGGGCUGAAGAGGCAAAUCGGAAAUCAUAAGCAAUUAUCAUUACUUAAAGCCCAAAGAAGAGUUGAAGCCACCGAGGCGGUGAGCACAGAUGGAAAAGAGGAGAGGAAACAGACCGUAAUUCCGUAGCAUCAUCCACACUCAAAGAUGCCCAUCGGACGAUGUUACUGAAUUAGUUUUCUCAGGUGUGGCAAUGAUGCUGGAGUUACAUAGGAGGUGUUCUUAUUUCUGGAAGAUGCAUACUUAGCUAUUUAGGAGUGAAAUGUCCUACAUCUAUUUUCCCCUUUCGGAUGGUCUGGCAGAAAGGAAUUACAGAAAAAGGUGGAGGAAGCAUGGUGAAAUGUCAGCAGUAGGCCUUUAGUAGGUAUUCAGGCAUGACUACCCGAGUACUUUCAACUUUUCUGUAAGUUCAAAAGUUUCUUUACAAGUGCCUCCGAAGAGGGACAGAUGUGAGGAUGGUGGGCUGCCGUUUUUCAUAAGCCCUUGAUGAGUAUUUGACUCUAUAAACUGCAUACAUGUUUAAGUUUGAUAAGAAUAAAAAGCAAUAAAAUAAGUCAAAUCUAAUAAGGGGAAACAUUAUAAUCUUGAGUAAUGUUAUGUAAUAAUCAAGUCAGUUCUUUGGAAAUUAGUACUUUUUAAAUAUGGCCGUUGAGUCUUAGGACUGGAAUUUACCUUGGAGACCUCUCAGCCUGCCUCCUCUACCCUAGAGAUUAAUAAAGUGAGUUUCAGGGGAAUUAAGGGACUUGCACAAGGUCACAUGCCUGUGUAGCAGCAGAGCCAGGACUAGAAGCCGGAUCUUUGUACUGCUGUUCCAUUAGUUAAAAAAAAAGGAAGCAGAGAGGUCUAGGACCCAAACAAAGGACCACGGCAACAAUCAGAGCUCGGGAGUCUCAACAAGAAGCGUGAGGAAGAGACGGGAAGGUAGACAUUGGGAUAUUCAAGUCACCAAGGGGAGAAAGUGUCUCUGGAAGCAAGAAUAACCAGCACUGUCAAAUGCUCCUGAUGGGUUAGGUAAGACUCGAGCUGAAAAUCGAUCCUUGACUCUAGCACCGAGGAGGUUGUUAGUGACCUUGACAAGAGGAGGAGGUUUUAGUGAAGUCAGAGGGAAACAGAUUCGAGGGAAAGCUUGGAGGAAAUGCCUGGAAGAGGGUGAGUGGAGACCCUCUUCUGAGGAACUGUGGAGGCAAAAGGGAGUCAGGGUUUUGGUUUUGUAGACGAAAGAAAUUACCUCAUUUCUCCCAAUGUGUGCGUUAGGAGAGAUUUCAAGGUACUCUUCUAAAAUGAUCCACCAGAUUUGUGGCAUUUAAGACCAUCACCUUGUGUAUGUGUGUAUGGGUAGGGUUACUGUUUCCCUCCCAGAAGGAUUUCAUAGAACAGUGUUUGGUAGGGGGGGGGGGGAGUGUGUGUGUGUGUGUGUGUGUAGAGGUUGGCAUUGUGUUAAAGGUUGCUUUUAUAAUUGUUACAGAUUUGACUUCAUUUCUUCUUGCUCAGGGUCUGUAUUCUCAUAGCUAUAAUUAAAAUUUUUAAGGAAAUAAAUGCUGAGCCUAUUCUCAACUGAAAGUGUUGAGAAGGCUAUUGCUUGGGGGCGGUAAUCUGUUUUCCUUGCCUUUAAAGAAGUUACCAAAAUGUUGGAAGAGAUGGCUGCAAAGACACGCCCAAGGUCACAAGACAAAAUGUCGCCAGCAUAACUGGAUCUUAGAUCUGAUUCACCUGCCACGUGGAAUACUUAACCCCUGUGUAUUUCACUUCCAACAGGUAUAAAAUGAGGAUAAGAUUUGCUCCACCUCCUGCAUGAGGUUUUCGUGUGUCAGCUACAAAGCCUUCUAUACACACGAGUCACAGUGCUAAAGGCAAGUUAGGCUUGAGGGUUUUCUGAAUAACUGGGGAGAAAAUGUGUUACAAAAUGUGGAUUGAGACGACUUACAACAAUACUAAUGGAAUCUGCAAGAGUUUGCUUUUGCCCCUGUCAGGCAUUGUUAAUAACACCACAAAAUCCGUCGUCUUUGGGCCCGUCAUAGAGUUUUGUGGUUAAGAGCCACGGCUGAGAUCCAAGCAGUCAAUCAAUUAAUCCCCUAGGAACUCAAAAUUACUGAACAACUGACUGUUCUAGUACUUUUAAUAUAAUGUUAGUUUGCUGGCACUGUGUGGCAGGGCUCUUAAAUGGAAAAUGACGCAGGCUAUGAUGAUAAAUUUUAUGUCAGACUCGGAAAGCAGUUCUGCAUUUGAUACUUGAAGUGGAAUUAUAGUCAUACUAUAUUUUUAAGAGGUUUACGUUAUGGGAGGUUGAGAGAUUAAAAAUGGAUAGAUAGCCAAGGUCACUCCCAUUAAUGAUGAUGUAAAGAGAUCGGGUGGUCCUUUCUUAAUAAAACAAGUAUAAAAUUGGACAAGAUUGACAAAAGCAAUAAUAAUUUCUGGCACUGGAGAUAGACUGGAAAGGCAGACAAUAAUCACACUGGAACGUUGGGUGACGAGUGGGAGUUCUGUGGCCUUUCUUGCCGGGGCCCCUCCCCCGCCUCUUAUCUCACUUGGUGAGAACUGCAGUUUUACCAGCGGGCACUUCUUACCAGAAGUGAUGGAUGCAGUUUGGUGGGGUUGGCAGUAAAAACCCACAGCUUUGCUGGUUAAAAGUGGCACACUCAGUUCAUAAUGGACAGGGAGAACCUACAGCUUUGCUACCUUGGUUUUGCAGUCUUGGGUUGGGGCCACCAGCCAGGAAUUUAACGGGGAGAUCCCUGAAAUGAGAGAGCCAUUAGGGCUGACAUCAGCUCUCCGCGCAGUCAUGGCUGAGGGCUGAACUUUGCAUGCCUUAGGGGAUAGAGACUCAAGACAGCCCAGCAAAAAGCGAAAGUCAGGGAGUUCCUUGAGAGUUGGAGACAACUUCGAAUGCUUUUCAACCCACAUAUAGCUUCCUCAGUGGAGGGGGGAAGCCUUACAGGUACAAUGUAUUUGGGCACAGCCUCUCCCCAAAUCACCGUGGCCUGUGGCUAACCAGGACACUAUGAAGACACAGAGGUAGCCUGGAGGGAACCAGGCCAUAGAACAGAAAUAUGAAUUUAAAAAGUAAGUAGGGGUGCCUGGCUGGCUCAGUCGGUGGAGCGUGCGACUCUUGAUCUCAGGGUUGCGAGUUCGAGCCCCACGUUGGGUGUAGAGAUUACUUCAAGACAAAGCAAAACAAAAAACUAAGACAACAGGGGCCACAUUCAUGGAAGAGGCAGAUUCUGCCGUAGAAGUACAAGCAGAUUUCUAAGAGGACCGCCACCCCUUGGAAAACUGAGGUCUGUCAGCUGAUAAGUGGAUGACUAAAACAUGGUGUAUUCAUAUAGUGGAAUACCAUUAGGCAGUAAAAAGGAAUGGUGUACUGACACAGGCUAUAAUGUGGGUGAACCUUAAAAACAUUAUACUAAGUGAAAGAAGAUAGCUCCAUUUAUAUGAAAUGUCAAGAAUAGAGAAAUCCAUUCAUAAUAGCAUCAAAAAGACCAAAAUACAUAUAAAUGAAUUCAGUGAGAGUUUAAUCAAAGGUAGUAAGUAUACCCAAAUAGGGAGGAACAUAUUGCCAUGUUUAUAGGUUGGAAGACUUAAUAUAGUUAAUGUGGCAGUUUCCCCCAAAUUAAUCUAUAGGUUCAACAACGUUGUCAAAAUCUCAGAAAGGAUUUUUAGAGAAGUAUCUAUAGAGAAAACAGAGUCUAAAAUUCUUAUGGAAAUGCAGAGAAUCUAGAAUAAUCAAAGUGACUUUAAAAAAGAAGUAAGUUGGGGGAUGUGUAGUACCUGGUUUCACAACCUACCGUAAAGCUACAGAAGCAAAGACUUUGGUAUUUGCAUAGGGAUAGACAUAUAGAUCAGUGGAACAGAAUGUCUAGAAAUAGUUGUAUUUCCUGUGUGGUCCACUGCUUUUCAACAGAGGUACUGAUGUCAUUCAGUAGGGACACCAUGGUCUUCUCAGGAAACAGUACUGCCACAAUUGGAUACCCAUGUGAACUAAAAUGUGCUUGACUUUUACUUUACAACACACACAAAAAUAAACUUGAAAUGGAUCAUAGGAAAUAUAAAGAAGGAAACAUAGCAGGAGGUUUUCUUGUCUUGAGUUAGAGACUUAGUAAAUAAGAUCUAAAAAGCAUGAGGUAUAUAAAAGAAAAAAUGAUAAACUGGACUUCAUCAAAAUUGCAGUUUUCUUUUCAGAAGACACCACUGUUAAGAAAAUGAAAAGGCAGGCCACAUAUUGGGAGAAAAUAUUUAUAAAACAGAUAAUCUGAUAAAGGAUUUGUGUCUUGAAAAUGUAUAAAGAGCUCUCUUAAAACUCAAUCAUAAGAGAGUAACCUAAUUUAAAAAUGUGCAAAAGAUUUGGAUAGACAUUUUACCAGAGAAGGUACAUGAAUGGUAGGUAAAUGCACACAUGAAGAGAUUUUCAAUAUCAUUAAUCAUUAGGGAAACGCAAAUUCAAGCCGUAAGAUACUGCUGUGCACCCACUCUACUGGCUAAAACUAAAAAAGACGGACAGUCCAUGUGUUGGCAAGGAUGUAAAAACAAACAAACACAAAAAAACCCAGAAUACUCACACAUUGGUAGUGGGAAUAUAAAAUGGUACAGCCAUUGUUGGAAAACGUUUGUUAAAAAGUUCAGCAUACACUUAACAUAUGACCCAGCAAUUCUGUCCCUAGGUAGGCCAUCAGGAGAAGUAACAGCAUAUAUCUAGACAAAAACUUAUAUACAGUGUUCAUAACAGCUUUAUCUAUGGUUGUCAAAAAUUAGAAAUUGUGUAAAUGCCCAUCAGCAGAUGGGUGGAUAAGCAAAUUGUUACACAGUAAAGGAAAGCAAUGGACUGCUGAUAUAUACAACAGCAUGUAUGAAUCUCAAAGUGAUUAUACUGCAUGAAAAAAGCUGGCACUCCCCCCUCCCCACCCCAGAGUAACAAUACAGUCUGAUUCCAUUUAGGUGAAAUUAUACAAAAUGCAAACUAACUGAUUGUGACAGAGCAGAUCAUUGGUUGCCUGAGGAUGGCUUAGGGGAGGAGGGAGAAACGGAUUCUCAAGGGAGGGGUACAGUGAAGCAUUGGGGUGAUUAUAGAUUCAUUAUCUUGAUUAUGCAUGAUAGUUUCAUGGGUGUGCACAUAUGUAAAAGUUCAUCAAAUUGCAUAUUUUAAACAUGUGCAAUUUAUUAUAUAGGAGUCCUACCCCAAUUAGGUUAUAAAAAUUGUGCCCAUUCAAAAAGCAAGCAGAUGUUCAUAGCAGCAUUAUUUGCGAUAGAUAAAAACUAAAAACAAUCCAGUUUGUCAACUGGUGAAUAGAUGAGGAAAAUGGUCAUACAGUGGAGUAUUAUUUAGCCACGAAAAAGAAGGAAACACUAGUUCACACUACUGAUAGAUGCUACAACACGGAUAAACCUCAAAAACAUUGUGGCAGCUGAAUGAAAUCAGAAACCGAGAACUGUGUAUUGUAUGAUACCAUUCAUAUGAAAAUUUCAGAAAAGGCAAAGCCAUGGGUAGAUCCGUGGUUGUCUGGGGCCAGAGGUGGGAGCCGAGACUAGCCAUAAACAGGUACAAGGGAACUGUUGUGUCAGUGGAACUAUUCUUGGUGAUAGUUGUGCUGCAGUUGAAUAAAUUUACAAAGCAUGUCUAACUGUACCCUUAAAAUGGAUGACUUCCGUGGCCUGUAGAUUAUACCUUAAUAAAGCCAUUAAAAGGUGAUUAACCACUCAACAUUUUAAAUUCUCUUUAAGAUGACCAUUCAAGAAAUUGGACUAGAUUGCUGAUUUCAUUGUUAUCUAUUGCUUUGGCAUACUUUGGUGAGACCAAUUAAACUGAUGUUCUAUGCCAAGUACUUUUUGAGAUUCUAAUUGUAAAACAGAAAUCAUUAUUAGUUGUCUUUCAUGGAAUUUAGUGGCUACUAACCACUGUUUUUCCCUUGCACAUGAACACUGAUUUUAUGUUUAAUAAUUGUUACCCCCCCCUCCCCCGCCGCUGGAAGAAAUGGUGGCUUCUUAGAUUAAUAUUCUGUUCGUGUAAAGCAGUUCCAACAUGUGGAGGGUAGGUUAUCAGGAAGGAAUUUGAUGAUGGAGUAAUACUUUUGCAUUUAAAAUUUUUUAAUGUUUAUCGAUUUUGAGAAAGAGCGAGCGCAUGCACGUGGGAAGGGCAGCGGGAGAGGGAGCAGCCUCCACGCCCAGUAUGGAGCCCAGUGAGGGCCUGGAUGUCAAGACUGUGACAUCCUGACCUGAGUUGAUAUCAAGAGUUGGAUGCUCAACCGACUGAGCCCCCAGGAGCCCCCCACCUUUGCAGGUUUUAGAUAGAGAAAAGCACACCUUUCUAGGUGUUGGGUGUCCACCCACGUGUCUCCAGCCCCAUGUUUGUGGAGAUGUCAGGUAAUCUGGGCAUGAGAUCCUUUGGGUGUGGGGAUGGGGAAACUGCAAACAAGAGAAUUCCUUCCAGAGCCCUUUUUUGGCUGGGUCUGGCCAUGUUCUGUACCAGACUAGGAGUCAGGAUCUCCGGGGUUAGUGACUUCAUGCCUGCCUUCACCUCCAUGUCUUCAUAUAUAAAAUUGGAAAUUGAGGUUUGCUUUUUUAGGUAAAAGUGAGUCUCUUUCUAUUAGAAAGUUGCCUAAUUUUGAUGAAAAAUCAAGAAUCCUGGAACAUUUUGCCCACGAUUCUGCCUCAUUCUAUGCAAAUUAGAGUAAUUUAUUUUGAAAACAACCAGAGUCAUUUGGUUUGACUGAACCAAAUGACUGAAAGUCGUUAAUUCAUUUUCCCAAAUAAAGUAAUUCUACUUUUCCCCGUUUUUCCUUCCCCCCAAACAAAUCCUUUAUUCAGCAAAGAUUUAUAGGCACUCUGAAGUUGAGAUAAACCUGCAAAAAUAACGGAAGCAUGGGGGUGGGGUAGGGGCUGAUAUCUAACCUGCCUUCAGUAGGGGUACGGGGGCUGUACAGAGAGGGGCUGGGAAAGCUCUGGGGAAGGGCAUGUGGAGAGCUGAGUUUUGAAGGGUAUAUAGGACUUGGCUGUUAUCCAGGUGGUGGGGACGGGGGGAGUUUGCUGGAGACUUGAAAGCUGUGGCAUUGGCUUUAAAGAAGAGAGAAGAGGGUGAAGAGCUUCGGUGAGUGGGGGUGACUUUUGACUUUGUGACUGGCAGAAUUUGAAGGAUUAAGGGAGAAAAGAAAGGAGUCAAGGGUAAGUUCAGCCUCAGCCUCAGCUGUCUUAAGCAAGUGGAGUCAAGAUAAGUUCAAGCUCAGCCGUCUUAAGCAAGUGGUGGUAUCAUUCAUUGACCUGGGAACAGAAGGCCCCCAAAAUUAGUUUUGCUUGUUGUUUUGGGAAGACAAGAAUUCACUUUGGAGGUUUUAUCAGAGGAGUGCAGCUAUUCGCACACACUCGAUUGAACCUAAAAGAUGAUGCUCUGACCCCUUGUCCAGCUUUGUCAGGACACCCAUGGAGCAUUAGGGACAAGAGUGAAAACUUGACAUGGUCUUGGUGGUCUGUGUUUGUGCAGCAUCACAGGCUGUCGAGUCUGUCACAUGUGCACAGGUAAAAUCCCCCUUGAAAAUGGCAGUCACAGAGUGCAGAAAUUCUGGCACAUGAAAACCUAUCACAUUUAAGAGUUUAGUAGUUCCUUUGGUUACUCUUUUCUCCCUGAUCUCUCCUCUCUGGAUUUUUAUCAUUUGUAAAGUAUAUACUUUGUACUUCUUUCCUAUAAAAAAGAUGAAAAUGGGUGAAGUUUAGAAAAGACCGCUCAACCUUUCACGUGCAUCAGGUCAUUUAGCUUUUAAAACAACCUGGUAAAGGAGGUACUUUUCAUCGUACUGGUUCACGAUAAAGAUUUAUAGUAAAGAUGUUUGGAAAUCAACAGGUUUAAAGUUUUUGACAUGCCAUUAGCACAAAAUAUAAAUUCUUAUUCAGGUCUGUUGACUUUAGCAUGUAAACAAGGGUGGCAAUUUAUUUUGGAAAUUCUAUUUAUUUCUGCCUUGUCCUUCUUUUGAAAGCACUUUGGUAACAAGUAGAUUCAUGAUCCAUAAAAUAAUACCCUACUUUAUACUUUCUGAGAAUAUUUUCUAAGAAUCAUUUGGAAAAUAACUUUCUCAUGAAAACGUUUGCCAGUUAUUUACUUUUCUUUUUUUUUUUAAUAAUCACGAAUAUAUGUUAAACCAAAGAUGCUAUGUAAGCAGUUGCUUUAAAACUACAUCAAAACAGAAGUUAAAAUUAGGUUCUACCUAUGGCUUCAGAUUUAUCUUUUAGUAAUAUGUGGUCAGAUCUUGCUUUAAAUGUAUUCUUGAUUGAAAUACCUUGAGGAAGUAAGUUGGUGGACCUCAGGCUGUUCCCUUGUCUAUAAGAUGAAGACCAGGAAAUACCUGCUCCAGUGAUGUAAAAAUAACUUCUUGGGUUUAGUUUAAGUGUGUGUACACAGGCGGUUCCCUUUUGUACCACAAGAGGGAGUGCCUGCGUUGUCGCUAACCUGAGCUGAGCUCUGAAGUCCUUUCUAAAAUGUGGUUGCAAAGUUCCAAAUGAGUGGAUUGCUGGGAAAAUGAGAAGGGAAAAGAUUGUUUUGACAGUGUCACGGGAAGGAGGUACUCAAAACACAGUUAUGAAAAGGAAGGGAUUGAAUUUUAAGAUACGAAGGCUUUUGCUGACAUACAUCAUUACAGAUUUCCAUUCCCAGUCAACAACCCUUCUUCUUUGCUUGUAUCCUCCGAGAAUUUUGAUUUAUUUUGUUUUCUUCCUUCUUUGCAACUGUAUCUAUAAAUCUUUUGUAUCAAACAAAUACAGAACCCAAAGUUUAGUUUCUCAGUAGUGGUCCUGAACAAUGAAUAUUGGUUAAAGAUAAAUUGGAUUGUUUAUGCUCUAAGCCUUCGACAUGUACAACAUCUGUUUGUUUGCCUUAAAUUGGCAAAUCAGAAAGAUUUGAACGUUUUCAUCCUGCCUUUCUCCCUUCAUACUUUUUUUUCUUUGUUCAUGCUUCUGAAUUCUUUUAUGUGAUGUUUUCCUGUCAUACAUAGCUCAGAAGAUUGGGUGUGGACAAGGAAAAACAUUGUUCUGUGGGUGAACCCCUAGGGACAUGGAAGUAAUUAUAUUAUACAGUGAAAUUUAAAAAUUUGAGACCAAGAUCAAAGCCAAACAAAAAAAGUGAAUUUGGCAAUUGUGGAAUUAUUCCAGUAAAUUUGGGUUAAUAAUUCAGUUUUAUCUCAGCUGUGUGAAUAUUUCAUGUCAAUGUUGGUUUUUUAAUUUAAAUCAUCCCUUUAUGAUAUAAAGAUAAUCCCUUUAUUUUGCUAAUGUUUGUAUUAUAAAUACAAAAGUCAUGAGCCCAUCGUGUUUUAUGUAACGGUAAUUAUACUGUUAACGCUUUUUGUAUUAGAAAAUUUUCUGAAUUUAGAAAAACAACAAUCCCAGGCAUCUGGGAUUAUUACUCUGAACCUUGCUUUUAGAAGAUUUCUCUGGAGCUUGUUUCUAGUAAUAAAUUUGUCCAAGUUUGGGGUCAGACUGUUCUGGUUCAAGUAUGGAACCACUGUGUUUGAAACUUGACAAAAGCACACUUAUCCCUAUAAUUUCAUUUUCACUUGUUUGAAAUCUGGUAAUUUCUUGAGCAGGAAAAACAGAAGUGGAAUUACUAUAGAAAUUAUGCCCAUUUUAUCUGUAUAGCAGCCAGUUUAAAAAACGAUCAUUGCUGGGACCCUGUAAAGAGUUAUAAAACUUAUAAAUACCUUUGAGAUUGCAACAUUCAAAAGAGAAAACAUGAAAGGAAAAACUCUGUAGCUCUAUUUUCUUUGCUUCUACUGCAAAAUUUGUUCUUGUUUCCAAAUGUGGGCACACCCAUGGUAAUCUGUUGUUCACAUGGAUGUCAUCCGUCUUGUUUUGGUAAAAAGAAGGUAGAGAACAGUUGAGACAGGGGCAAGCUGUUCCUUUUAUUAAAAAAAUGUUUUUUAAGUUUAUUUAUUUUGGGAGAGAGAGAAAAAAAAAUGAGUGCACGUGAACAGGGAAGGAAGGGAAGAGAGAGAAUCCCAAGCAGGCUCCGUGUUGUGAGCGCAGAGCCCAGUGCAGGGCUCGAUCCCACGACCGUGAGAUCAUGACCUGAGCCGAAAUCGAGUCGGAUGCUUAACUGACUGAGCCAUCUGUUCCUUUUCUUUUAAAGUUACUUUAAAAAUUAAAGAAUAUUUCAGGCAUAGGAAGGAAGUAUAAGGAAUAUUAAAGAAUUGAAGUGUUAUGUGUUAUGUAGUUAUUAAAACAUGGUAUGUAUCGUUCCAUAAGCCUGACCCUCUUCCUGCCUUACAGAGGUGUAAUGUCCUGAAUUUGGUGUUUAUCAUUCUCAUGCAUAUUUUUACACUUUUCUAAGUACAGAUUUAUUCCUAAACCUAAAUAGAAGGUACGUGAUUUUUACCCUUUUAACCAGUUUCUGAAUGUACAUUAUUGUUAACCGUAGGCACAGUGUUGGACAGCGUAUCUCUAGGAAUUUUCCAUCUGGCACUACUGAAACUUUCUAUACACUGAACAGCAAUCCCUCAUUUCCCCUAAAAACCAUCUUUCUCCUUUGAGCUUUUAUGAGUUUGACUGUUUCGGAUACCUCAUAUAAAUGGAAAUCAUGCAGUAUUUAUCCUUCUGUGACAGGCUUGUGUCACUUGGUGUGAUGGCCUCAGGGUCCUUCCGUGUUGUCACGUACAGCAAGAUUUCCACCUUUUUAAAGGCUGAUUAAUACUCCCUUGUUUGUAUGUGUCACAUUUUCUUUCAUUCAUCUGUUGAUGGACAUUGAGGUUGUUUCCACCUCUUUGCUGUUGUGACUAAUGCUGCAGUAAACGUGCAAGUGCAAAUAUCUCUUUGAGAUCCUGGUGUCCUAUGUUUUAGAUAAAUAUCCAGAGGUGGAAUUGUUGGAUCAUAUUAUAGUUCUAUUUUUAAUAUUUUAAGGAGCUUCCAUACUGUUUUCUGUAGUAGCUGAACCAUUUUAAAUUCCCAUCAGCAGUGCACAAAGGCCUCUAUUUCUUCACAUCCUUGCCAGCUUUUGUUACUUUUUUUUGUGUUUCUUUUUUUAAAGAUUUUUUUUUAAUUUUCUAAUUUUUUAAAAGUAAUCUCUCCACUCAACAUGGAGCUUGAACUCGCAACCCUGAGAUCAGCAAUUGCACAUUCUGCUGACUGAGCCAGCCGGGUGCCUGUUGUUUUUGUUUUUGUUUUUGUUUUUGUUUUGUUUAUAAUAGCCAUUCUAACAGGUGCGGGGUGAUAACCUCAUGGUUUUAUUUGCAUUUUCCUGAUGAUUGGUGAUGCUCAGCAUCUUUUUAUAAUACCUGUUGCCCGUUUGUAUGUCCUUUUUGGAAAAAUGUCUAUUCAAGUCCUUUGUGCAUUUUUUAAUCGUGUUCAUCUGUCUAUCUUUAUCUAUUUUUGCUGUUGAGUUGUAGAGGUCCCUAUAUAUUAUGGAUAUUAAUUCCUUACCGGAUAUGUGGCUUGCAAAUAUUUCCUUCCAUUCUCUAGGUUUCCUUUCACUUUGUGGAUUGUUUCCUUUGCUGUGCAAAAUCUUUUUAGUUUGGUGUAGUCCCACGUGUCUGUUUUUGCUUUUGUUGCAAGACCAGGGUCAUGAAGCUUUUCCCCAUUUUUUUUUUUUUUGGCACUAGAACCGUUUUAAUAUAUGAUACGUAUCUGCCAGAGAAGAGGUUUAUGCGUGUACAACUUUAUCAGUUAACAUCUGCAAGCAUACAUGACAGUGAUCUCAAUUUAUAAAUUCAUCAGGGUCAGAGCAAUGGACCAGUGUCUCUUUACUGCCCUGCUUACCAGCUGUAAAUUACAGAUGCAUUAGUGUCCUUUUGUUGCUCUUCUUUGACUCUCCUUGUCCAGAGACAUUUUGUUGUCAAGUUUCAGUGCAGCUCACCUCCAGCCAAAGGUAAUCUUUUUAGAUAAGUGCUCAGUUGCUACGAAUUUUGCUUAUAAUUAUAACCUAUUUAAUCACAGAAGAAGCUCUGCAGACGUGAAGUUCAAGGUUGCAUACGAUAACAGAUCACAGUUUUGAAGUCGAGCACAGAUUAAAAACCACAGAUGUACCACUUAUGUAAGACACACACCAGUCAUCUUUUAAGCUGCACAGUGACUCCGUAUGAACAUUAUUUUUUUUUAAGUUUAUUUAUUUAUUUUGAGAGAGAUGGAGAGGGAGAGAAUCCCAAGCAGGCUCCACACUGUUAGUGAGGAGUCCUAUGUGGGGCUCUAACUCCCGAACUGUGAGAGUAUGACCUGAGCUGAAGUCGGAUGCUUAACUGACUGAGCCUCUCAGGCGCCCCUUUGUGAACAUUAUGUUUUAUUUUUUGUGUAUUUUUUUAUUAUUUUUUUAAUGUUUAUUUACUUUUGAGAGAGAGGGACACAGAGCGUGAGCGGGGGAGGGUCAGAGAGAGAGGGAGACACAGAAUGUAAAGCAGGCUCCAGGUUCUGAGUUGUCAGCACAGAGCCCGUGCAGGGCUCGAACUCACAAACUGCGAGAUCAUGACCUGAGCUGAAGUUGGAUGCUUAACGGACUGAGCCACACAGGCUCCCCUUUAUGAACAUUAUUAUUAUUAUUAUUAUUAUUAUUAUUAUUUUUAAAGUGCAUCUAUGACAAUCAGUCACACAAAGUUUUUCAGUGCCAAGUACCAGUUGGUCAUGAAACGUGAGUGAGCUUGAGGCACUGUCCAUUCCUAAGGUUCAGCCAGAGAUUGGCCAGAACAUUGGAACACCUCUGCUUAGGAAGGCUGUUUCCCUCCCUCCUUUCCCUCACCUUUUCGUUUGGUGUUUGGCUGCACAUGGCUGGAAUGCUUUUGAUUGUUUUGCAAAUCAGGAGAACCAGUGAUCUAAAACUAUGCCAGGAUCCUAAGUAGUCCUGUCUGUCCAUUUCAGGCUGCUGGUUGGUAGGUCCCUCUCAGGGCCUUCAUUCCUCCUCCUGUGACUCCCAGAACGUUGAUCAGAAGGUCAGAGCAUCAUCACCUCUAACUCUUUGAACUAAUGCCUGGCUGACACUGGAACGUGCAGCCUGGUCUCUUUGAAAAUCACUCACAAAAAGAGCUUCUGCAGGGCUUCAUAAAACCUGGAAUUGCUAUGAAGAUGUCUGAUCUUUAUAAUCCAGGCAGUGAGCAUUGAAGGGAAGCUUCCAAGAGGCAGUUGGGUGCUUACAAUCCAAGCAAUCAGUGGUUGAAUUAAAACGCAAGCUUGAAGCUCCAUAACCCUGGGUGGAAAGAGAAGCUAAGGACGGGUUGAGAUAGCUGGUGGCUGCACCGGUACCCAUAGGGCUGAGUGUGUCCCCCGGUCCAGGAAGCUGGUGACACAUGGGGGUCAGGUAACAUCCUUGGCCCGUGCCCCCAAGUAGGAAGCUGAGCAGCAUAUCCUUGACCGUCAUCUGAAGCCUGUGUAUGGAUCACAGGAUAGGACCUGUGUAUGCAGGAAGAGGAGGGGGACAAGGAAUACGACAGUGGGGAGACAGAAUCUGGAGUCCAGAUAGACUCGAGAGCACUGCUUCUGGAAAUGGUGGGCACUGAGGUGCUAGAGAAGGGAGCGAAUUGGCCGCUUGUUCCACUCUGUGAACUCGGUUCCUGAUCUGGAGAUUUCUUCAUUUUGGCUUUGUUUGACUUGGUUUUGACCUCCCUUCUGUUGUUGCUGCUGCUACUGGCAGCACUUAGCCCAUUGAUUCUUAAGCCUGGUUCUUUUUCCUGGACCUGGACAAGCUGAUUUUCAGCACCACCUCCACGGCAUGAAGAUGUCAGGGUACCAGGUCUUAGCAGACAGCACUUCGAGCGUGUCUGGCUGCACCUGGGUGAACGUUGUCCUCUCCUGACUCUGUUUGGGUGGUGGGGGGUGGCCAGGUGGCCCACUGAGGGGCGCAGCAGGUACAUGCCCGAGGUGGUCAGACUCAGCCCAUUGACUGUGUAAGGCGGUUGCUUAAGAUACCCUGCUAACGUUUGGGCGUGCAACGUGCAGUGUUUGGAAGUACCCUCUCAAUUGGGGGUACCCAGCUAGAAGGUCUGUCUUCUCCUGGGGUGGGCAGGUUCUGGGUCCUUGGUAGGUGGGUUUGCAGUGAUGGAGCUAAGGGCAAGGCAGACAGACAGAGGUGCUGUUCUGUAGGCAUCCUCUUCCUAUGUUUUCUUCUAGAAGUCGUCCAGCUUCAGGCCUUAGGAUUCAGUCUCUAACCCACUUUGAGUUGACUUCUGCAUGUGGUGUGAGAUCAGGGUCCAGUUUCAUUCCUUUGCAUGAGGAUAGCCAGUUUUUCUGAUUAUUUAUUGAAGACAUUAUCCUUUCCCUUUUGUGUCCUCUUCCUCCUGGCACUCUUAUUGAAGAUCACUUGCGGGGUGUACGUGUGGGUGUAUUUUUGGGCUCCCUCUUUGGUUCCAUUCGUCUCUCCAUGUCGGUCUUUACGCCAGGACCAGUUUGAGAAGAAUUCACUUUAGUGCCUUUUAAAAUAUUUGGUAGAAUUCACCAGGGAAGCUGUUGGUCCCGUGCUUUUCUUUGUUGGGGCGCCUUGGAUUACUGAUUGAACUUCCUUACUAGUUAGAGAUCUGUUCAAAUUUUCUGUUUCUUCUUAAUUUGGUCUCUGCAGGUUGUGUAUUUCUAGGAUUUUUUUCCAUUUCUUUUCCAUUUCCAUUUUUUUCCAUUUUCCAGUUUGUUAACCUUGUUUGAUCCUUUUAGUUUCUGUGGCAUCAGUUACAUUGUCUCUUCUUUCAUUGCUGAUUUUAUUUAUUUGAGCAUUCUUUUUUCUCUUAGUCUAGCUAAAGGCUUGCCAAUUCUGUUGCUCUUUUAAAAAAAAAACAAGUUUUAGCCUUUUUGUCCCCUAUUUGCUCUCUUUUUUAAUUUAUGCUCUAAUCUUUAUUCUUUCCUUCUUGCUGCUAACUUUAGACUUCAGUUUGCUCUUUUUCAAGUUCCUUGAGGUAUAAGGUUAGCUUAUUUAUUUGGGAAUCUUUCCUCUUUCUUAACGUGGGUGUUUAUCACCAGGAACUUCCCUCUCAGUAUUGCUUCUGUCAUAUCCCAGAAGUUUUAAUAUGUUGUGUUUUCAUUUUCGUUUUUUUUCCAAGAUAUUUUCUAACUUUCCUUUUGAUUUCGUCCGUGACCCAUUGGUUGUUCAAGAGCGUGUCAGUUAAUUUUCACAUGCUUGUGAGUUUUCCCAGUUUUCCUUCUGCUUUUGAUUUCUGGUUUCAUUCCACUGUGGUCAGAAAAUAUACUUGGUAUGAUUUCAGCCUUCCUAAAUUUGCUAUGGCGCAUGUUUUCAAACAAGAUAUAAAUUGUAUCUGUUGAAAGAAAGUAGAGUUCCAAGGAACGCAGACUCUGAGAAGCAGAUAAACACGCAGGAAGUUUACUAAGGAAGUUUUAGGAUUAACGCCCGCGAAAGAGACGGAAGCAGGACUGGGCAGAGAGAGAGACUGGGCUGCGGUGCAGUCACAAGGAAGCCCUCAGCCCAUCCCAAGGGGAGUGGAGAGGCGGGCUAGCCCUUCAGAAUUGCCCCAGCUCUGGGUGAGGGGUCAGGCACUGAGCUGCCCCUGGAGAGGGGACAUGACUUGGGCGAGGUGACCCUGCUCAGCUGAGAACUGUCAGCCUGCAGCACUCCCAGUGGCUGGGGGAGGAAGCCCUUCAGCGCUAAAGGAGACCUAGCGGCACAAAGAUCUCAGGGUUCGCCGCGGUGCAUGUUGUGUGUUCUGUUCUUGCCUUCUUGGCCCAAUACUAUUUUAUUUAAGGUUUGCUUAUUUUAUUUUGAGAAAGAGCGUGAGCAGGGGUGGAGCAGAGAGAGAGAGAGAGAAAGAGAGAAAGAAAUUCGAGCAGGUUUCACACUAAGCCAGAUGCAGGGCUCCAUGUCACAACCGGGAGAUUGUGACUUGAGUCGAAGUCAAGACUUGGCCGCUUAACCGACUGAGUUACCCAGGUGCCUCUCAAUUUUACGUUUUUUGAGAUUUGUUCAUAUUAAUGUCCGUAGCUGUAGUCACCCAUAUUAAUGGUCUUACAAUAUUCAGUUUUUUUCCUAAAUAUUUACUUAGUUUUGAGAGAGAGAGGGAGAGAGAUAGAGUCUGAGUGGGGGAGGGGUAGAGAGGGAGGGAGAGACAGAAGCAAGAAGCAGGUUCCAGGCUCCGAGCUGUCAGCACAGAGCCUGACGCGGGACUCGAAGCCAUGAACUUUGAGAUCAUGAUGUGAGCUGAAGUUGGAUGCUUAACUGACUGAGCCACCCAGGCGCCCCUACGGUAUUCAGUUUUAUAAAUAUGUCAUAAUUUUUAAAUAGAUUUCCCUGUUGACUGACAUUGAAGUUUUGCAGUGUUUCACUGUUAAAAAAAAAUGUGGCUAUGAACAUUUUUUAUAUAUCUCCUUAAUGUAUGUACUUAGUUCAUCAGGGUUAUGUAACCAGAAAAUUCCUGGGUCUUAGGAUAUGGACAACUUCAACUUUCAUAACUACACUGUAAUGAAGUUUCUCACUGAAGUGGUUUUACCUUGCUUUAUACCCUUAAGACACUUGUCAUUGUCAGACUAAUUUUUCCAGUUUCAUGGAUAUGAAAUGGUAUCUCAGUGUGGUUUUAAUUAGAAUUUUGUUGAAUUCUGGUGAGAUUGAGAAUUUAUGUGUUUGUUAGCUCCUGGGGUUUCUACUGUGAAGUGUGAAUUCCAAUUACGUGCCCAUUUUCCUAUUUUUUAUUUUAUUUUAUUUUAUUUAUUUUAUGCUUUUUAAACAGUGUUUGAAAUUUAUUUUUAGAGACAGCAAGAGGGCAGGGGGGAGAGAGAGAGAGAGAGAGAGAGAGAGAGAGAAUCCCAAGCAGUCUCUGCACUGUCAAUGCAGAGCCUGACAUGGGGCUUGAACCCACAAGCCAUGAGAUCAUGACCUGGACUGAGAUUGAGAGCUGGACGCUUAACUGACUGAGUCAUCCAGGUGUCUCUCUCUCUUUUUUUUUUUUUUUUAAGUUAAUUUGUAGACAGUCUUUAUAUAUUUUUCUUAUCCAUUCUUUGUUAUCUCUGUGUGUAUACUUUCCUCCUGGAUUGGGGCUUAAUUGUUCACUUUUGAAAUAAUACAUUUCGCUGAAUAAGAGUUUCCUUUAGAUGCAGUCAGAUUUAACUAGUCCUUUUCUUUGGCAUUCUUUGUGUCUUAUUUUUAAAAUUCUUCCUUAGGCUAGGUCGUAUAGAAAUAUUCUCCUCCGUUUUCUACUACAAGUUUUGAAAGUUUUGCUUUCCAUGGUUUCACCUGCAACCCAUUUAAAAUGGAGUUAUGUGUCUGUUGGGAGGUCUAGAAACCUCAUGUUAUUUUUCUCUGGACAGCAGGUUUUCCUGGCAAUGCUCGUGAACCGGUUCAUCUUGGAUGCACCACAGUGCGGUGCGGUUCGGUGCUGUGGUCCAUUUGUGGAGACCUUUUGGGGGUUAUCUUAUGCUCUGGUCUACUUGUUUUUUUCCCCCGCUCCAAUUUCACACUUUCUUUAUUGUCUUUAUUUCUGUGUUGUGUUGUUUUUUGGUAGAACCAAUCCUCCCCUCUCUUUGUUCUUCUUUAAAACUGUUGUUACUUUUUGUCUUUUGAUCUCUGAUACGCAUUUUAGAGUUGCGUCCAAUGAAAAACCUUCCUUUGAUUGAGUUCAUGCGCUGAAUUUAUAGAUUAAUUUGAGGAGAAUUGGCAUCUUUGUAGAACAGUGGGUGUUUCCCAGUGUUUUCUUUUUUUUACUGUUUAUUUUGAGAGAGCAAGCACGAGCGGGGGAGGGGCAGAGAGAGAGAGAGAGAGAGAGAGAGAGUCCCCAAGCAGGCUCCACGGUGUCAGCCCAGAGUCCGGUGGACACUUAAGUCGGGCGCCCGGGUGGCUCGAGUCGGUUGAGCGUCUGGCUCUUGCUCUUGGCUCAGGUCAGGAUCUCACAGUUCAUGAAAUUGAGCCCCAUGUGGGCUCUGUGCUGACAGUGUGGAGGGAGCCUACUUGGGAUUCUCUAUCUCCUCUCUCUCUGCCCCUCCCCCAUUCUCUCUCUCUCUCAAAAGUAAUAAAUAAACAUUAAAAAAAGAGCGAGACGCAUAACCGACUGAGCCCACCCAGGCGCCCCUCACUGUUUUCUUUAAUACCCACAUGUAGGUCCUCUUACUGUACACAACAUUUUUGUAACUUACCUUUCUACUUGAAUACACUUUCAUGUUAAUAAAUAAAUGUCUCCACCAACAAUUUAACAACUACACGAUAAUCCACGUGGCUAGAGAGUCAUUUAUUUAAUCGUGACCGUAUUGACAUUUAGAUGAACAUGUUUCACAGUGAUUAUUCUGGAACUCCAUCUUUCUCAUGACAAAAUUAUACAUGCAGCUACGUUUUAUUCUAGUACUGCUGGGAUAUUGUAUAUAAUUAAGUAUUUAUCUGAGAUGUGUUCAGGUGUAAGGUGCGAGAAAAGUAUCUAACUGAUUUCCUCCCCAUAUGGUUAACCAGUUUUCGUGUACUUUGUCCUUUUGGUUUGACUGUCUUUGCCUGUUUUGUGUCACCACCCAGCAGCCAUCAACAGUGCACACCGUAAAUGUUUGAGUAAGUGAACCAGUUUUUAAUGUUUGCUUUAUUUUCAGAGGUGUUUUCUUCUGUGUUGACCUGUCGGUUCAAGCCAGUACCACACUGUUGGAAUGAUCAGAGCCACUGGAAUAAGACUCCCCUCUCCUCCUCCUUCUCCUCCUCCUCCUCCUUCUCCUUCUUCAUCAUCAUCAUCAUCACACUUUUUCAGAUUUUCCUAGGCUAUUUCUGCACCACUUUUUCCCCCCCUGAACUUUAACUAAUUGGCCACUGUCCCUUUAAAACGGUUAUAAUUUCGAUUGACAGUAUAUUCAUUUUCUGAAGAAAUUUGAAGAUGUUUAUAUGUAAAGUUUCUGGCCUAAUAAGUACUGCAUGUUCCUCUAGUUUGUAGAUUCUGAAAUUGUUGGGUUAGAGAAGAUAAAUCCCCAGAUUUCCUUUUCGAUUGAAAUUCAGGGCAAUUAAAGAAAUUCGUUGCAGCCAACAGAAUCCUAGCACAUGUUUAUUCUGUAAAGACAAAACGUUUUUCUAUAUUGAGCUGCACUUCAACGGCUUUGCCUCCUUCUUAAAAAACACGGCUCACAUGGUACCACACGCUCCCUGUCCGGACAGAUACUUGCAAAUAGGUAACAACUGACGUGCUGUUUGGUCAAAGACCUGGUUUUUCUUUAAUAUGGCCUACCCUCUCCCCUUUCUCCCACCAACCCUUAAAGGAAUUCUGUGCCCCUACUUCUCUGGUUUACCUUUUUUAGGGUAAAGAAAUAGGCUACAAAGCUCGUGGGCACUAGGGAAGUCUGCAUAACUCUUUUUCACACCUGCUUGGAUUCUGGCAGUGGUAUUUGCUAAGUGGGGAUGAAGGCUGGUUUGUCAUGUGUUCUCGCAGAGCACUGAUGGCUGCAGGCCAACCCAUUUAGCCUUUGUUUUUUUUUCUUGCAUAAAACUGCCUAUUUUUCACUUCAGAUGGGGGUGUUAGGCACUUGAGAGAUGUUUGUUCUUGUCACAUGCACGCCAUCUGUGAUCUCCUGGCAUCCUACGCAGGUUCCCAAGUUGGCCAGAGUGUCCGCGGGUCAGUGCACCGGAUGGUCAGGGUCCUAGCCUAUGUGUGUUGGUGGAAGCAGUGCUACUGAACACACUCAAGUAUCCGACUGGGGCUGUGGACUCAGUUUUGGAAAGUUCGAAGAAGCCCUUUAUGUAGAAUAAUUUCGGCCUUGAAGAAAAGUCACAAAGAUAGUACAGAGAGCUCCCAUAUGCCCCUCACCCCAUUACCCCAACUGCUGCUUCUUACAUUAUCCUGCGACAUCUGUCACAAUUAAAGAGCAAGCGUUGCUACGUUACAAUUAACUAAAACCUGCACUUUGUCCACAUUUCACUGGUUUUUCCCUAACGUCGUUUUCCUGUUCUGGGAUCCACAUUCCAUUUUAUUGUCCUGUCUACUUCACUUCUUCUGGUCUGUGACAGUUUCUCAGACUCUCCUUGUGUCUGAUGACAUUGUCAGUUUGGGGAGUACUGGUCAGAUACCUUGUAGAAUUUCCCUCAGUUUGGGUUUUUCUCAUGUUUUUCCUGAUUGGACUGGAGUGAUGGGCUUUUGAGAGGAAGACCACAGAAGCGAAGUGAUAUUCCUGCCACAUUGUAUGAAGGGGACAUGCCUUGUCCCUCAUGAUGUUGACCUUGAUCACCCGGCCAGGGUAGUGUUGCCAGGUGUAAAUUUCUUUCCCACCUUCUUCCAUUCUCUGCUCUUUGGAAGUGAGUCACUAAGCACAGCGUAGACUCAAUUUAAGAGUUUCGUUAACUGUCUCAUCUAUCUGUGUCCUAUUAUGUCUAAGCCACAUCUAUUAUUUUGUUGUACUCCAAAUGCAUAGAUUUUGUGUUUAAAGCCUUAAGAAUAAAUAAAAGUUUCCUAGGCUUAAGUGGGAUUUGAAGUAUCUAGUAGCUGUAUUGAGUCUUCAUUCCAUUCCUUUUAUGUUUGGUUUAUUGGUUUUAUUAAAAAAAUCUUCAUACCCUGGGGGCACCUGACUGGCUCAGUCUGUGAGCGAGUGACUCUUGAUUUCAGGUUGUGAGUUCGAGCCCCACAUGAGGCAUAGAGCUUACUUUAAAAAAAAAAUUGUAAAAAUCUUCAUACCCUGUAUGCUAUCUCCUGUACCACACAGCCUACUUUGUUCUGCUCAGAUGGUUGCACAGCCUGUACUUUAUUCUUCUAGCACAAGGAAGCCUCGUGUCUCUCUUACUGUUGGGAAAAAAAGUUUAGCAUAAGAACAUUUUUAUCCAUACUGAAGCUUAUCUAGUAAACACUGCAAGAUACUUAAUUCUACUUAAUGUGAUGGAAAUCUUUCUAUUAUAAAAUUGUGUUAAACAUUUAUGAGUUUUAAUGCUCUCUGACACCUGUCCUAAUAUCAUAAUAGGCUAGCCUACCACACGCCUUGGCCCCCUGGAAAGCAGCUGAACCUUAGGAGUUGAGAUUACAGAUCACUUGUUGUGUUGUUUGUGGGGUAAAUUUCUUGAUGACUUUGAUUUUUUUUGUGUCUGAUUACUCCUUUCGGACACAACUCAAAUGACUUUAUUUACGUUUCAAGUCAGUUUCUAAGAAUUUAAAAAGGAAAAAAGAAUUUAAAAAGAAUGAUGUAUUAUUGGUUUAGCAUCUGACAGGAAUGUUCUUGAAAUGAUCUAUAAAUUGGGUUUUUGUUCAUUGAAUCAACAUUUUAUGUGCUCUAAGGGAACUUACUGUUUCAGAAAAUCUUGUGAGAAAUUUGUGAUGCUCCAGAAUGAUCAGUUUUGCAAAUCCACAUCUGCAGACCCUUAAUUUCAUCAACAGGUGUGGAUGUUUCAUUUAGCUGGACUGGUUAGAGUGUGUUUCCAGAACAUUAGACCUUCAUGUUCCUACUUAUUGUGAGCUUAUUUUUAAGAAACCAUUUUGAGUAUGUUCUAGUAUUUUGUCUUUCAGUCAGUCUUAGAGUUCAGUACUGGGGGAGGGGGGAGAGUUCAAAAAAUACAUUUUAAGAGAGUUUUUGCUCACUUCAUGGUUAUUUGGUAUGACGACUCAGAAACAGAAUAACGUUUUGAAUCGACCACAGGGGAAAUCCUUUCCCUGGCCCCUCAAGUCUACUUUCAGUCCAGUCAGAAGAUUCUUAAAUUCAUGUGGGGGAUUCCCACGUGCUCUAUUAUAAGUCUCCCUGAAAGUUUUCAUAGAUGUGUAGAAUGUCGGCUCGUAUCACAUACGUUUUAUGUCUCAGUGUGCGAGGGCCGUUCAGUGUACCGUUCCUUUGUUUUAAUAUUACUCAUUCUUUUUUCUAAGUGUGGAUGUGCAAGAGUGAGAAAGGCUGAGUGGUAUAAAAUGAAAUAUAAAAAAAAUGAAUUCACUUGUUCUCAGGUAGGCUAAAGAUCUAUUAAAUGUAAGAUCUUUGGGUGAAUACUAGCUCUUCUGUAGUGAGUAAAGAGAACUCGAGAACUUUGGAGACGGGAGCCCCCUUGCCUGCCUUCCACGGCACUAACUGUGUCCUCCCUGGCUAGCCGUGGUUGUCCUGUCCUUUGUACUCAGAGUAAGGCAUAUUUUUACUGCUUAGAUCUGGCAGAUGGGCUUCCCGCAGUUACUAUUCAGGUCAGUGUCUAAGGUCUUGAAGCGAUCUUCAAAAAAAUGAUAAACACUGAGCCCUUUUUGGGAGAAUAUACUGGAUGAAGAGCCAUGACAUAUUGUGAGAAAGUCAGCCAGAAAAAGUGUGUGUGGACCACCUGUGCCGUGCCCUGUACUUGCCUGAGCUUGUGUGAGGGGACCCCAUGGCUUGUGUAGGGACAGCAUUAUGUUUACCCUUCUGUCCGUUCAGUCACCCUGCCCCCCCCAGGAUCAUGUGUGACAACCCCCAGCAGUAGACAGGAGCCUGCCAUCAACCCUACCAUCUACUAACAAACUAUAGAAACGAUCCCUGAAAGUGUAGUCUUCAACCCUACCAUCUACAAGCACACUUGGGAGGUUUUCCUCCAUGAGAGGAAGACUCGCAUCUGUGUGCAGAAAGCAGCCCCUGGGCCUGGUCUGCCCUGUCCUGCAGCACCUGCACAGGCCUCAGCGGGUUUGUUCUCAGGGAGGGUGCUCCAGAGGGAGGAAAGGUUGGGGGAAGUGGGUGGGCGACAGAGACUGCCUUUCCCCUACGGCAUUGAAAAGUCCUCCCAGCCCUGUUCCAAAGCCAGCAAACGGUAAAAUAGAAUUCCUCCUGAAUUGUCAUGGUUCAUUCUCCACCUUUACAUCCCCAAAACUUACCUAACAUGUUUUCAUGGAAAACUAAAUUUUUACGUUCUUGUGCCAAGAAGACUCAGAUCUGGGAGGAUGCUUUAACAUUGUUAUCCAUCUUUAAUUUCCCCCUUUUACAUUUUACUUCUCCUCUAAAACCCCCUGUAUUUUUCCUCUAGUUGUAAAAUUUCAGGAAAUCUCCCAUUUAAGUCAGCUGCUGUUGGCCUGUCUGUGCUCUUUUUAGUGGCUUUGGUGGCGUUCAGGUUUAAGUGGCCCUGUGUGACAGGUGUGCGAGAUUGUGCUGCCCGGGCUGCCUCGUGGAUUCCCGUUCCACCCCGGUGCAGAGGGAGGCCGUCUUCAGAACCAGCGUGCCUCUCAGGCAUGGUUUCUUAAGCUGCACAGUCAUUACCUCUUUCAGUGAAUUUUUUUCAGCUUCAUCUCUCUCCUUAACACUAAGAUGCAGAAACGUCAGUCUUACUUAACGUCAAGUUAUCCAUCUGAUUUUAACUUGAUCCAAACUCAGAGCAUCUAAAAGUGGGUUGCACCGGAGGAUGUAACACCUUUGCCCGGAAGGUUGACUCCUGCCCUGGGCUGUUAGCAUUCAUUCAUUCAACAGACGUUUAGGACGUGCUCAUUUGGAGCCAGGCUCUGCGAUGAGGCGGGUGUACAGAAACAAAAAGCUCCAGUGCUGUCUUCAGUAAGCUUCCAGUCUAGUGAGAGGAAUGGAGUGCAGUGUGAUAACAGCACUGGGGAGGGUGUGCAGUCCAGACACGCAGGACAUCCUUCUGCAGAACCUGACAUGAGACACCCAGGUUUGGGAGGAUGGAUACGAGUAAACUGGGAGAAGAUGAGGGUUAUGAUACACUGGGAGAAGACAGAGAGCCAGGGGAAAUGUCAGACUCUGGUGGUGCUCCUGGGGGGAGGUUGCUGUGUAUUUAAAGGCCUACAAAGGCUAGAGACUAAGGAACAUGCUGGAAACUGCAGGACAUUAAGACCUGCUUGAGGUCAGGGUUUGUUAAAACUCCUCAGAUAGUUUAGUUAAGAACACGUGCCAACAUUGUAUUAAUAACAGUUUUGCAGUGCAAGGAAGAGGCCCCUGGUAGGUGGACUCAAAGAUUCACUCUUAGUAGGGGUGGGGGUCUGUUAUAGGAGGAAUGAUUGAAUCAUCAUUGGGAAGAAUAUCUGGUGAAAAAUCUUUAGACUCUAACUAGUCUAGUUGAUAAUUGAUAGCCAUCUAGGUGAAUGGCAAUGAGUUCGCCAGAACAAGCCUUAAUCUUGAAGUUCAUUUUAAAAUUGCCUUAGAGGGGCGCCUGGGUGGCGCAGUCGGUUAAGCGUCCGACUUCAGCCAGGUCACGAUCUCGCGGUCCGUGAGUUUGAGCCCCGCGUCAGGCUCUGGGCUGAUGGCUCGGAGCCUGGAGCCUGUUUCCGAUUCUGUGUCUCCCUCUCUCUCUGCCCCUCCCCCGUUCAUGCUCUGUCUCUCUCUGUCCCAAAAAUAAAUAAAAAGCAUUGAAAAAAAAAAAAAAUUUAAAAAAAAAAAAAAUAAAAUUGCCUUAGAAAAAAGGAUUUAUCUGGAAAGCUGUUGAUUUCUUCCCACUAGGAUGUUAUGCGUUAUAUAGUAAGCAACUUGGUUCUGUUCCAGAUCGGGUUUGGGGCAGUUUUUCUUUAAUAGGUUCAAGGUCACAGUGGAGUGCAGUCCAGUUUUCAGGGUGCUGCUGGUGAAGAGCUUUUUUAACCUACCUUGAGGAGAGUUUGGAUUUUUAUCCUGAGGGCAAUAGGGAGCCAUUGCCUGUGAGAGGAGUUUAAACCCCAGCCAUCAGCGUGGGUGUGGAUUAGCUGCAGCGUGAGGCAGGAGCAGCAGGAGAGAAGCUAGCAGAAGGCUUUAAUGUUCCCUCGAAAAACUGACGAGCUUUGAGUUCAGGCGUGUCUCCCCCUUGGCCUUCCACACCUCUCCGCCUGGAGCAGCUCUGAGACCGCCUCGUGUGGUAGUUGGGGAGUAGAAGUUAGUAGUUGGUUUUCCUCCAGAAGAGUUGGUUUUAACUUAUUCAGUUUAAAAAAAAAAAAAAUUUUUUUUAACGUUUGUUCAUUUUUGAGAGACAGAGUGGAACGGAGGAGGGGCAGAGAGAGAGGGAGACACAGAAUCUGAAGCGGGCUCCAGGCUCCGAACUGUCAGCACAGAGUCUGACGCGGGGCUCGAACCUCAAGAUCAUGACCGGAGCUGAAGUCGGAUGCUUAACCGACUGAACCACCCAGGUGCCCCUAACUUACUCAAUUUUAAAUGGUGACUGCUCUCGUCACAGUGAAAGAAAAUGUGAUACUGUGAAGAAGAUGCUGAGAAGGUUCUGGAAGCAGCAGCCAGGUUGAGGUAAGAGUUCAGAGAAAGGGGUCCAAGACCCUUGUGGACCUUGUGGCUCCGCCUCCAGGCCUGGGCCCCGUCGCCUGCCCUUCCCCCUCCAAGGAUUUGGUCCCAUCUCUGUCCUGAGACAGUUUCAGAACCUCGCUAUCAUCUGGCCUUGGCCUUGAGGCUGUUAGCGUAUUCCUACUACAGUUUGCUGUGAUUACAAAGGAUUCUGCCCUUCCUCAGAAGUCUGUAGGCAGAACCUCCUUCAGUGCGUCUGCUGUGGUUAAAAUAGAACCUUCAGAGAUGCCCUUGCCCCAGGCCGCAGAUCCGUUGGCACGGGGUGACCUGUGCUGUGUUUUCUUGUCACUAUUUCCUGAAGUUGUGGUGUCAUUCUGGGCAGAGGUGUAGACGCUUUGCAAGCAACAUCAGGGAACCUGACCUGGGGGUAGUUCUUCAGUGUUUUUGGUGGUGGUGGUGGUGGUGGCAGGUCACAUCCCUCUGCCUGUCCUCUCCUUUGUUGUGUCCGUGGCCUUACUGUUCCAGCGUCUUUUCUGGUCUCUUUCAUGACCACGUUUAAUCGUUUUCAUGUCAACAUAUUGCUGUGAAAAUAAUACUGCAUAAUUACUUGAUGUAGAUUGAAUGGGCAUAUUUGAGAAUCUACAAUUCUCUCCUAAAGUUGAUGUGAACAGGAACCUAUUCUUAGCUUUUAUUCCCAUUAGAAAUCUGUAUUCAAAAUACAUAAUUAUUCUCCUUUUGUUUUUUAAAUGUUAUCCAGAUUGCAAAAAUACCUGCCUCUAAGAACUCAAGAGGACUUACUCUGUGGGAACAAGAGGUAGUGAGUCAUACCUGCAAGCCCGGAAAUGAGUUUAUUUGAGCCUCUUUGAGGAGGUUUCCUAGGCAAGCAUGGAUGCAGUAAUUAAAGGAUGAGGAACUAGGGGGUGCGUACUUGGAGGUUUAAUCCUCAGGUGAUGUGCUCCUCGUCAGAUUGAGACCUCAGUUUUUGUUUUGUUCAUUAAAAAUAAUAAAAAAGCUUACUGCUUAAUUACAGAAAAACACACUAUUAUUAGGGUGUGGGUGUGGGGGUGUGUGGGUGUGGUGCUUUAACCUUACCUUUUAAACACUUUCUCUGAUGAGAAUGUUCAUAUGUGUUAAUGCUGGCUUAUUUGGGAAAGUAGGAGAGAAGUUACUGCUUCAAGUGAUUUCAGUUAGCCGUGAAGUUAUUUGGAAAAGCAGAUGAUGUUUUCGUGUGCCUGUAUUUGAGUUGGUUACCAUCAGAACUUGCAGCAUGUGGAGAAGAGAAGCUUGCUAAUCAUUUGUUUCUUCUUUGUUCAUGCUUGUAUUUGUAUGUGUCUGAUGCUGGAGUUGCAUCAGUCCACCUUGGGUUGUGCUGGCACAUUCCGCCCUGGGACGUGAGGGCGAGAGUGGAAGGGCCAUCCGUGAAUUGGAUUGGGACUCUUCCAGCACGUAGACAUAGCCCUGGCUUGCUAGAGAUUUCCCUCUAACUCUUCACUCUCAUCCUUUUUGUGUGGCUUUCUUCUUAGAUGGCCAUGAGGAUAAGAUAAACAUUUCUCUUCCACUGUGAAACCCUAAUGCUCCCAGACUUUACUUAACAUGGACUUUCAUUGAAUUCCAUUUUAACAAAUACGGUGGCUUUUUGCAUGGACCAGUGAAAGAGGAAAAGUCCUGCUAUGUGACAGACUCAUUUUCAGUAGUGUUAGAAAUAAUCUGAAAAGCACCAGAAUAUUUAAAUAUUAGCAGUGCUCAGUUUAAGUAGGGUUAUGUUAUGAUCCUAGAUCAGGUAUUUUCUAGAAAUGUUGACAAGAUGAAAUGUAGAAGAUGGCCCUUUUCUGCUGGGCACUGAGAAGAGCCACUUCUCUGAGUACCCGUGGGCUUUAUGAACAUCUUGAGCUUUUUGUCACAAUAAUGUGUAUUUUCUUUUGGAUGCAGUGGAUACCCUUCUAUCAGCAAAAGCUCUGAGACACCGCUCUUGCACACAUGUGACAGAUGAAGUAGGUGAACUUUGUCGCUACGGCUUUUUCCUCUCCCGUAGUUCCUGGAUCUGUGGAAGAAGUUAGGAGUAGCAAAUCCUGGGGCGCCUGGGUGGCUCAGUCGGUUGAGCGUCUGACUUCGGCUCAGGUCAUGAUCUCACGGUUUGUGGGUUCGAGCCCCACAUCAGGCUCUGUGCUGACAGCUCGGAGCCUGGAGCCUGCUUCAGAUUCUAUCUUCCUCUCUCUCUGCCCCUCCUCCACUUGAGCUCUGUCUCUCUCUCAAAAAUAAACAAAAACAAAAACAAAACAAAAACCAGGGUGCCUGGCUGGCCUGGAGCCUGCUUCGGAUUCUGUGUAUCCUUCUCUCUCUGCCCUUCCCCUGCUUGCACUCUGUGUCUCUCUCAAAAAUAAAUAAAACAUUUAAAAACAUUAAAAAACAAACAAACAUGGAAUAGCAAAUCCUGGUCUGGAGUCAAGGCUUUGGCCCCCCACCCCCACAACAUAAGGGAAAAAUUUCUAAUUCUUAGAGUCAAAAUGUAUGUAAGUGUACUUAAUUCUUAAGAAAUCCACCAACUUCUGGGGCACCAGGGUGGCUCAGUCAGUAGAGUGUCUGACUUCAUCUCAGGUCAUAAUCUCACAUUUGUGAGUUUGAGCCCCGCAUGGGGCUCUCUGCUGUCAGUGCGGAGCCUGCUUCGGACCCUCUGUCCCCCUCUCUCUCUGCCCCUCCCUGGCUCAUGCUCUCUCUCUCUCUCUCAAAAAUAAACACUGAAUAAAAGAAGUCCACUGACUUUUUAGUGGUAUUGAUAAUAGAGUUCUACCCUUAAUUUUAACUUGUUUCCUUUACCUAUUUGAAAUGUCAGGCUGUAGUUUAUGACCUGCCUUAACUUAUUUUUAAACAAGGCAGGUUAUAAAGAAGGUAAUCCUUCAAUUUGUUAUUUUUAAUAUCUACAUUUUCACAUUUUUUGUGAGAUAGAAAUUGACCUAUUGAUCGAUUCAUGCAUUCAUCUGCUGAAUGUCUCUGAUUUGCCAGUCACCGUACUAGGCAUUGGGGAUAGAGAUUAAGACUUGGUCUCUAUUUUAAAGGUGCUGGGGGCACCUGGGUUGCUCAGUGGAUUGAGCAUCAGACUCUUGGUUUUGGCUCAGGUGAUGAUCUUACGUUCAUGGGUUCCAGCCCCACAUCAAGCCCGUGUUGAGCCCGGCUUGACAGCAUGGGACCUGCUUGGGAUUCUCUCUCCCUCUCUGCCUCUGCCCAUCCCACGUUCUCUCUCGCCAUCUCUCUGUCUGUCUCUGUCUCUCUCUCAAAAUAAAUAAACUUAACGGUGCUAAUAAGUCCACAAAUAGAGACAUACAAAUAAAUAUUCUUAUGAGAAUAGAAAACACUUCUGUAGUAUUUACUAUAUGUAGGUACUGUUGUAAGUGCUUUCUAGGCAUUAGCUUUAACUCAUGAAUUGAUACAAAAUCCUUUUGAAGUUCUUAACUAUUAUUUUCUCUGUUUUACACAUGAAAAAGUUCAGAGGUUAGGUACUUGUCCCAAGGUCAUAAAGCUUGUUUUGUUUGACAGUCAGAUGUAUUGAGUGCGAUAACAGACCUGCUCAUGGAGUGCCCUGGAAGGACAGGGUAGUGUCUAGUUGGGAAAAUGGGGACUAGAAGUGUGAGUAUCCAUGAAAUUUUCCCAAAGGAAGCAGUACCUGAACAAAUGUAUUCAGAGGAGUGGAAGAGCCACGAAAUACUUCUUUAGGAACAUAAAAUACUACCUCAUAAAUGAGUUCGUAGGUUGAAUCCGUGACAGAAUAUUGGAAGACUGGGAGGGGCGCCUGGGUGGCUCAGUCUGUUAAGUGUCCGACUUCGGCUCGGGUCAUGAUCUCACGGCUCAUGGGUUUGAGCCCCCUAUUGGGCUCUGUGGUGACAGCUCAGAGCCUGGAGCCUGCUUCAUAUUCUGUGUCUCCUCCUCUUCUCCGCCUCUCUCCCCUAUUCACCCUUUGUCUCUCUCUGUCUCUCAAAAAUAAACAUUAAAAAAAAGAAAGAAUAUCGGAAGACAGGGGGAUAGUAAAAAUAUACCAGAUCCCUGCAGUCUUCAAUGUAAAUGACAAGGAAAUAGAUUUCAAUGUUGAGGCAAACCUUUGUUUCCAGUUAGUGUAAGGUAUGGUAAAAACUUGGCAUUUAAAAAAAAAACCUAAUGAAAGUAUUAAUUUCCUUAUACUCUGUCAGCAUGUGGGUAAAUGUGUGACCCCUUCGAACGUUCUAAGAUGAAUUUCCCAACACUGGAUAUUUUAUCUUAGGAAACCUCUGGUAACCUGUAGAAAUAGUCUACUGGUAUAUAUUUUGAAUAAAUGCAGAGAAAGAUUGAUUUCUUUCAGAAUAAAAGUUGGCAGGAACUGCCAAGUUAGGUAGGUUAAUUUUAUCAUUGCACAGUUACAAAGCUGUUCAGAAGGUGGGGUUGGCGGGCCCCAUGCUUGGCUCGGCAGCACUGGGUUGUCGCUUUUUUACCUUUCUGUAACCACUCCUGGCUUUUUUGAGCAUCAAGCCAUGUGGAUAAUCGUCCUUUGUCCCCUUGUAACCACUGCAGUAUGCUGACUUUGUCAUGACUCCCACUCCUCGCUCGAGACUGCCUCACUGUUUUCCACCUUGCCUCGGCUUCAUUGGAUGACCCACCUAUUUUCCUUGGCUGCAUGGGUCUUGUUUUGGAGCUUCUCAUCGCCAGCGAUCUCCCCAACUUCUCCCCAGCUUCCUCCAUCUCCCCACUCUCUAGGCCUUGUCUACUCGGGGCUCAGACCGUUAGUCAGAGAUGUCCUUUUGGACCACACCCUCCUGUCCGUCCACCUUGGACCCUACCUCUCGUUUGAUCCUACUGAGACCUCUAGUUUGCAGACACUUUUGCUCUGUACCUUUCCAUCUUUAUUUUCUUCCUGAUUCAACUUAGAAACCAUAGUCCAUGUAUUAAAUCACGGUCUUGCCCAAACCCUAUACUCCUGACCAUUUUGUCCUUUGGCUUGCACAUGGGCUCCUGAGUAGUGCCAGAGAAAGCCAUAUAGCUGGGCAGAUUGGCACCUGGUCGCAUAAAUUCAGGUGGUGGCUCAGCACCGUGUGGCCGUUGCUUCUUGUUCUUCGGGGCAGCUGUCUGCCACUCUGAUUCUUCAUGGUGACUAUUCCUAAGCUCUCUUCCAACUUCUGACUGCUCCUCCUCCCCACUUACUCUGCUCAGAUGAUGCACUCCUGCAGUAGGACUGUCAGUCCUACCUGCCCCUGAGCCUCCUCCUUUCCCCUUGGUGUCCGUGAGCUGACAGCCUCUUGCUUUUUCUUCUGCUUUUCAUACUGUCUGAGUCAUCUUUGUGGUUUCAUCUCUUGUCAAACUGGCUUCUGUCAAAAGGCAACUACAAGAUGUCUGUUUCCUUUUUCAAGUACAGUAAAACAUUUUCACACUGCUGUCCUUUGCCUUCUGCUGGAGAAAGCUGGGAUUUACUGUAGGGGGGCAGGCCCCUAGUGCACUCAUGCUGUGUACCUGUGUGUGUGCGUGCUUGUGUGGCCAUGGGGCUCGGCUCUGUGAUCUGGCUACCGUGUGCUGAGCCGUGUUCAGUAGCCAUCUCCCUUGGCUGCUGAAUGAUUCUGCCCUCUGCAGAAAUAGUCCCCCAGGGUUUAUCCUGCAUGCACGUGGGGGAGAGUGUGAUUGACAUCUUUCAGGUUAGAAAUAGGCAGGAGUUUCCCAGAUAGAUGGGUUUUGCUACUAUUACAGUGUGCUACAUGUGUCAUCUUCGGUGGCUCCCCGGUGCCUUUGCAGAUUAUCGAGGUGCAGUGAGGCGAGCGUUUUGGCUCCUGCUUCUGCCGAGUGGACUCCAGACCUUUUUUUUUUUUUAAUGUUUAUGUAUUUUUUGAGAGAGACAGAGGUAGAGUGCAAGCGGGGUAGGGGCAGAGAGAGAGGGAGACACAGAAUCCGAAGCAGGCUCCAGUCUCUGAGCUAUCAGCACAGAGCCCGACACAGGGCUCGAACCCACAAACCGUGAGAUCACGUCCUGAGCCGAAGUCUAGUGCUUAACCAGCUGAGCCACCCAGGCACCCCCCCAGACCUUCUUCUUUACACUUCUUUGUACUCAUUCUCUGACCUGCUCUGGAGGGCUGCUGCCCACUCCCCUGUUGCUCCUUCUAAUUGCUGCCUCUGCAUGGUGCCUUACUCCCUCAUUCCACGCCCCCUUCCCUUGUUUUGUAUCAUUUCUUCGUAAAGAUAGGAACAUUUAGUAGACACUGAUCAUCGGUUAAUUCACUAUUUAGUUCCAGAGCUGGUCCCUUGGGGAGGCUGUAAGCACUAGGACAAUGACAGAGCUGCCUUUCUGGUGAUCAUAGGAGAGAAACAUUGAGAUGUGUCAUUCCAGUGUAUUGUGACGAAGACUGUUAAAGUGUAGGCUGAGCAUUUCAUUUACAUCGCUUCAUAUAAUCUUUAAAAAAAUCCUGUGAAGUUGCUCUUUUUUUUUUUUUUUUUUGCCUUUAUUUUAUGGAGCUGAAAACUGAGGUUCUGAGAGGUGACAUCAUUUGGUCAAGGUCACUUAAACAGCAAGUUACCCAGUGGGAAAGACAGCCCAACAUUUGAGCUGCAAAAGCUCAUGCUCUUCACUGUGAAUACAGUUUUCCUCCUCUGCCACAUUGCCUCUGUUGGAGGGCUGACCCUGAACAGUAGAAUUCAAGGUCUAAUAAUAGACUCUCAACACAUUGAAUAUUAGGCAUGGGGAGAACUCUAACUAGCUAGAAACCAUUAGUUGUAGUGUUUUUAUUCUUCUGUUGUUUCAGUGGCAUUGCCUGAAAUUAUAUUACCUUAUUUAGUUUAUUAUAUUACCUUAUUUAGUGCAUUUGUUAUCACUAGGAUUCUGAUGCAUAACAUAUUCUUUUUUUAAAAUUUUUUUUUUUCAACGUUUAUUUAUUUUUGGGACAGAGAGAGACAGAACAUGAACGGGGGAGGGGCAGAGAGAGAGGGAGACACAGAAUCGGAAACAGGCUCCAGGCUCUGAGCCAUCAUCAGCCCAGAGCCCGACGCGGGGCUCGAACUCACGGACCGCGAGAUCGUGACCUGGCUGAAGUCGGACGCUUAACCGACUGCGCCACCCAGCCGCCCCGAUGCAUAACAUAUUCUUACAAGAAUAUCUUACAUGCCUCCCUGUUGACUUCCUUUUUUUUUUAAUUUUUUUUAACGUUUAUUUUUGAGAGAGAGAGAGAGAGAGAGAGAGAGACAAAGCACGAGUGGGGCAAGGGUGGGGGAGGGGGAGAGAGAGAGAGAGAGACAGAGAAUCUGAAGCAGGCUACAGGCUCUUAGCUGUCAGCACAGAGCCUGAUGCGGGACUCGAACUCACGAACAGCAAGAUCAUGAUCUGAGCCGAAGUUGGAUGCUUAACCCACUGAGCCCCCCAGGCGCCCCUCUGAUACCUUCUUAAGAGCCAGAUUCAAACUUCUACUUCACUAUAGGUUUGAAAUUUUAAGUACUUUACAGCCAAAAGAGAAAAAAAAUAGGGUUAUGUGUCACAGAGGGUAUAAAGGAACUACUUUCUGGAUCACUGAAGAUAACAGUGUUACUGCUAAUGGUACAGUUUCAUCUCUUGCAGUUAGCCCGAGACCAGCACCUGUGUUCACCCUUCCUGGGAGCCUAAACUGCUCACAUCCUGGGCUGGGCCUGGGGUGCUGACAUGAACCAGGCCUCGGUUCUUUCUAAGGGACUAGCUUCAGUUUCCUAUGUUCUGAUCAAUAUAGUUCCCACCCUCUCUCCCAUUUUGACUUCUUUUGCUUUUAUUGCUUCACUCCAGACAGCCGGUUCACAGAUUAUUCUAAGAAAUGGUUCUGUGAGAACUACUUAGUGAAUUUAUUCAGUGGUUUAUUCAGCAUCGCUGCCCACUAGGCACUGCUCUGAGUGCUGGACAUGGGAUAGAACAGGGCACCAAACAGCACCUCUGCCCACUUUUUUUUUUUUCACUUUUAAACUGGAGUUGGUGAGUGAAUUAUGCACCACUGUUAGCAUCUUGCCAGCAGAAUCUGUGACUAUAUAUUUGCCAUUACCAGUGAGGAUUACACUACCUUUUUGUGUUGUUUUUUUUUGUUGGUAUUAAUUAGCAUUCUUUUCCUUUCACUCAAAGCAUUGCCUUUAGCAUUUCUUGGAAGGCAGGUCUGGUGGUAAUGAACUCCUUCAGCUUUUGUUCGUUCUGGAAAGUGUUCCUCCAUUUCUGAAGGACAGCUUUGCCAGGUACAGAAUUCUUGGUUGAUAGUUAUUUUCUUUCAGUAUUUUUAAUAUACUAUACUCUUCUGGCCUGAAAAGUUUCUGUUCAGAGAUUCACUGAUAGUCUUAUGGGAGUUCCUUUUUUAUUUUUUAAAGUAGACUUCAUGUCCCAUGCAGAACCCAACUCAGGGCUUGAACUCACAACCCUGAGAUGAAGACCUGAGCUGAGACCAAGAGUUGGACACUUAACCAACUGAGCCACCCAGGAGCCCCUUUGGGGGUUCCCUUGUAUGUACCUUCUCUCUUUCCUCUUGCUGCUCUUAAAAUCCUUUCCUUGUCUUCCCAUAGGCUUUCUUCAGUCUUCUUUAUGUUUUUUCUUUUUGUUCCUCUGACUGCAUAAUUUCCAGUGCCCUAUCCUCCAGGUUACGGAUUCUUCUUUCUGUGUGGUUGAGUCUACUUUCAAAACUGAAUUCUUUUGUUCAGUUAUGUGUUUUUCUUUUUUUUUUAAUGUUCAUUUAUUAUUUAUUUUGAGAGAAAGAAAGAGUGAGCAAGGGAGGGGCAGAGAGAGAGGGAGACAGAGAACCCCAAGCAGGCUCCACACUGUCAGUGAGGAGCCUGACGUGGGGCUCGAACUCAUGAACUGUGAGAUCAUGACCUGAGCGGAAACCAAGAGUUGGAAGCCCAACUGACUGAGCCACCCAGGCACCCCCAGUUAGGUAUUUUUUAACUCUAGGUUUUGGGUUUUUUAUUUUAUUUUUUUGGUGGUUGCUAUUUUCUUCUUUUUUGUUAUUAUUAUUAUUUUUAAUGUUCAUGUAUUUUUUGAGAGAGAGAUAGAGUGGCAAGUGGGGUAGGGGCAGAGAGAGAGGGAGACACAGAAUCUGAAGCAGGCUCCAGGCUCCGAGCUGUCAGCACAGAGCCCGACACGGGGCUCGAACCCACGAACCGUGAGAUCAUGACCUGUGCCGAAGCCGGAUGCUCAACUGACUGAGCCACCCAGGCGCUCCCCCGAUAGUUGCUAUUUUAUCAAAAUUCUCAUUUUGUUCAUGUGGUGUUUUCCUAAUUUUGUGUAGCUGUCUGUAUUUUCUUGAAGUUCACUAAACUUCAAGACAGUUACUCUGAAUUCUUUGGCUAACAGUUCAUAGAUCUCUGUUUCUUUAGGGUAAGUAAUGGGAGCUUAUUAUUUAUCUUUCAUGGUGUCAUAUUUACCUGAUUUUUCAUGAUCAUCGAUUCCUUGUGUUGAUAUCAGCAUAUUUAAAUAAUGGGGCUCCUCUUCCAGACUUUUCAGAUUUGCUUUGGCAGAGAGAAUUCUUCACCAGUCACCUCAAUUUGAGUUACUGGGUGUGUCUGCUGGUAAUACCUCGGGGCAGGUGGGACCUGCUCUUAUGGUAUGUUUUGGGGGGAGGCAGCUGUUUGAGCUCUGAGAAUGUGGGUCGGGGGUGUCUGUCACUGGCUGAGAACAGUUGGGUGGGACUGCUGGCUUAGUUCCCGUGCAAGAGAAGCCGUAGGACGGUUUCUUUUACUGCCUGGAUUCUCUGGUCACAAAUGGUCAGAAUUGGGUACUGUAUUGAGUCUUAGAUGGGUCUGUGAACUAGCUUCCCUGCCCUGGCAGGGCAGCAGGAAGGGCCCCAGGGCCCGUAUACCUCAUUGCCUGGAGACCUAAAUCAGCCCAGAGUGUGCCUGAAUUCGCUGCCUAGGUGAGGCCACCUGUCUUGCUCUACCAACAGGAGAAGCCAUGGGCUUUGCUCUCUGUUCAGGUGGUGUUGUAUGUAGAGCUGUUGAAUGGGCUUUGAAGCUUCCCAGGUGCUCCCGUUAGGUUCCCUGGUGGGACGGCCUGAGGGCUGUAUUCAGCCAUGAGCAGGGCUGUGAAUUCCCUGCCUGGGCACAGUGGGAGAAGUAAAUGUAAAACCAGUCAGGCUCUGUUUGUUGUCUUCACUGGAGCUGAUCUGUACCCCAAGUUCCCUGGCCGAAUAGGGUCUCUGACUUUGCUCUGCAAACUGUUGACUCCGAGUGCUCUUCUCUUGGCCUGAGCUGUGCUGGGCUGUACAGCUUCCAGGAGUUAUCACCAGCCCUUCUGGUCAGAUGGGGCCAGAAGACCGUCUUCACAGUGUGGGAAGCUAUGCCCCAGCCCCCUUGCCUGGGCAGGAGCGGGAAGGUCCACUCUAGACUAAUUCAGUUUCCCCAGACAGGCGCUCUGGUUGGGAGGGGCCACAAGCUACAUUCAGCCUUGGCUCUGAAUUAAUCCCCCUGCCCUCAUACCUGGUACUGGCUUUGCUCUGGGGGUGAGCCUCUCAGAACCUCUGCCUCUCAGCCAGAGUGUUGCUGGGCUACACAGCUUCCAGGAGUUGUCCCCAGCACUCUGGUCACAACUCUGGUCCAGGGGCUGGAAGACCCUUUCCACAGGUCCCUGGGUGUGAGCAAACUGGGCUCUUGGGGUGGAAAGAUUCCUCAUCUGGGGAUCCGAGUCAGGCAGAUCUGCACCCUGCCAAGUUCCCCAGUCAGGGUGCGCCCCCAACUUGGUUUUGCGGAUGAGCAAAGCCACUGGUUGGGAUUACUCUUAGGACCCUGCAGGUAUGAACUUCCAUCUGUCAAGAUCCUUGUGCUGGUUGUUGGAAGCCCCUCCCCUAGCCUCCAUCACAGUCGGAGUCCCGGUGUUUGAGCCCCUCAGAUUCCCCUGCGAUCCCCGUGGUGGGAGAUCACGGUAGGGGGCUCCUAAAAGUGACCCACAGGGCCGGGCGUGCUGUUUGUCCCUCCUGGGUUCUCUUUUCCCACUGGAGGAACUGGUGGCCCAUAGGAGACCUCUCUGUGGGCUGCACUGGCCCGGGGGCGGGGCAGCGUGGUCAACAUGUGGCUGCUUCUCUUCUCCUUCUGAUGCAGUCUGGCUUGGUCUCCGAGGUGCAGGGGGCACUUCAGCCUCACCCCUGUGUUCCGGGAUUCUCUCAGUGGUGUCUUGUUCUUGAACAGAUGUUAGUUGUUGUCAUGGGGUGUGAAGUCAGGAACAACCUAUGUCUCCAUCUUGCUGGCAUCACUCAGCUCUCUGCCCGCUUUGAACUUUUGUUCUGGUGUGGGAGGCACCCGGUAAGGCAGUAAACAUGGGAUGUGUUGUCAGAUGAUGAUAAAUGCCGUGAGGAAGGUAAAGCUGAAUAAAGGGGUAGGGAGCGAUGGGGUGAGGGUAUGUUGCUGUUUAGCUAAGUCAUCAGGUCUUACGGGGGAGGUCAUAUUUAACCAGAGACCUGAGUGUCUUGCUCAGUUUGGGCUGCUGUGACAAUAGCAUCAACUGGGUGGCCUAACAAUAGAGUUUUAUGUCUCACAGUUUUGGAUACUGGAAAUCUGAGACCAGGGAGCCAGCAGGGUAGGCUUCUUGGUGAGAACGCCCUUCCCCGUUUCAGACAACUGCCUUCUUUUUUUUUUUUUUUUUUCAACGUUUUUAUUUAUUUUUUGGGACAGAGAGAGACAGAGCAUGAACGGGGGUGGGGCAGAGAGAGAGGGAGACACAGAAUCGGAAACAGGCUCCAGGCUCCGAGCCAUCAGCCCAGAGCCUGACGCGGGGCUCGAACUCACAGACCGCGAGAUCAUGACCUGGCUGAAGUCGGACGCUUAACCGACUGUGCCACCCAGGCGCCCCAACUGCCUUCUUGCUACGUCCUCACAUGGCAGGGGGUGGGGUGGGGGGGAGCGGGGAGAGAUCAUUUCUCGUGUGUCUUCUCUUGCAAGGGCACUAAUUCUCUACCCUCGUGACCAAAUCACUCCCAAAAGGGCCCAUUUACAAAUACUGUCACAUUGGGAAUUAGGGUUUCAACACAGAAGUCCUGGGGGAACACGAACGUUCAGUCUGUAGCACUGAAUGAAGUAAGGAAGGGCCUUCCAGGCACCGGGAACUGCACUUUCGGAGACCUAACGUGAGCCAUGUCAGAGGAACAGCUCUGUUGGCUGCAGGGUUGAUGCUGGAGCAGAGCAGGCAGCGAAGGAAAGAGCGUUCAGAAAUGAAGUGGGAGAGGUACCACCGAAGGCCUACGUGGUUGGCCACUUUGGAUUUGAUUCCCAGUGGCACGGGGGAGCCUGUCUCCAGAGGGAAAGAUGUGCUAGGACUUUUCAUUCCUAAAAGGUCACUUUGGAUGCCGUGGGGCUGGGGUUGGGGGCUAGGAGUGGAUGUGUGCCAUGGUCUAGGUGAGAGGUGAUGGCUGAGAAGACUGGGUUGGUAGCGGUGGGGGUUGUAAGAGGUGGUUGGAUUGGGGACACUGAAGGUAGAGCUGGUACCUUUUGCUGAGAGAUCAGUUGUGGGGUGUGACCUAACCCCAAUGUUACAGGGUUACGAGGUGGGCCUUUGGGUGAUUCGGCUUCUAUCUGAGGGUCAUAAGGGUGGGGUCCUCGUGAUGGGAUUGGUGUCCAUGUAAGAAGAGGAGUGACCAGAGCUCUCUCCCCUCGUGCCCCGUGAGGACACAGUGAGAAGGCGGCCACCCGCACAAGAAGAGAGCGCUCACCAGAGCCCAACACUGCUGGCACCCUGAUCUUGGACUCCAUGCCUCCAGAACUGUGAGAAAUAAGUUCAUGUUGUUUAAGCUAGCCAGGCUGCGGUCUUCCGUUACAGCAGCCCAAGAUGAAACACCUUCCCUUCCGAUUUAUUUCUUUCGUGAGCUAUGCAUGCCAGGUGUACAAAACUAAAUAAUUAAAUUCAAACACUACAGCGGUGUGUAAGGUUUAAGUAAAAGUUUACUUUCCUCCCUCCAGAAGUAACCCCUUUGAGGUAUCCAUUUGAAAGCUUGGGUUUUAUUCUACUAGACCCGUGCUUUCUUUUUAAAAAAAAUUUUUUUUUACGUUUAUUUUUUCAUUUUGAGAGAGAGACAACAGCAGAGGGGCAGAGAGGGAGAGGAAGAGAGAGAAGCCCAAGCAGGCUCCGCGCUGUCGGCACAGAGCCUGACAUGGGGCUCAGACUCACAAACUGUGAGGUCAUGACGUGAGCCGAAACCAAGAGUUGGACGCUUAACCAGCUGAGCCACCCAGGCGCCCCUAGACCUGUGCCGUCUAAUGAGGCAGCCAUUUGCCACUUGUGGCUAUUCAAAUUUACUUAAUUACAAUUAAGUACAACUAAACAUUCAAUUCCUCAGUCACACAUACUGGCUAUGUUUCGGGUGUUCAGGAGCCAUGACUAGCUGCAACCGUGUUGGACAGAAUAAACAGCAUUUCCAUCAUCACAGAAUGUGCUAUCGAAUGGCACUGUUUUCGAUGAAUUCUAUUCAUAUACAAAUGUGUGUGUGUGUUAUAUAUACGUGCAUGCACACACACAUACACAUAUCUGUGCAGUUGGCAUAAUAUUGUACAUACUCUUCUGCAAUUUGUUUUUUCCACCUAACAGAGAAACUGUUAAUUUGGUGUGAUCCACACACAGCAUCAUGCCAGGAAAAUUUUAAAACAGGGUGCAUAAUCAAACAUAGAGUUUUAGUGCAUUAAAAAUCUUUUAAUUUCAGAUUUUAGAGGUAAUCGCAACACAUCCUAAUGCUUGUUCCAAUUUUAACUAAACAAAUUAAUUUUGGAAAUCGUCCACUCAGCCUUGGGUAUGUAAAGAAAGAAGGUUCAGGAGCUGUAGUUUGAGCUUAAUCUACCGUGUAGAUUGACAUACACACCUGCGUGCACAUGCACACAGACACACACACACUUCCUGUUAUUUCUGUUUUGUAACAGGGAUUGUAACCUUCUCCUGUUUAGUAUGCUCACUAUUCAGUAGACCAGCACUGUCCAAAAUGGUAGCCACUAGGCACAUGUGGUUAUUUAAAUUGAAAUUAAACAUUUAGUUCCUCAGUUGUACUAGCCACAUUUCACAUGUCCAUUAACCACGUGUGGCUGGUGGAUAGCAUGGAUCUGGAAUGUUGUCAUUUCACGGAAGGUUCUGUUGGGCAGCUCUGUACUAGAAACUUUCUUCAAGGGGUGCCUGGGUGGCUCAGUCAGUUAAGCGUCCGACUUCACCUCAGGUCAUGAUCUCGCGGUCCGUGAGUUCGAGCCCCGCGUCGGGCUCUGUGCUGACAGCUCAGAGCCUGGAGCCUGUUUCAGAUUCUGUGUCUCCCUCUCUCUGACCCUCCCCUGUUCAUGCUCUGUCUCUCACUGUCUCAAAAAUAAAUAAAAAGGUUAAAAAAAAUUAAAAAAAAAAAAAGAAACUUUCUUCAAGUCCAUUUCUCAUUUAAAUGCAGUGAUUUUUCCACAGGUAGAGGGUGGGGGACUCUGUCCAGGAGGAUGUCUGAGAAUCUGUGGGAGUGACUGGAGAGCUCGCACUUCCAUGCCCUUCCCGGUCAAGAUUCUCAUCCUCCCCUUUGAAGACGCAUGUCCUCCUACUAUCUUUGAGAAUUAGUGUUCCAUAGUAAGUUAAUUGUGGGAAAGAAUAUUGGUACUGAUAGCAUUGCAAGGUUAGAAUAUUAUUUUGAUAAUUGGCAACGCGUAUACGCUAUUAAACUGCAUCUAUACAUACAGUAGGUGUCACUGCUCAACUUGCAAUAGAAAGUGUUUAGUAACAAACUGUUUAGUUACUGUGGGUGCUGACAACGUAUUAUGUUUAAACUUUUUAAAUUGAGAAAAGAAUAGACUAUUGGAAAUGCACCUUUUUGUGGAAAAUAGAUGUAUUUAUGUUGACAUUUAUGUUAGGAAAUAUGUAAUCUGGACAGAUUCAUAGGGAACAGGAAGAAUAGUUCCCUGUGGGAAUGGAGAUGGUGUAAGAGGGAGACAGGUAUGAUAGAAUGACUUUUUUGCUCUCUGCCCUUUGUUUAUGUACCUUGUGACUAUGUGCUUAUGUUAAUACAAAAAUUAAUAAAUAAAAUGAAGAAAAAAACCAAAAUACAUCCUUAAAAUGUGCAGGAUACAGAAUAGAUGGUUUAGGAGGUAAGGGUCACUUAGGACAGAAGGAAUUACAUAGAUUUAUAGGAGCAGAGGGCUGGUCUGAAGUUUCACGUGACCAUCAGAUGAAACCUCGUGAGGCCUCCUGGCAUGCCAGGACCUGGGCUAGGCAGACCAUUUCUCACAGGCUGGUUAUUUUGCAGUAAUUAAAGCUGUUUGCAACUGUUUUAUUACAUGUAACUUAAUACAUUUUAGGAGAAAAAAAUACUCAUAGUACUGAACUAUUUUUUUUCCACGCGACCUUUCUUAACUCUCAUGGAACACGGCUUAGGAAAUGCUGAUUUAAACUCGUGGAAAUAAUUAUCCCAGAAAGAUGAGGUUGAAAAGAAGUUGUUCCAGGUCUGGGGCACCCUGCUUCAUUUACAGUCUUUCAGGAAGAUGAAUACUGGUGUUAAUUGAGUUUAAUUUGAAUAGGGACAUACCACAGAUUAUUCGGCACACGGCGCCCACGUAAAAGUCACACACACACUGAACAUGGACUUGGUCAUUGACACUGCCCGGUGUCCUCCCCCAUCCUUUGCUUACAGCCACUGUCAGGGACCAAGAGGUGGGACAGUCCAACAAUGUGGGGCGUGGGCACAAGGGACAAACCUCCUUUCCUCCACCAUCACGUCUCCAUAUUUCAGCUUCCAGGCGACUGUGACAUCAAAAAUGGAGUGCCCAGAUAGUCAAAACCAAGUGUUAGGUUUUGAAAACAGAAUCCUGUAGUUCAGCAGAAUUGAUCUUCUUCUAUGAAAGCAAGUGGCUGGGAUUUGUGCUUUUUCAGGAAAGCAAACUAAGGGAAAACUAGUUAAGGAAAAAUCAUGCCCUAAACUACAAGCGUUACAAAGGAAAUCUUGUUGGGGGCACCUGGGUGGCUCAGUCGGUUGAGCGUCUGACUUCCGCUCGGGUCAUGGUCUCACAGUCUGUGAGUUCGAGCCCCGCGUCUGGCUCUGUACUGACAGCUCGGAUCCUGGAGCUUGCUUCAGAUUCUGUGUCUCCUUCUCUCUCUCCCCUCCCCCGCUCAUGCUCUGUCUCUCUGUCAAAAAUAAAUAAACAUUAAAAAAAAUUAAAAACAAAAAAAAAAACCCAAAAAACCAAAGGAAAUCUUGUUUGUGGUGGGAGUUCGAGGCAAUGACUUCCCAAAGGCAAGGAUAAUUUUCAAAAUACUGAAUGACCGGCACAGCACAGGAGUUCACACAUUCAGAAUAGAUGCCAGCCUUGCACAACUGGUGUGGCCGUACCAGCGUGUACAGGCUGAGUGUCAUUCCUGCCGGACAACAAAGCCAUUCAAGACGAGAAAUGAGCCAUUACUGGGUUUUGCGGCCAAGCCUGCGGGUUGUCCCCUCAGUGUCCAUAACACCCAUCUUUAUAGAGUCACUAGUUGAUAUUGGGGUGCUUGGCUGCUUUAUGGCCAUAUGACUAAAUUCUGGUCAGUGGGAGGCAUAUUAUCAUGUGGUCUUUUCUAGAACCUUCCUUAAGGGACAGUAUGUGUUCCCCCCUCUGCCCUCUCUUUAUUUAUGCCUUUCCCAUUCCGCUUCCUAGAAUGUGGAUGCCGCCAUCUUGAGCCACGGAGUUGACGUCACUGUGGUGGAGCAGUAAAAUAAGUAGAGGGCCACACUCGCCUGAGAAAGAAAGAAACUUCUCCUGUUUAGGUCACAACGACUUUGGGCUUGAAGACACCCUCAGCCAAACCUAAUUCUAACUAUUGUGGGUCCCUAAUCUCCUAGGCAAAUUCAAUUUUAUUUAAACUCUUAACACUCCUGUGAACUUGGUAUUCUUGUUCCUUGGUAAGGGAUUAGGAGACGGAGGUUGAAUAAAAAUGAAGCAACUUGCCCACGUAUCAGAGCCAGCAUUUGAAUCCAUGUCUGAUCUUUCUGACUUCAGAUCGCCAGGAGCUUAAUCCUUGCUUUAGUAAUUAAUGUGGAACAUAAAGGGCAUGUGGCACAUGGUUUUGUAACAUUCGUGCUUUGGCAGAGCCCCAAUUUUGUGGAUUUUUUUCAAAAAGACGUUGGGUUUUUCAGAGAAAUUCAUUUGUGGCUUUUUGAAAGUGACAAACAUGUUAACUGUUUCUCAGUCAAUAAUACUUAUCAGAAAAGCGUUUUUCUUAAUUUCAAAGAAAGCCGUGUUGUUCCUCUCAUUUCCAGUGUUUGCUUCAUUGUCAUUUGCUAAUUAGGACAUUUCUAUGAAAAGAGGAUAUUUCGAAGAGAAACUGUGUGAUUCAGUUUCUUCAGUUCUAUCUACACCGAAGGAAAUUUCAAGAAAAUUUGGGAUUUUUUUUUCUAGAAUUCUCCUCACUGUGCAGCAACUGCAGAACAUUCCCCACCCCCAUUUCUGUUACGUGAUAAUGUAGAAAUUAGGAUGUUAGUGGGAUGAAGGUUAUGAAUUACUCGGAUUGUCACACGGGGGCAGCCUCCACAGCCAGCCUUUCCGCACAAUUUAGACAGGAGAACAGAGACGCGAGGUGGCUGUGUGCCAUGCGCGGGGCGAGGGUGGAGUGGGCAGGCUGGCAGCCGACGCCCGGAGCGCAGGGGCGAACCAGCAGGUCUGGGGAGGCUGGUAAAGCAGGUGCGGUGCAAACAAUGAGUUGGCAGCAGAGCCUGCAGUAGGUGGGGGACCUUGACCUGCUGCCGGGGCUCCCGGUGGUGCCCUGGGCGAGGCUUCAAGUCCAUUCAUUUUUACGGUCUCACAGUGGACACUUAAUUGGUCAGAACAGCAGUGUCUUGAGUGCAUUCCUGGGAACCCUGUACCUGCAGGAUUUGCCGUGUAAAAAAGAAUUCUGGGAAAACGCCGUGUUCUAAUACCUCUCUCGGAAAUUCACAGCAUGCUUUUAGCGUUUUAAAAGUCUAAGGUGAGAAAUCUAUUCUACUUGAUUUAACCCAGUUUCUGAAACUUCCUUGAAAAUAGAAAUUGUACUUUUUUUUUUUUUUUUUUUUUUUUUUUUUUUAAUACAGCAUCCUGUGGAGACUGCUUCAUGAUUCUUUCAGUAAGCGGUUAGCAGUGGCCUUGGAAGUGGCUGCUUGGGCGGGUUGAAUUCCUGCGAAAAUGUAGGAUUUGCAUCUAACCACAUGGGACUUUUCUUGGCAUCCUCUUUGCUCUUAUUUGCUGGUCCAUAUUCUCGAAAGCGUCGUGCAUCUCUGCUGGUAUCGAGUUCAUGGCAGCAAAACUCUAGUGCUUGAAAGGCCCGUUUAGGUCAUGUAAUCGUGCCUCUUCAUUUGCUGCCUCAGAAGAGGUUAAGUCAUUUGCCAGAGUCCGAAACAGCUAGUAAGUGAGCAUGGGGCCAGGGUCUCUUCAUGUGCCAUUACUUGGUUCCUAGUGGAAAUUACUGGACUUAGUUCCUUACUUUCAAGCCUUUUUUUUAGUGCUUCCUCCUGAUGGGGAUGGAUAAGAGCAAAAGAACUGACGUUUGAUGCCUGUCAAGGUUUGGCAUUGGAAUAAAAAUGAGCAGAAGAGGGAGCACCUGGGGGGGGAGGCACGGAUGCUGCUCAGUAAAAGAAGUGUCACAGAGGAAACCCCAAAACCCGGAUCAGGACUGCUGUGAAUGAUCAUUUUAUUUGUGUGGCUAAGAACGACUUACACCAAGCUCUGUCUGCAAGAGAAUGCGGAAAGUGGAUUACUUCUGGGUGGCCCCGAAGCGAGAACAAAUGAACAGCUGAACAGACAGUGCUGCAGCUGUCGCCAUACUUUACAGAUCGGCAGCGCCUUGAGCCCAUCGGGCGCUGCUCAUUAACCGCCAUGUUUCUCAUGGCGUGAAGGGUUUGGAAAGAAUGAUUUUUGAAAUUUCUCUUCCUAAGGCCAAGAGGAUUGACAUCAUUAGGGCCCACAUUAUGAUUUUGCUUUAAUUUAGAUUUUCUUUCUUUCAUGGUGAACUUAUUAGACCCUUAUUCAUUAAUUGCUAUAUGAAAUUGGAUUCUUUUAUUAUACAAGAGGUUCUUUUUUUAUUUAUUGUCAUAAUUUCACCUGUCACAAGUUUUUGUGGCAUUAGUUUUGAGUGUUCUCUUUUUUUUAAAUGUUUAUUUUGAGAGAGAGAGAGCGAGCGAGCAUACACUCGUGCACAUGUAAGGGAGGGGCAGAGAGGGAGGAAGAGAGAGAACCUCAAGCAGGCUUCAUGCUGUCAGCACAGAGCCCAAUGCAGGGCUCGAUCUCAAACCUUUCGUGAGAUCGUGACCAGAGCCGAAAUCAAGAGUUAGACGCUUAACCAAUGGAACCACCCAGGCGCCCCAAUUUUGAGUAUUAUGUUUUUAUGAACCACUGUCUACAGUCUUAAGUUUUAGAGAAAAAUAAUAAAGCCACAGUAUUUUCUCCUGUUUGAACUGGAGUAAUUCUUCUGUCAGAAGGGAGAAGGUUAAUGAAAGAUCAUUUUGAUUGAGUAGGCCUGACAACUCUUGCUUGAACUUUGUUACUUAACUGCUCCUCUGUCUUUGAAUUGCUCUGAUUAUUAUUAGGUUCUUUUUUAUUCGGGUGGACAUCUGCCUUACGACGAGUUUGGCCUGUGUUCUUGGUUUUGUCCUAUAGCCCUAUUCAGGGAGAGAGGUCAGAAACCCUACUGCAUAUGUAUAUUCUAUACAUUGUGGUUUCUAAAAAAAUUUUUUUAGUGUUUAUUUUUUGAGAGAGAGAGACAGAAUUCGAGUAGGGGAGGGGUAGAGAGAGAGGGAGACACAGAAUCUGAAGCAGGCUCCAGGCUCCAAGCUGUCGGCACAGAGCCCCACGUAGGGCUCAAACCUACGAACUGUGAGAUCAUGACCUCAGCCAAAGUUGGAUGUUUGACUGAGACACCCAGGACCCCCUGUAUAUUCUAUACAUUCUGACUUAAUUUUAUAACAAGGCUGGCAGGUGGGUAUCUUUCACCUCCCUUUUACAGAUAAAGUAACAGAUUCAGAGACUGAAGAUUCUGAAUGAUUUUAGAGACCAAAUGAGUUGCCAGGGCCAUGACAAAACAAGUAAUAGCUGACUCUCUGUCAGUAGUGGCCCCUCAAGUGGGAGAAGGGGGCAGGAUGAUACCUGAUGGAACAAGGUUCAUGUUCCUCCUUGCUAUGCAGAAAAUCUCUUCAUCUCCCAAAUCUAGCCUACACCUGAAAUAGGGUGGAUGGUAGGGACAGGAAGGUUGCCUGCUUGUCUUGUGCACACCUGUUUCCUUUAUCCUCUUGCCUGGAAAUGUUACCAGACUUCACAGGGGUUUCCGAUGACAGCUGGUUAAUUGUAAUGUUAAUUGAAGCCUUUUAAUGUAAUAGCACUCAUUGAGUCUAUAUAGGGAAAUCAAAUGAUAUUCAGACUCUGCAAGUACUUGCCAGGUCUCAGUAAAUACUUGUUGAAGUAUCAAGUGGUGGCCUUUGAAAUCGGAAGAUACGGGUAUCUGUGGGAAUGCCAUCUCCUAUACCAGGCACAGCCGGCAUGCAUCUGUCUACCUGAAGAGCUCCUGAGGCUGGGGUUGGAUUGAGGCAGCAUGGCUGGAGUAGUACCUAAUGAUCCCUAAUCAAAAAGUGGGGGAAGCAAAGUCACACAGUAAAAGCUGGGUUGAGUGUAAAGUUGGAAGGAAAAAAUUCCACAUGGAUCAGAAUCAGUAGGAAUUGGAAUUAAGAAUAAAUUCCAAUGCGAGAAGCUGUGGUGGGUGAGUAACGCGGGUCUGAAGGUGUGUAGAUGGGUUUAAUGUGAGCAGACCGUCCUUCUAGGUGUAUCCCCUAGAGAAACUUUGGAACACGUACCUAAAGAGACAAGUUCAGGAAGACCCCAUCCUUUAGCCUUUAUUGAUGCAGACAUAAGUAUAAAAAUGUGAAGAUAUCCAUGGGAUGGGUAAAUACUAAAAAGUUAGGAUAGUGGUUUGAGCUGAGCCCUCCAUUUGUUGUUGUUGUUGUUGUUAAUGCAUAAUUUAAUUGUCCUAAGCAUCUAGAAUCCUGUACUCGGCAGAUAGGUGUUUUGUGUGUGUGUUUGUUCUCUUAGCUGAUGAGGCUGAUAGAAACACAGAGUAGGAAGGAGUCAGAGAGAACAUCAGGUCUCUCCUUUUGUAGAUGAUGAAGCAGAGAUGCAGGGAUGAACAUUCCAGGUUGCUAGUGGUAGGACUGGGAAUAAGAGCCAGGCUUUUCUGACUGCUAUCCAGGCCCCUCUGCACCACACCAUACAUGGUCUCUUAAUGAAGGCUCUUUUCUGUAAAGCCAUGUCCUGGUAUCAUGCCCCUAACCCUUCGUAGUCCUCCAUUAGAGCACGUUUGUGGACUCUGGUGUUUCAAGGUAUAAGUUUCUAAAUUAAUAGCAACUUGCAUAGCCCACCAAGCCCUGAGUGCGUUUUUCUUCUGUGAAAAUGUCUUAGGGUCUAUCCACAUUUCAUUUUUUCCUCCAAGAUGUUUUAUAUUUUUUUAAUUAGAAACAAACAACUUUUUAAUAAAAAAAUCUUAUAAGCCCCAACUUUACAUGGAUUAUUUGUCCUAAAAAAGCUUUGUAGGACAAAUUCUUAAAAGUUGUCAAUAAUUAAAUAAUUUCAACAGGAAAAAUCUUAGGGAUUCUCAGCCCUCAAGCUGACAUUCAUUUGUAGUAACACAACAUUAAGUUCAGUUAGAAAUUGACAUAAUUGCUUCAAGGAGUAGCAUAGUUACCACAACAUGACCUAAAAAGGCAUUGUAUGUUCUCUAUAAUAUGGUUCUUUGUCAGCUUUUCUUGAACUCCUUUGUAGCUAUUGCACACCAAGAGUCUAAGGCCACAGUAAAACACAAAACUGCCUAAUUCGGCAACAAAAUAUCAACCUUUCUUAAAUUCUGUUUAAUGCAAAAACAAUGGAGUAUAUAGACAAAAUAAAUCAGUGAAAACAGGGGCGCCUGGGUGGCUCAGUCAGUUAAGUGUCUUGACUUGGGCUCGGGUCAUGAUCUCACAGCUUGUGAGUUCGAGCCCCAUGUUGGGCUCUGUGCUGACAUUUCAGAGCCUGGAGCCUGCUUUGGAUUCUGUGUCUCCCUCUCUCUGCUCCUCUCCCGCUCACGCUGUCUCUUCUCUCCUUCAAAAAUGAAUGAACAUGAAAAAAAAUUAAAAAUAAAUCAAUGAAAACAAUGUAUUGCAGGUUAAGUGUAGGUUAAAUGCCAGGGACUAGUGUUGUGAACUAAUGAGCCCCAAGUGCUGUGGAAUGAGAACUUCCGUACCACAUGCUCCACUUCUAAAGUCACAGUGAUGUUCACUAAUGACUUAGGUCCUGUGGCGCCCAGCUGGUCCUCAGGUGCUGCAUACACAAGUCAUUCUUCUUAAAUGCUAAGAGAAGUGCCAUAUACCGAAAAUUGCAUUAUUAAAGAAAGCUGCCUGUAAAGCAGCUCUCAACCCAAGGGAAUAUAUGGGUGUGUUAGAAAUGGAAACAGGUGCACGUGCAUGUGUGUGCGUGUGUGGUGGGGCUGGGUCGAUGGAAAAAAAGAAAAGAAAACCAGUGUGUUAACAACUUCUUAAAGAUGGGCACGCAAGUAAACCCCUCUCUCCCUUUCCUCUGCCUUUGUCCUCAGCCCUGAGAUUUAUCAGUUUGAUUUCAUUCACAGUCACUGAAGGUUUUUCCUUCUGAUAAGCAUUGAUGCCUUUUUGUAGCGUAGAAUGAGUGACUGAUGCAUUGUUUGGCCAGCUCGUAAUCAGUGGUGAGUAGUGUCCAACAUCGUAUUUCUAAAUAACGAUCCUCCUUCAGUAUUCUGUAGUCUUUUUCUGUCCCAGGUUCACUUAAAAUUUCGAUGACUGACUGCUUCUAGCCAAAGAAAUCAUCCCUCAGCUGGUUCUGCCUGGGUAAACUGAAGUAUCAUUGGGAUAUUUCUGUUUUAUUCAGUGUGAUACUACUCUGAUGCUUAAAAUAGUUUGGGUGUAAUUCUUUCUGCACUUGGGGAAUGGUGGUGGUCUUUAUUUUGAUUCAAGUAGCAAUAGUAAUUUUCAGGACAUGAGAUACACAAAAGUGAAACAGUGUAUUUCACAUAUUUUCAUAGUAAAAUGUUGUUUUGUGAAGGUGAAUGACAAGCUGAUUUGUUGCAUUUCCUCAAGCACAUUAGUCUGAAGGCUGUGCUCUCAGAUGUCUCCUCUUUUUUCUCUCCCUUUUGUCAGCAGAUGGCGUAUUACCGUUCCCUCUCACUUCUGUUUUCUUCGCCUUUUUAUUCCUCUCUUUCCUCCUCCUCUUCCUCCCUUGCCAACCCCCCCCACCUUGGCAAACAUUUGUCACAAGAAUGGAUGCUGUUAUGAAAAAAAAAUAAAGUCUGGCUGUGACAUGUUGUCUUUUCAAAAGUACAAGAAAGAAAGGAGGAAACAGGUUUUCAUUGCUUCGGGCAUAAUACAGCUGGCUAAUUUUCUCUGCUAACACUUUAUUAGAGGAACACUUGUUCCCCUUUAGAGCGGAUCUGACAUUUUUUUGUAACAGUUAUGUUUGCUUUUAUAUUUCUAUCCUGUUGUUUUGCAUGCAGAUAGCUCCUCUUUUCCCUUUUAGGUGGAUGGGCCCUUUCAUUAAUAUUACGUGUUUUUACUUAUUUAUUUAGUAAUUUUUUAGUGUUUUAUUAUUGUGAGAGAAAGAGAGUGCGCACGCUCGCACAAGUGGGGGAGGGGCAGAGAGAGGGAGACACAGAAUACGAAGCCAGCUCCAGGCUCCGAGCUGUCAGCGCAGCUUGAACGGACGCGGAUGCAGGGCUUGAACCCACGGACUGCGAGAUUAUGACCCGAACUGAAGUUGGGUGCUUAACCGACUGAGCCACCCAGGCACCCCAAUUUUAUGUGUUUUUAAAUACAGAACUUUUUCCAAAGGAAAAUCCUUUGAUGUACAGAUAAAUAGAUUAAAAUACAUUUGCACUUAAUUUUGGGAGUAAAACUCCUGUGACAGUGAUUGGGGCUGUCGUGAACAUGAGGUACACAUGAAGAUGUGAUUGGGUGGAGAAUACGUACAACUUAAUGAGAGGCUGUUAAUGACUGGAAGAGGGUUCAUUAAUAUGCGUUGUAAAACUAGGCUGUACGUGGAAUGUGUGAGGGAGCUAAUUAAAUAUUCUAAGGAAUCCUACGAACCCCAUAUUCCUUCUAUUCUUUUCUUAUUCUUUCUGCCAACAGUAAAUAUCAAAUGUUUCCAGAAUGGAUACUGCAUAAAGAGCAGGUACACGGAAUUGUCUGUGCUCUCAAAGGAUGUAGUCUUCCUGAAUGUAAUUUGGGAGUCCACUUUCCUGCUUUAGGAAGAAUGGUAGAGUGAGCCCAGUUUAAUCUUUAACGUAUUAUUACCACCGUCUCUGCUUGCGUAAAUCCCAGUUGCAACACAGCGCCUUCUUUCUGAUAUCUUCAUUCUAUUCCUACCCCUCUUCACUCACCCACCUACCUCCAAAGCAAAGUGAUCUCCGGCUCCUCUGAACACCCGGAGCAUUUGUGCAUACCUGCUUUUUGACCUCGUCACUUCCUACUUUGUAGCAUAGUUACUAACAGCUGUUGGACGGAAAGCAUCUUGAUCCCCAGUAGUUCUGAGCACAAUGCCCUGAACAGAAAUGCUGCCCACUAUUUGACUUAUUGAAUGCGUAUUGGAUAUUAACUUUACAAGUGCAUUGGCUCCUAGAAUCAGUCAGACCUGGGUUUGAAACUCAGCUCUGCGAGUCUGGCCAAGCCUUAACUGCUCUGAAUUUCAGUUUCCUAAUCUGCAAAGUAUAUGUGAUAAUGACUGCUUGGUAGAGAUGUUGUAGGGAUAGAAAGCAGUGGUGUAGGUAAAACACAGUGCUUGGGGCAUAGUAGAUGCGCAGUUUUCUAGAUGUGUACCCACAUGUCCUCCCCGGACACAACACGCACACACACACGCAUACACACACACACAGUGUAUGUGUGCAUGUGCAAGAUGCUAGGCCCUCAGAGACCAAACCACACAAGUCCUGUGCUCAUGUUGCUUAAAGAAGAAAUGAAACCAUACAGGGUGCAGAAUUGUGGUUCUGUUGGGGCAGUGGAGAGGGUGUACCAUGGGAGUUCAUGUGUUUCUCCCAGAGAAAGGAUGGAUAUGGUUUAGGGAAAGUGUUAAUGCAAAAGAUGGCAAUUGUGCAGAAGGUAGGAGAAUGGGUAGGGCUUGAAUGAAUGUUACUGAAGGCUAGAGAGGAAGAUACGUACUUUAAAAGAUUUGUCUCUUCAAAAACUAUAGUUGUGCAGUAGAACUUCCUGGUCGAGGACUGAGAUUGGAGAUGAAUGUCUCUACUCAUCUGCCAGUAUUUUUCUCAGAAACUUGCAUGCCUAUAUGGGCUUUCCUAUGACCUACCUACUCCUUUUGGUCCAAGUGUGGUAGUUGCCACCAGGCAUGUUGGAAAUGAUAAAAUAGUUCGGUAGCAACUUUGCCAGCGUUCUAAAUUUGGUAGUUGAUAGCACUGUAUUGGGUGCCUUUCCCAUGGGCAUGGAGAAGGGGAGAAUUAACUUGGUAACUGCCUGUAAAAAUACAUCAGCAGGAAGGUUUUCAGCUUAAUGGUGAUAAAAUAAAAUAUAAUACAGAAUAGCUCCCUAGUCCUUUCCAUACACAGAUUUUUCUAAAUGCUUUGAAGUAGAUGGGGGAUAAAAGAAGCCUGUAAUACUAAACCAUCCAAAAAUGAAAUCAAAUGCUUUAUGCCUGUUGGGUAUUGUUAUCACCCAAAUUCAAGUGUGGACCUUAAUGUAGAGUCUAUAGUCGAUAAAGUUAACACUAGUGAUCCCAGUUGGCACAGAGAACUACCGCUCAGACUGCUGAAUCCAUUAAGUAAUGGAAUCGGGUUUAACUGUUCCCCUCAGAGGUUGAAAAUCUUCACAAUGAGGAAAAACCACCCAUACGCCCAAUAGGAAUGUAUUUGAGUCCUUACCUAGGGGCACUGUGACUGCAGUCUCCUUGGAAAAAUUUUAGGAGUGGUCUGAGCUCAGUUGAGUUGUGUUGUUCGCCCUCUGCUUUUCCUCAGCCACAGCUGGGCUGUGCUGCUGCAGGGAGGGCUGGAGGAGCUGGAGAGGGAUGCAAGAGAGCGUCUCAUAGACCUGUCUACUUUAGAGCUAGAAAACCGGUGACACGUUGCUAUAUAGAAGUCUGUUUAGCAGCAACUGCAUUUGAGUUCAGGUACUUCUUUGAUGUUGGGAGAUGUCCAGUAUAUGUUACAGCAGUGAGGUUCCACCGACCCCAUUACUGAUCCUGUAGCCAGGAAGGGGCUGAUCUCUCCUGGCUAUUCGCCCUCUUUGCCCCACCUUCAAAUGCCUCUCCAUUUCUUAGACUGUUUAAAUCGGACAUUGGGAAGAAUUUAUUUUUCCUCAGCCUUCGCAAUCCUGUUUUGGUUGUAAAACAAAGUCAGAAACAAGAGCCUGGAGGUGUAUGCUCUAGGGUUAUGGUGCUGUUCCUGUCAAUUACUUGCUGUAUGAUUGUAGGUAACUCAGUUUCUAAAUACUUGUGUUUGCUCAUUAGUGAAAUGAACCUAUCUCGCUAGAGAACAUAGAUUUGUAACCUGGAAUCCAUAGAUGGCCUUCUGUGAAACUACAUAUGUAGUUACAUAUUUUUGAAGCCCUUACCCUUGUUUUGGAUUCUCAGAGGAGUCUGUGAACUCCUCUUCCCCACAUUAAUCUCUCUGCCUUGGAAGUUAUUGUGAAUUUGGUAAAAGAUAAUAGGUAAAAAGAGCUUUAGUAAUAUGAAAAACAUCAUUUCAAGUAGAUUAGAAUCACUCUCUGCUGAGACCAUCUAAUUCAUAUUUCCUCUCUUUUGGAACUCCUCAAUAAACACAUCUGUUUUCUUGUAGUACCUCCCUUCUUCCCUCCUCAUCUCUUCCAUCUUUCCAGUUGUGGAAGAUCUAGAAUGGAAAUCUGAGUACAGUUUUCCAGGCUUCAACACUUGUCAGACCUUUAGUUCAGUCUCAGACUGACUUUCCCCGACUGUGCUGUUUCAGCUUCUGCCAGUGCUUUGGUGUGCUGAAAACUGGCUUUAGCGUCUUCGGUUUCCAUAAUAUUCUUCUGGUUGCUUCUGCAUUGGUGGUACUUCAGCCCCACAUUGAUAUAGAGAAAAGACUAAUUUUCUUUUAUUUAAUCCUUUGAAAAAGACACCUUCAGCUGCUUACCCCAUUUGAACUUACUACAUAUUCUCUUAAGUAUAUGAGCUUAUCUUUUGUCAGCCAGAAACAGAAAGUAGAAAAAAAUCACCCUAGAUUUCUUUCAUAAGACUCUUGCAUUCUAACCCAGAUAUAGGGGGAGAUAUAGGGGUGUCUGGGUUGAACAUCGACUCUUGAUUUUGGCUCAGGUCACGCUCUCACGGUCAUGAGAUUGAGCCAUGUGUCAGAGUCUGUGCUGAUAGCACAGCUCUCUCUCUGUCUCUGCCCCUCCCCCACUUGCAUGAGCGGGCUCUUGCUCUCUCUCAAAAUAAAUAAACUUAAAAAAAUAAUAAAAUGAUAGAUCACAUAAAUUUCCUAGUUCUUGGGGCGCCUGGGUGGCGCAGUCGGUUAAGCGUCCGACUUCAGCCAGGUCACGAUCUCGCGUUCCGUGAGUUCGAGCCCCGCGUCAGGCUCUGGGCUGAUGGCUCAGAGCCUGGAGCCUGUUUCCGAUUCUGUGUCUCCCUCUCUCUCUGCCCCUCGCCCGUUCAUGCUCUGUCUCUCUCUGUCCCAAAAAUAAAUAAACGUUGAAAAAAAAAAAUUAAAAAAAAAAAUUUCCUAGUUCUUUGAGUCAUCUAUAAUUACAUAACAAACCAUUCCAAAACUUACUGGAUUAACACAAUUAUUUUACUUGCUCAUGACUCUGUGAGUUGGCUGGGGCUCAGUUGGGUGGUUCUUCUGCUGGUCUCUCUGAUGACCGAGAGUGGUUGCAACAAGAUGAUGGCUGGGGCUGGAAUAUCCAAGACACCUUGGCUCAUGUCCAACCACCUUAAUAGGAUCAUCUGGUAGGUUUUGAUCUCUUUCUCCCUGGCUUGCUUGGUCUUCUGUAUAUGAGAGCCGCCUAUUGGUAGAUAUUUGAGAGGGCAAGCCCCACUGUGCAAAUAUUUACCAAGCUUCUGCUUGCGUCAUGCCUGCACGUACACCCCAUCAGCCCAGCCCAGAGUUGUGUGGGAGGGCACGACACAGGAUGUGAGUACCACAAGUCCCAUGGUUCAUGGGGAGCUGCUAAGAUAACAUGCCACAUUAGCAUAUAGGAGUAGCUCAUUUCCUAUUUUUAUGAAAUGAGUGAUUCAGGUUUUCAACCAGGAUAGUUCACAACUCCAGCGAAAGGGGAAGUAUGUCCUUUGCUCUAAGGAAGCUCAGAUUUAGAAAUCUAAACUAAACAACAAGAUGAAUUUACAGAGCUUGAGGCAAUUGAGUAAGGGAUAAGAUUUUGUUAGAAAUGUUUGUUUUGCAAGUGGUAUUCAUCUAGAACUCCUCAUUAAUAUAUUUUAAGAAUUCAUUAUAAUACACCAUUAAUGGCUUGAUAAAAAGAAAUAGAAAGGGUGGCAAGGGAGGAAAGGGAAUUAAAAAAAAAUUUUUUUUAAGUUUAGGACGUUUUUUUUUAAAUUUCUGGGAGUUGUUGUCAUUUCAGGACAAUCAGAAAUCAAAACUUAAAGCGUCUAUGGUAUUAAAAUCUAUGAAGGAAAACCACUGUGACAUAGUUCGUGUGGAAUCAGUCGUACAGAUUGAUGAAUGUCAGGUCAUUUUCUCAAGGAGAGUCAUAGCCUUUCUCUUCCUUUGAAAUAUCUAAGGAGCAUUUUAAUUUAUGAGAAAGACCUGACAGAUUAGGAGAAAGAUCUGGUUACAGUUAGAGCACAGAAAGCUCACUGUACUGAAGUAUAGUAUUUCUGAUUGUACUUAAGUAGGUUACUUAUGUGUAGUACUUUACUUCGUUUUUAUUUUUUUAAUGUUUAUUUAUUUUUAAGAGAGAGAGAGAGAGGGUGAGCACCAGCAUGCGUGAGGGGAGAGGAGCAGAGAGAAAGGAAGACAGAGGAUCCAGACCAGGCUCUGUGCUGACAGCAGAGAGCCCAACGUCGGGCUCAAACUCAUGAACUACAAGAUCAUAACCUGAGCUAAAGUCGGACGGUUAACUGACUGAGCCACCCAGGCGCUCCCUUCCCCCCCCCCCCGCCACCAUAUAGUACUUCUUAAACUUACAUGUGCAAGCAAAUCUUGGGGAACUUACUACAGUGCACGUUCUGAUUCGGUAGUUCUGGGGUGUUGUACAUUUCUGCUGAGCUUCGGGGUGAUUCGGUAGUGCUCGUCCAACAAGGCUUUAGUAGACCUAACCCUUCUGAGGUUCCUAUCCUGGCCAGGCCUCUCAGGUAAACCCCCUUAAUUCUCAUACACACUGGUAUGUGACUUUUUACUUCUGUCAUUGACCCCCAGCAGGACAAACAGAAGUCCUUUUAGUGUCUUAUCACACAUGCUCAAGCCAUGUAUUUCACAACUAAGGAAUAGGUAUUAAUUUAAAACUACAGUUGGCCCUGGAACAACCUGGCUUUGAACUUUGCAGAUCCACUUAUAUGUAUUUUCUUAUGAUUUUCUUUUUUUUUUUUUAUGAUUUUUUUUUUUUUUUUGGGACAGAGAGAGACAGAGCAUGAACGGGGGAGGGGCAGAGAGAGAGGGAGACACAGAAUCGGAAACAGGCUCCAGGCUCCGAGCCAUCAGCCCAGAGCCUGACGCGGGGCUCGAACUCACGGACCGCGAGAUCGUGACCUGGCUGAAGUCGGACGCUUAACCGACUGCGCCACCCAGGCGCCCCUAUGAUUUUAUUUUUUAAGUAAUCUCUGUACCCAACGUGGGGCUCAAACCCAAGACCCCAGGAUCAAGAGUCACAUGCUCUUCUGACUGAACCAGCCAGGAACCCCCUCUUCCUACUGAUUUUUUUUUUAAUAACAUUUUCUUUUCUGUAGCUUGCUUUAUUUAGGAAUACAGUAUGUAAUGCAUAUAACCUACAAAGUACGUAUGAAUCGAUAGGUGCUUGUUAUCCAUAAGGCUUCCGGUCAGUAGUAGGCUAUUAGUAGUUAAGUUUUGGGAGAGUCAGAAGUUAUGUACAGACUUUUGACUAUUUGGUAUGGGGGGUGGUUACCCCUCAAGUUGUUCAAGGGUCGAUUUUUAGUUCCUUUGGCAUAUGGCAUUAAGUCAUUUGUAUAAAUCUGGCCUUUGUUAAUGGCUGUAACCCGAAAAAAGAAAAUUCUUGGUUUAAAUUGAAUUGAUUAGUCCCUCAGGGAUUUCUUAACCACAACCCUCAUAUCUGGCUAUCAACAAGACUUUUGCUUGUCUCAGAUUCUUCUUGAAAGCCAAGGUAUAUAGAGGGCCAGACACUCUGGUCUGCCAACUUUUGUCAAGUGCUAGCUGGUAAAAUGGGAUCAAAGUGUAUUCACCAGCACUCCCAAGACUCCACGUGAGCCACCGGACCUAGAGGUGUGGCCAUCCUUCCUCACUGUGGUGCGUUCAGUUCUCCAGAACUCUGUUUCUUAUUCUGGGCUUACACAUGUCUCUGGAGGUACUCCAGUCCAACCUGCCUUUUCCUGUGCAGUUUUCAAAGUAUAUCCUUUCUUCCGACCUUCCUCUUCGCAGAGGGAAGCAGUGCAGCCUCAGAGAUCUAGCCCAUCCAAAUAGUCCUACCCAGAAAUUUGUCUUCCAGUUAAAAAAUAUUUUUAAUUGGAAAAUUACGUACUAAUCUUCACCUCAGAAGACACUAAUAGUGGAACUCACUCUUUGAACAAAGGCAAUGUGGGUAAUAGGAGAGGGCUUUGGAACCGGACAAACUUGGAUUUGCACCCUAGCUCAGCUGUUACUAGCCUGAUCUAAAUCAUUUUUCUAAAUCAAAUGAAAUCUGGUGAGGGUUCCCACUUCUCAGGGUGUGUGGGAAAUCCACUCUCAAGUUGUUGUUGGGACCCCUCACUUUCCAGAAUGCGAGCAGGACUUCCAGUCCUCAUCUGUUCAUGGUUGCCACCGUUCAUGCACCUGGCCUGGACCCUUGUCGUCACUCGGAAGGGAGGCUCGUCCGUGUCUCUGCUUCCCUCACGGCUUUGUACAACACCCCAAACCGUGUGUUUACUACAGUGUCCACAAAUACUGUGUCAACAUCUUUAUCUGAAAUCUUGCCCCCGGCAGUGCGUAAAUGGGUCAGGGCUUUGCUCUUCAUGGGACCCUAACCUUCUCCUCUCCCAGUUUGGGGAAAAUCAGGCCUACGGGUUGAAUAACUCACUUUUUCAAUCCCACAAGCCCACAGCCUUCAUACCCAUAGCUUUGGGGGAUUCUAGCACUUUAAUUCCUUUGGCCUCCACCUUUAAAACUCAGAGGUCCCCAGGUUAGUCCACCCAUCCAGAGAAUUUCCCUUUUUGUUAUAAACACCACCAAAGGUAAAAAAAAAAAAAAGUGUGUGUGUGNNNNNNNNNNNNNNNNNNNNNNNNNNNNNNNNNNNNNNNNNNNNNNNNNNNNNNNNNNNNNNNNNNNNNNNNNNNNNNNNNNNNNNNNNNNNNNNNNNNNNNNNNNNNNNNNNNNNNNNNNNNNNNNNNNNNNNNNNNNNNNNNNNNNNNNNNNNNNNNNNNNNNNNNNNNNNNNNNNNNNNNNNNNNNNNNNNNNNNNNNNNNNNNNNNNNNNNNNNNNNNNNNNNNNNNNNNNNNNNNNNNUUUAUAAUAUAUAUAAUAUAUACAUUUGUAAUUAAAAUUUUAAUAUUUAUAUAUUUAUAUAUAAAUAUAUAUAUUUAUAAAAUAUAUGUUAUAUAUAAAUUUAUAUAAACUUAUAAUUAAAAAUUUAAAUAAUACAUAAAUUUAUUAAAUUCAUUUUUAUUUAUUGUUAGAUAAUAAUAUUAUUUUAAUUUAUCUAACAACUCUAAUGGUAUUCCUAUUUUUACAUGGAAGGAAAUUGUGGCUUACGGGAUUUGACCAAGCACCUGUGGCUAGUGAGUGGAAGAAUCUCAGUGUGAGCGGAGAUCUUUGGUUACGAAACCCUGGAAACACGGUGGUUGGGCUCUCACAUUGCCAGUGACUCUUUGAGCUUGCGUAUAUUUGUUAAACGUAUUUCCCUUACCUGAAGACAUUGGCGUCGGGUGGUUGCACUCCAUAGCAUCCUUCCAUCUAAACAGUCUGUGACUCUGCGUAACUGCCGUUUUACUUCCCCUCUUUUUCAGCCAGAAAAGUGACUUUUUACACUGUAAGGUAUACACGGCUGCCGUAGUUCCUCGGGGAAGGGCAGCUCAGUGGGGGAGGUACCCAGGGACUACAGUUACAAAUUAGUGGCUCUGAGCAACUAGUUUGUUGAAGGAGCUUUUGCAGGUAACCUCAGAAGGCCCCAAUGUUGACCGCCUUUGAACAAUCACAGCGAAUUUGAAAGGGGUCAAAUACAGAAGAAAAACCACUUUUGUCCAAAUUUUAAAUGAAGCAAGAGAAUCCGGAAGCUCAGUGGAUCCUUUGACUGUGGCUCACCAGUGGAACAUAGAGUCAGAGAGGUGAUUUAUAAACCUUUAUAAAAAAAGAGGUAUUUAUAAAAUACUUUAGAAAAGUACGCAGUGUUAGGAGGUCCAGCAUGAGCUCACUAGAGGACAGAUAUUAAACUGACUUUGUUUCCUGUUUUGAAAGAGUCCACAUAUUAAGGGUAUGUGGUUGAUGUAUUUUGUCUUGAUUUUACUAAAGCAUUUCACAGAGAAUUCUAUGAAGAUGGUGACAUGUUGAUUAGAUCAGUAGUUUCCUUUUUUUUUUUUUUUUUUUGCUCCCUCCUAAGAACUAGAUUCUCAUCUGUACUCCACACCUAUUGGAAGAAAAUUAUUGAGAAAAGGGCCCAAGAAUCCAUAUGUUAGAAAAGCUUAUCCAGGUCCACUGCUGCCAUUCCAUAGACUGGCAUUUGAGAAACACCAUAGAAGUUUUCAAAUUUGGGGAGAGGGGCAGGGAAUCCCCUGCUCAAAUAAAAUUUUUUAUGAAACUCUACCAUAUAAAACAGAUAAAGUGACAUAUGAUCCUAGUAUAAAUUUUUUUUUUUUUUUGAAAUUUACACUUACAAUUUUUUUUUAAGUUUAUUUAUUUUGAGAGAGAGAGAGAGAGAGAGUGUGCACACCCAAGUUGGGGAAUGGAAAACAAAGAGAGAAUCCCAAGCAGGCUCUGUGCUGUCAGCGUGGAGCCCGAUUCAGGGCUCAAACUCACAAACCGUGAGAUCAUGAGCGGAGCCAAAACCAAGAGUCGGACACUUAACCGACUGAGCUUCCCAGGUGCCCCUGUGUUCAUAAUGUUUACUGAAGAGUCAGAACAAUGAGGCUGUUAAUGAAAAAGUUUAAAUCAGGUGCUGAUAAUCACUGUGUUAUAACUGUGUAUUCACAUCAGCUUCUGUGUUUCAUGAGAUUGUAUACUUUGCUUUAAAUGCAUAAUAUUUAAGAAAUCUGCUCUUACAAUUACUCACAAAUUAUAACCGGGUUUUUUUGGUGUGUGUUUGCUUCGUUUUUAAAUGACUUGCCAUGGAAUCCCAGGAUACUUUUCAAUUCCCCUAACCUAAGGUAGGGAAUAUUUGUUUCAGAACUGUAACCCUGUAAUGAAACCUAUGGAAACAAUUGCUCGCAUUCCUUAUCAUAAAUCUAAAGUCAUACAGGAAACAUCUAACUCCUAGAAUAAAUAUUUAUUCUCUCUCAAAUAGGAUAUUAUCACAAAGGACUUUUUACUGUGAUGAAAGCAAGGCCGUAUAGGUGCCCCUGAGCCUCGCCUGGCAUUUAAUGGAAGCCCACACUUGGGCGUGGUUUUGUGUGUGUGUGCUUACUUGAACAACUUCACGAGAGCGGACUGUGCAUACUGGUGUUUUUCCUAAGACCAAGGGAGGCCUACAACUUCCCUUACCAGUGUCACACUUACAAGAAGCCCAUGUGUGCACAUAGAGGUCCCCCAGCCAGGGUCAUGAGGCAUGACCUGUGUAUCUGCAGUGGGUGACGAGUUUGUAUAUAAGCCAUUUCGGUGUCAUUUAAAACAACUACAGCUUUGAAAAUAUAUAAAAUACAUUCGAACAUUAGGAACAGAGGGUGGUGUCCUCGGAGCACCUCCACCGGAGUGCUCUUUUUGAAAACACGGAUCUAAUAUUGACUGAUUCAUGUUGAGGAAGAUCCUUGAUUUUCUGCAGAAUACACAGAUAAAGUUGGGGACAGCUAGGUAGUUGCAGAUGAGAAAAAUACCACAGUUGAGAAAGUGGAUUUGUGUACACAAAGAAUAGAGUACUGUUGAGUGCAAAUGGGGAAGUGAUCUCUCUUCUGGCCAGAAAAUCAGGGAAGGCUUCCUGGAAGAGAAGACAUCUGACGAGGCCUUUGAGGAUGUUUAGGUCUUGGGUAUGAGAAUUAUGAGGGAGAAGAAAUGAUGUUGUAGGGCAGUUCACCUUUUUGGAGAGUAUGAUUUUAGGCAAAAAUAAUGUACAUGUCACUAUUCUCUUACACAGAUAACCUUCUUCACUAGUAAAUGAGCUGUAUGUGCAUUCAAAGGUAGAAUCCAUUCAGAAUCUGAAAAAAGGACCAUUUUCAUACAUUUACACGUGCCUCAAGUUUCCUUCAAAGUUAUCACUGUCAGACAGUGAUUCACUUGUUCAGAUUUAGACCUUUCCAGUGAUACUUUGCCCAACUUGGCUGCCCCUUUAAUACCUCCAUGCAUCAUAAAUGGACCCUAAACCUGGCCUCUGCAAGAGUUCUAGCCAUUCAUUUAUCCAGCUAUUCGCCCACGCUGGCAUAUUGAGCACCUAUAUAUGUGUAGGUCUUGGUGAGUUCUAGGCACCCAGCAGUGAACAAGUCAGCACUGGAGGGUGAAGUGGGUGCCUGGAAACCACCUAAAGUUCUUAUCGCUGAACUGCAUUUAAGAAGAUAACAAUGCAACUUUUCCCACAAACUGAUAACAGCAUAAAGUGUACACAUGCCAGAGCGUUUACAUUUUAACAAGGAUCAAAGCUUCGCCUCAAACUACUUCUAAUCAGGAGGCGUGUGAGGGGAAUUGUGGUUUGAGCCUUGGGUCUUUUCCAGCUUAUACGGCUUCUUAGGCAGCAGGAUUGGUACUGUCCUAUCUGUACUUUAAGGUGGAGACUGGCUCUGGUAAUAUUCCUCUCAGCAAAGUAGCCUAAAGACAACUCUACAGCAGGAGGGAAAUCAGUUAGAUAGUCCAUAAUGGCAAAGACUCUUUCUGAGGGGCAGGAUUGCAGAGCAUGGAGAGAGGGGGUGUAGCACGGUGGCAGGUGCACAGAGCCCGCUGGUGCAUAGCCCGGCUCUUGGUGGCUGGGUGAGCCAUCCAACCCCUCUGUGCAUCUGGAAAUACAGAUGAUAAUGGUAAUUACCCACCUCAAAGGAUUGCUGAGGGUCAAAUAAGUUAGUAUAGAAAGAGCAUUUAGAAUUGUGCCUGCCGUAGAGUAACUGCAUUAGGUUAAAUUAGCUAUUAUUUCUUUCAGCCAUGUGUUUUUCCAGUUUGCCCAUUUUCUGAGAACAUAGAGUAGCUAUAGAGGAAGAGUGCAUAAUUGGGUGAUGAGUAAUUCCUUCUUUCACCUCUUCACACCCCCCACACUCCUGCUCCACAGACCCCAGAGUUAACUUGUUUUGUAAGGCUAUAACAUCAUAUUUGAAUGUAUGACCUUGAAAUUUUCUGAUUAAGUAGUUCUGGGCAAAGCUCUAAUGGUUGGAAAAUAAAUCAGGCCUCCCACACAUACCUGCUCAGCCAAGAAUUUGUUUGCCCCAGGAACCGUGGGUGGGCGGGAGUGGAAGCAAGUCCACACCCAGGCUUAUGUGAACUCUCUGUUCCUGCUGGAGACUGGGGUCAUCCUUCUCCCUUUGCUUACCAAUGCUUCCUGGUCAUUUCUUUUCAACCUCAGUUGAAGAAAUAGAGAAACAAAUAUUUUCCUUUCUCAUUUUCUCUCUCCCCAGCUCCAGGGGAACACUCCCCCCAUCCCUGCUUGUGUGUUUUCUCUAGUUUGGCUUUGUAUUUGCCCCUUGGUAUUGCACUUGUGCAAAUUUCUCCCAAGCCCAGGGAGACAGCAUACCGUGUCUGAUGAUGGACUGUAGGGGUCCCUGCAUGGUUCCCCAGUUUCAGGGUCUGCGGCAGGGCCCUCCCGGAAGUGCCCUGGAACUUUCUGUUGGUUCUUGUAGCCAGGGAUAGAGAACCCCGCCCCUGCCUUUGCACUGGGACGAGUCACAGGUGCUCCUGCCUUCCGGGAGUGUCUGGGGGACACCUGCUGUCUGCGUCCUGGGGAGACGGGUGAGGGCUCCUCGGAAAUGUGCCAUGUUGAGACCUGUGGUCUGUGUGACCCUCGGGUACUGGUUCCUGGCUUGUUUUGUUUUUCUUUUUGGUCCAUCGUCCUAGUGAAGUCCUCUCGUUAGAGCAGGUAUGCUCUUUUCUGAGCCUGAGAACAGGUGUGUACCAGUCCCUGUCCUGAGGGAGGCAGUCUGGGAUGAGGUGGAAGGAGGGCUUCUCAGACCCGGGGAAAUCUCUUUGGGCAGAGCGAAGCUUAGAAAGUCAUGUGACCUUUCUGAGCCUGUGUGAUCACUCCUUGCCCAUCCGGUGAAUGGGAAGCCAUGCGGGAUGUGGAGAGCUCCCAGGAAUGCGUCCUUCCUUUUCCUCUGUUUCCUUCUCAAAUGGUGGAAUGCAGGCUUAUGGUAGGGAUAGGUAGGUACUGGGUCAAUUUUUUUCUAAUAACCUAAUGGGCUUCAGCAUGGGGGACUGGUAUUUGGGGGCCUUUGCCCUGUAGUCAGACUCCAGAUGAGCCCAUCUCAGGAGAAGCAUCCUUCGCCCUCCUGGCUGGCCGAGGACUCGGAGAAGCAGCAGAAACUCCUUUGGAAUUUUGCCACUUUAUAUCCCCUCUAGUUUGCUCGACUAUAAGGAAGAACUGGCAAAAUUAAAAAUGAAAAAUUGUUUUGAAAAUUACACCCUGUCUACAAACAGCCGCAGAUCAAGAGUAACCACCAGACAUCCUGUUGCUCAGCAUGCUGGCUGGUCGGGGGUUGCUGGGUUCGGGGCUCUGCCUCGGCGUUGGGCCCUGAAACAGGCCCGUGUUCUGGAUCAGUUGGCACAGGCCACCUCUUAACCGCCACUGUAAAACCUGUCGGAUAAAAAGAAGUCAGCACGAUAAAAUCUGCAUCUGGACAGUGUGCUGUGCCUUCCUGCUCAUUUCCAUUUUCCAAAUCUAGGAUAUUUUUUUGUUUUAAAAGAGGUGCUGAAAGAAGUUUAUCUGAUUGUGUGACUUGGUGUGAGGCCAGAAAACUUCUGCUAACGUCUCUGAAAUAUCUCUUUUAAAGCUGUUUUUUAAACCUCCUGAAGUGAACUAAAGACCUUCACUAACUCCUAGACUCUAAAGUUCUCAUUAUGGAGAAGGUCCACCCUGCUUCCUGCUAGAAUAAGGAAAGGGGGUGACAGUUCAUAUGCAAAUGGCCCCACCACCCGCUAGGAGGUGGCCGAAGUGGCUUCCUCAGGCCUUGUCCCAGAGCCACCGGAUUGGAUUGUCUGUGUGGCACCCACAGAGCCCAGGGCAGCUCCACAGGAAACAGUGGGACUACUGGGCGAAGGCUGUCGGGGAGGUAAGGGUGGGGAUGUGUUUACAGUCCCCUGUGAGCAGAAAGUGGGGAGAGGGGAGAAGGCACUCAGUCCGGGCCACCAGUCCUGAUGCGGGACCAGGCUUUGUGGGACAGUUUUCUGGUUUCAGGUGUGGGUUCACCUGUCAACUCUUCUUUCAGAAAGGUGUGGUGAGGUCUGUGGAAAUCCUUCCAAAUAAUAAUUACCAUUAUUAGCGAUGGUUCUGCAGUUGCCCGGUUUAUUCACCUGUCCGUCCCUCCCCUGAGAAAUCCCAGUCAGAAUGGCCCUCCAUCUGAGUGACCACAGAGCAUGUACUUGUCAUGAUUUGAGUGUUGCCAGUGGUCCGAUAAGAAGCAGAUUAACUUGGGUGAAGAUUCUUAAGAAAACAAGAACAAGAGGUGAAAUGUAAUUCCCUUUAUUGGUAUUAAUUAGUAAUUAGGGUAAAGGCUAAUUUCGGGAAAAGUUUGGUGACACCAUUGGCAUUUCUGGUAUGCAGAGUUUUAGCACAAAGGCUCAUAAAUAUUUUUUUUAAUUAGUUUUGAGAGAGAGACAGAGGGAGAGGUGGAGAACACAAGUGGGGAAAGGGCAGAGAGAGAACGAGACAGAAUCCAAAGCUGGCUCCGGGCUCUGAGCUGUCAGCACAGAGCCCAAGGCGGGGCUCGAACCCACUUCGUAAAUAUAAAGUAUUGCCAAGGUGUUUUGCCAGUAGUGGCCUCCGUACCUGCUUUAAUGAUAUACUUACUCCAAACUUUAGGGAAAUGCCAUGGGCAUAUUUUCUGCAAGUUUCCCAGUAACUGUGAAAGAUCGUUUCUUGUGUACAAAUUAAUAGGGAAAACCAUUUGUAUUACUAAGUAAUAAGUAUAUAUGGGUAUUUAUAUGCACAAGCAAAAGCAAAAUUUGGGGAUUGUUUCUAAGCAAUUACUAGAUUAAACAAUAAUUAGAUUAAAACAUGCAUGAAAUGAUAUACCUUAAUGAAUGUUGCAGUACUUUCUGUCUCUCUACAUAGGGUAGGUUCAUUCAGACUACCUUCCCUCUCAGUACCAGAAGUCCCUCUAUGAUAAACAUGACAGAUAAUAAUUUAGGCAUCAGAUCCCCUCUCUUCACUUCCCUCCCAUUCUCUUCCUCCUUCUCUCCCUCCCUCCACUUUUCAUCUUAUACUGGGCCCAGGUCACUGUGGUUGGCACUGCAGAGACACAGGUAAGUAGCCAGGAUGCUGCCCUCGGAGGCCUCACUGUAGAGAGUGUGUAGAGCAGAGUGAGUUUGCACGGGCUGGUGUGUGAUGCUCUCUGCACAAGGGGCGGGCUCUGGACCUGCUCUCAGAAGAGAGACCGCACGGGACUCAGAGGUUAUGCGGAAGCUAAAGUCUCCAGACCGAAGAGGUGGCCUGGGAACGAAGAGCCAUUCUAGGCACAGCGCUUGUGAUGCCCAGUGUCGUGAAACCGUGUUUGGGGACCGGCGUGCAGCCUGGCUCCGUUGUGACGAGUGAUACCUGGGAGGGGCAGGGCGGCAGAAAGAGGCUGGCUCAGUGAUGAUGGGAGCUCACUACUUGGCAAACAACAACAACAGAACAAAACACAAAAAAGGUGCUGUGACUGAGGAAGUGUAUUGUGUUAGAAAGUUUUACCUUAUAUUGUGCCGAAUUUGUCCCCUUUUCUAUUUUACUGUUGGGUUAGAACCUCAGGAGCCAGCACAGAAUGAACCUGUCCACUCUUUGCCACACGCCUUUAUGUGUAGGUGAUGUUUCGCUUCUUUAAGUCUUGCCCCAAGCUGUGUCUGCUACCUUCAUUUAUCCUUUUAAAUAGGUUUUGGUCGGGGAGCCUUGGUGGCUCAGUUGGUUGAGUGUCUGACUCUUGGUUUCGGCUCAGGUCACGAUCUCACAGUUCAUGAGUUUGAGCCCCACAUCAUGCUCUGCGCUGGCAUUGCGGAACGUGCUUGGGAUUCUCUGUCUCCCUCUCUGUCUCCACUCCUCCCCUGCUUGUGCUCUCUCUCUCUCUCUAAGUAAAUGAAUAAAAAACUUAAAAAAUAUAUAAAUAGGUUUUGGUUAAUAGUUUGUUUCUUUAACAUAAGCCAGCAGUAAUUCUAGUUGGUUCUUUCAGAGUCUGCGAACAAGUGAUUAUGAUCUCCUGCAUUGAUCUACAUCUCCAAAACAGUUUCUGCCGCUACACCCUUUUGUCAGUUGGCACCUUUCUGCCGGGUUCCUCCCCCUGUGGUUUUACAGGAUCCCUGAGCAGGGAAGCAGUCAGGGAUUGUGGGUCCGGCCUCUCGUCUGCGUCCUUAACAGUCUCCUCUUUCCGCCACCUGAUUUCCUUUUGUCAUCUUAGGGCUNNNNNNNNNNNNNNNNNNNNNNNNNNNNNNNNNNNNNNNNNNNNNNNNNNNNNNNNNNCCGUCUCACCACUUUUAUCUUCUACUUCAGAAGGAAACUAACAAAUACAUACCUGUGAAAUGGUGAUAAAAAUUAUUGAGGAUGAACUAAAAUAUUAGCACAGGGCUGAGGGCUGAGAGAGGUAUGCCAUAGCUCAGGUUACAUUUUCACACGAAUUAUCUGGAAUUAGAAAAUACCAGCUAUAUUCUGAAGGAGAGAUUUGGCCAUGUGUGUAAUAUGGGACCCAUCUGCUUGACAGGGUAGGGGUCGGCUCCAACGAAGGGCUCUCUAGGGCUGAUUGUUGAUAGAAGCCAGUAGUGCUGGUGCCUGAAGCAAUCAGUUGGCCAUCCACUUUCCCUCUUGAUAAACAUGGCAUGCUUUCCCAGCCUUCCCAGCCAUACCACAGUUACCUGUGGCUUAGCUUCUUUGCAAAAAAAGGAGGAGAUGGAAAAUGUUGAGUGACUUCGGUUCUCUCACACCCUCACCUCAUGCUGAAGCUGGGAGCUUACCUAUAGCAAUGGUCCUUUUUGGGGACCAUUCUUCCCCAUGGGGAGGGGAUGAGUGAAGAGAAAGACAGCCUUAUGUGUUUGGUCAAGUGGGAAUUUCAGAUUGAAUCUGUUAGCCAAGGAGGCCCCAGAAAAGACUGGGAUGUUGCUGGGAUUUAAUUAUCCUAUACCACGGAGGGCAGAUUCUUAUUUUUGGCCCAGAGUGAAACAGUCUUAAAUGCCGAUGUCUCAGUCUCUGCCCCUGGUACUUCAAAGGGAAUAGAAGGGAGAGGGGAAGGAGACAGGACAAUAACACUCUGCUGUGUACUCGGAUUGUGGUCCACUGACCAGCAGCAUCAGCUUCACCAGAGAGCCUUCUAGAAAUGCCGACUUUCAAGCCCCAACCCAGAGGUACCAAGUCAGAACCUGCAUUUUGCAGGGUACCUGCGAUUCCUGGGGACCUUGAAGUUUUGGAAAAAACACGGCUUUAGGAGGCAGUGACCGUAGUCGAUUGACAGACCAUGAGCAAUGUACCUGUCUUCGCACACUUGGAGAAAUACUGAACAAAUGUGGCGUAUCAACUAUGGGUAUUAAAUGCUGACAAUCAAAGUUUAAUUUUGUUUGCAGCUAGAGACCAGGCCCACUGAUCCUGUUUGACUAAACAGCAGCAUUCUGUUCAGGGAAAGACAGGGGUUUGUUUAGGACACAGAUGACUGCCCCUGGCUUGCUGAUAGCAAGUGAAGAGUUGCUUCCUUGCCCUGGGGCAGAAUGGUUUCCGGGACAACAGUGAAGCCACGCUCUCCUCCCCCCACCCCCUCCCCCCACAUUAACCGUAGAGCAGAGAAUAAAAAGAGCACUUAAUUUUUUUUUUUUUUUCCACAUCACGUUAUUAUCAUGGGUUUCUCAGGGAGAAAAUUUGCAAGAAAGAAAAUCUGCACAUUCUUUAGUGAUGUGCCAAGCAUUUUUUUUUUUUUUCUGGUUUGAACUCAAACUGAUACACCUGACACACGUCAGGGUUAGAUUAUAUUGAUCUAAGUCUGAUUUUAAAACUGUAUCUGUUUGUAAUUCUUCCACACUGUGAUGCAAAGAUUUUUUUGUGUGUUGGUUUUUUCCACUCUCUGUGAUGAUCAUAUGUUACUUCGCUAUAGAUAACAAUCCACUAAGUUUUCUUUUAUAAAAGUAAGAAUUAAGACCAAAAAAACCCCAAAACCCUGUUAUCGAUAAAAGGAUUAAGACUACUAGAAUCAGUCAAGUUGAGGGAGUUAGGGUUAAUCCCAGGGCAUUUCCUUCAAGUGCCAUGAAGAACCCAUCAGCUUGUUAGAAGCCCGUCCACGGCUGUACUCUAGUUGUAGCAGCUGUACUGUCUGGCCUGGGUUAUUUCUGUAGCCCACUAACUGGUCUUGCUCUCUCUUCAGUCUGUUCUCAGCCCAGCCAGAGCAUAUUUGCCUCUGCCCAAAACAGUUGGCUUCCAGGGCUCUCAGAAGAAAACCCAAAGGCCUCAUAGUGUCCUAAGAGGCCCAUCGCUUACCUCUCUGACCCCAUAUCCUAUUACCAUCUCCCUUGCAUAUCCCAGUUAGCAGGCCACACUUCUGCCUCAGGGCCUUUGCACUUACUGAUCCCUCUGUCCGGAACUGUCUUUCUCCAUAUAUUUACAUAACUGUAUCCCAAACUUUCUUUAGGUCUUUGUUCAUAUGUCAGUUUCUCAGCGAGGCUUUUUUUGACUAAUAUAUGUGUUCAUUGUUUGUCUCCUUCUAGAAUAUUACUUCGUUGAGAAGAAGGGAUUUUGUCUUGUUCGUCUUGUGUUCACAGCACUUAAAAUGAUGCCUGGCUUAUUCAAGGUGCAUUGUGUUUGUGGUUUGAAUGAGUGAAGUUGCCCCUUUCCAGCUCCCUGACUAGACAUGAAUUUAGAUCCGAGGGCAUUGUGGGACUUCUUGCUCCCAGUUCUGUUCUCAUUCACGUCACAUAAGAGGGCUAAAACGUUAGGAGAACAUCUUUAAAAUAUUAACCACAGCUGUGAGCCAUUGAAAGCAUUCUACACAGUGAGGAAAUGGCAGCUAAUUGUUGAUUUGUAAGGCAAAUGGGAGAAUAACCCAGCACCAUCCAGGUCCCCUGUGUGCCCGCACCUGGGGAAUAGGAGGGAGGAGCAGUGUCUGGGGCCUCGGUCAGGAGUCGUCACACUUUCUUGCAUGGGCCCUUUGCUUGUGCCUUAUCCCACUCAGUCUCUCGCGUCCCCUCCUCCGAGGAUUAGGCUUUGGGUGUUUGUGUGCACGCGGGUGUGUAUGUACAUUUGUUUGCCAGUGCUGUCUCAUCAGGGGCUUCCUUUGGCCACAGUUUAUGUUUUCCUUUUUGUUUACAGCGUUUCUUAGUAACUCGCUGCCACAAGUCCUCUGCACAGAGUUGCUACCCAAACGUAUCUUGAACUUCGUGCUAUUUCUCUUCUAGUAUCUUAAGAUUUAUUGUGGCCAUGGAAGUCUAGGAAACCGUAAUGUUACAGAAGUGAAUGUAGACAGUGCCCAUAUGACUGUCAUCAUCACAGGGGUAGGAGGACAUCUGGGGAGGACGGAACCCAAACGGGGAAGCCGUAUGGUCUACCUGACAGAAUGGUUCCUGUUUCGGUGAUGGAUGCAGCAGCUUCUAACAGCCCAAAGCCAUCCUUCCUUCGACAAAAUAUCUCUUGAAUGUCCGUGCUUGUGGAAUGUGCUAAUAAAAUGAGCACAGCAUCCACCCGCAUGGAGCUUCUCAUACUCUAAUGAGAGGAAUAAACAAAAUCACGUCACUGUGUAAUUGUAAACUGUGAUAAAUGCUGUGAAGGAGAAAAUCACGGUGCUAUGGGAGCUUAAAAUAGGGGCAUUUGUCCCAGUCUUGGGGUCAGGUCACAUUCGAGCCCAGACUCGCAGGUUACUAGGCACGUGUGUGCUUUGGCAAGGUGGGGGGGGGGGGGGGCAGAAUAUUGUGCCUUAAUUUCCAGGCAGAGGAAAUGAGGUGUGCAAAAUCUCCGAGGUGUUGAGGGUUUUUAUGUAUUGGAGAGAUUGAAAGGAGACCAGCAUGGCUGAAGUGGUUGUGAGGAUGACGGGGACGGUGGUGCCGGAGGAGGCCGGGCAGGUCAGCCAGGGACAGGCGAGGCUUUGGCGUGCACUUUCGGGUCUUUAUCAUGAGCUCAGUGUACAGCCCUAAAGGGGUUUAAGUAAGGCUGAGCCAUGACCUAUUUUCUGUCUUUGAAGGUAUACUCUGUACACAGGGUGGAUCGUGGACUGGAAAAGGAAGAGAGUGGAAGCUGGGCAAAUACCUGCAAGUAUCCUGCGUUUCUCCAGGAGAAGGAUGAUAGGGCGAGAAUGGUGGUGGCACGGUAGCUAGGAACACUUGUCCGGAGGGAGAAUGUUGGAGGCCAGCGGCAUCGAGAUUGUGAUUGCUCUCAUUUGCUCACUGAACAAUCUUCUGUUCGUUUGGCUUGAUCUUAACCUGCCUGUAAGGUGCCGAUACCUGGGAUUUCAGGAAAUACUUGUUGGCUAAAGAAAUGUGAAUACAUUGGUCAAGCUGGACGUAGCAGGUGUCCAGAUUGUCUGGCAAUUACGCUUUUCAUUGUAAAUGAAUAUAAAGGCAGUAUAGCUUUAUGUAUCAGUCUCUUCUGAGCUUUCUUAGCAUGCAUCAGUACUGAUAAACGUAAUCAUUUCUGGAACCUCACUGAGAUAGACUUUUGGAGCCAAGAAAUUUGAAAGACAGUCCUGAAUUACCCGUCAGUCCUGAAUUCUCCGAGGUGAACGUCACCCUGUGGAGACUCUCUGAACAGCUACCUUUCCCUGGCAGUAUCGUCUAUUUUGAUCAAUGCUUUUCCAUUGUCCUUUUUAAAAAAUUUAAGUAAGCCCAAGAUAGUUAUAUCCACGAAUUGUUUCUGUCUCUAGAAUAGCAAUUAUUCCACCCAGUGUGGGAAGGUGCUGCCCACCUAUAAAAAAAGAACUAUAGAAUUUGAUUGUUUAAAAGGCAUAUUAAAUGUAGAAAGAUUGAGAGUCAAGGAGAACCUUGUUCUAAAUUGUUUCCCUGUGCACCUAACUUUUUAUUAUGGCACGUUGAUUUCCUAUGAAACUUAAAGUUUUUGUUUUUCAAAUCAUCUGUUAUCGAGACAUCCGGUGAUACUUGUCUGAAUGGCUCUACCUAGGAACUCUGGGAAGUUGGGCAGCUGAAAUAAUUGUCUAAGGUUUAAUGAAGCCCUUUUGGAGCUCCUGAGUUCAGAAGAUGUCAAAGAAUGGUAUAAAACACAUGUGCACAUUUAUGGCUGACUAUAUUUUCCUCAUCUUUUGCAGGACAAAAAUGGAAGAAACAGAGGUCCUUUUAGAUGGAGCAAAGUGAGCCACUGAACAGGUAGAUAAUUGAAAAUAGCAGGGUGUGUGUAUGCAUUAGCUCAAUGAAUUAGUAUUUGUGAAGUCCUUGGUAGAGUACCCAGUGCAUAGUAAAUACUGUAUGGAAGUAUUUGCUCUUAUGAAAUUCUUUCAAAUGUAACUGAGCCCAAAACAAACCAGUUGUGCAACCAAGAAAGUACCCCACAAAAGCAAGCCUUUGCUCCUAAAGCAACUGAGAACAUCGUCGGUAAAUUCUUUUUUUUAAUCAUUGGUAAAUUCUGACAUGGUCUCUGUGUGACCUGUCAUGCUGGCCUGAGAGACUUAUGGUCUUCUUAAUCUUGGAACACCCAAAGUGUUUGAACACUCAUCCAUUUUUGAAUUUGAGCAUUCGUUCAUCAUGGAUGACCUAUUAAGUGUCAGGUCCAUUUCACUUUUGAAACAAAACAAACUUUUAAAAAAAUUCUUGAAGUAGUUCCUUACCGUUUGGGGAAUGAGAUCACGGAAUUUGAACUGUCCCCUUCCUUGGCCCCUGUGCCUACUUCUCUGGAUCUGCACAGUUCCUGCCUUCUUGCCUCGCUGUGGGGAGACCUGGGUGUCCUGGUGCUCUAGAAUCCCACCUUCCCUCUCAUUUCAGCUCCUCUGUUCCCCUGCCUCCUCAAUAGGUCAGCUCCGUUCAGGACAGGGAGGAAACGCUGGGAGUGGGGCCCACAGUCUGAUUAGGUAGAGCUAGACAUUUCUCUAGAUGGCAUUCAUAUUGCACCUCCUCUCCCCCUGCCCCAGCUUCUGUUUUACAAUUUCUGUAGUUUAUUCUUUUUUUUUUUUUUAAAUUUUUAAUGCUUAUUUAUUUUUGAGAGAGAGAGAGAGAGAGAGAGAGAGAGACAGAAUGUGAGUGGGGGAGGGGCAGAGAGAGAGGGAGACACAGAAUCCGAAACAGGCUUCAGUCCCCGAGCUGUCAGCACAGAGCCCGAUGCGGGGCUCCAAACUCACGAACUGUGAGAUCAUGACCUGAGCCCAAGUCGGAUGCUUAACCGACUGAGCCACCCCGACGCCUUGUAGUUUACUCUAAAUAUUCUGUUGUUUUAUGUUUUGUCAUGUCUCCCUUCUGCGAUUUUUGGAUAUUACCUUUGGAAAUUAACUCUUCUGUUUGGAGAUGUUCCCGAUGACAUUGUUUACUUGUGAGAGCUGGGCGCUGGUGGAGCACUCGGUAUGUCCGUGGCUUUCAGACCUUUAUGUUGGAAGCCCACAGGAAGGGACCACGUGCUGCACCAGGAGCCAGUGCACACCUUCGUGCACGUGGCUGUACGGUUUCCCGAAGUCAUACCUUCGCUGUUUGUGAAUUGUGAUAGAAUGUCCUAGUCUGUUGUAUUUGAUCCCUUUUUUUUUUUUUUUCUCUUUUUUCUCACGUCUUUUCUCUUUAAUGCUUUGCAUAACCUACAACUGCUGGUCAGUUGUACUCUGACAGGCUUGCAGUAUUUUUAGGUGGUGGCAGGGGCACAUGCUUUCUUCCUGGCCAUAUUCUGUAGUAAUGUGCACAGGUCUCUUUUACCCCUACGCACUCCUUCAGACUUGCCUUAUUUUCAUUCCUUAUGUGCAAACCUUCUCUUUCCUUUUGUAACUAAGCUUCUGUUUCUAUUCCACGUACUCCUCACUUCUCAGCUUUCUUUCUGUUUGAACUUUGAUUUCCUCUCCUGACCGAUAGCCAAGAAUCAUUUUACCACUUUUUAAAAAAUCUUAUUUUUUAUUUUUUAAUUUUUUUUUCAACGUUUAUUUAUUUUUGGGACAGAGAGAGACAGAGCAUGAACGGGGGAGGGGCAGAGAGAGAGGGAGACACAGAAUCGGAAACAGGCUCCAGGCUCUGAGCCAUCAGCCCAGAGCCCGACGCGGGGCUCGAACUCACGGACCGCGAGAUCGUGACCUGGCUGAAGUCGGACGUUUAACCUUAAGACUGCGCCACCCAGGCGCCCCAAAAAAUCUUAUUUUUAAGUAAUCUCUACAUGGAGCUUGAAUUCAACAACCCCGAGAUCAAGAGUCGCACACUCCACUGACAGAGCCAGCCAGGCACCCCUCAUUUUACCAUUUUGAAUGAAACAGAUUCCUAUGUACUAUUAGGUCUUGCAUAUUAAAUGUAAUUUUCAAAAAGUAACACUUAUUUUUCAUUAAUUCCUGUAUUUGCUUAUAUCCCCAUAUGCAGUUUUUCAGAAGCCUUACUUUUCUGACGGUCUGCUCUCACAAUUCAUGCCCUUGCACGGUCCAGGGAUCACAGAAGUCUAGUAAUGCGGGAGUCUUCUCUACCCUGUUAUCUUUUGGGUUGGUGUCAUGGGUUACAGAGAGACAUCUGCUGGCUCAAAUGUAGUGUUGCAUUGUUUUUCUAUCCUGAAGUUUAGUGUAUUGUCAUUUUUAGGACCUUAAAGUUUCAUAGUGCGCAGGUAAGCUUUUCCAUUGGAAUGCAUUGAAGUCAUUCACCUAAUCCCUUCAAGCGUUUUUUUUAGGAUUUCCAGCUCAGCAUGUAAUGAACUGAAAAGUACUGGUAUCAUACCACCCAGUCAAGAAGCUGACACCUAAUGGGGAAAAGGAUUUCAUGGCCAAACUAGAUUCCUUCCCUUCAUGUGCUCUUAGUGGGACCACAAAAUGAUAGUUUAGUAAAACACCCAGUAAGCCAAGAUCCAUUUAAAACUUCUGGAAAUGAGAAUUCACUUUUCCAAGAUAGUUAAGACCUUAAGUUUUACACGGUUUAGGUUUGCAGCUUGGUUGUAUACGAGUGGUACAUUUGGUUCUGGUUAUAGGACUAGUGCUGGAAAGCAGGAAUCUAAAAUCUAUUGCUUAUUUAUUUGGAAGCUGUAAUUGGAAUAUUGUAAUGGCUUCUGUGCAGCGCUUGUAGCAAAAUUUUUGUUCAUUUCAGAGGCGAGUUUAUUUCUCUAGGAAUCAUAAUUAUAUACACCUAAGAUUACUCAGUGCACACAACAGCUUUUAAAGAUUAUAGUGUGCAAAGUGGUUCUUUUGAACAAAAGUAGUAUUCACCUGUCUUUGAGGAAUAUUUCUAAGGUUUUGUAGGCAAUAAAGGAGGCAGCAUGCUCCAGUUUUCUGUCCUUGUUUACUCCUGGUACACAAUCCAUGCCUGGAAGCCAGUGAAAAAACACCAGAAUUUGUGUGUCCGUUCCUUUAAUCAAGGGCUUUGAGAGCGUACAGGAGAGAGAGCUAAAACCGUGCCCUGCCAUGGCUCCAGCUCACAGCAGUUGUCUCUUCUCCCGUCCAUUUCAAAAGAUAAACUAAGUGUCAUCGAACAAGAUCAUACCGGCUUCGGGGAAAGGCAGAAAAGGAUGUUAUUAAUCGUCCAAGAGGACAAAUUACGGCAGAAAUCUAAACAGUAUCUGGGAACAUCAAAUACUGUGUUUGAAUUUAACAACCCCACACAAGAAGAACGACACGCAUUUUUUAAAGUAUUUCAUACUUGGGGCGCCUGGGUGGCGCAGUCGGUUAAGCGUCCGACUUCAGCCAGGUCACGAUCUCGCGGUCCGUGAGUUCGAGCCCCGCGUCGGGCUCUGGGCUGAUGGCUCAGAGCCUGGAGCCUGUUUCCGAUUCUGUGUCUCCCUCUCUCUCUGCCCCUCCCCCGUUCAUGCUCUGUCUCUCUCUGUCCCAAAAAUAAAUAAACGUUGAAAAAAAAAAUUUUUUUUUAAAGUAUUUCAUACUUGCCUAAUUUUUCUGGCCAUCUUCCUUUAUGCCUGUUCGGAGAGGGGAACCUGAGAAGAAAAUAGAAACUAUUUUUCCCUUAAUCAAGGCACCUAGAUUGUCAUGAGAAGUGGGAGAAGUCACAUCAGGUAGCCAAGCACUUCUUCUAAAAGCAUGAAGGAAAGAAACAAGACAGCAAACAACAAGAUCUGAAACAAAGUGUGUUAUGGGUUGUGAGUUUUGAACUUCAGUGCUAAAGUUGGCUUAUGGUAUUGUCAUGAAACAAGAUGCGUGAAAUGCUUGGAACACGGUCAGCGCUCAGUGGGUAGCAGCCGCUGUUGCAGUGCACGAAGGUACUCCGUGGCACCCUCCGUAAAUUCUUCUAGUUGUGUUUCUUCUAGGCAGGGAUGGAUUUGUUUUGAUCCAGCCUAUAUUUUUCGUGAUGGUGUGUAUGGCAAAGGAAACAAUAAUGUUAAUGGCAUUUAUUAUUUUCCCACAUUCUAAGCCUUGCGUGAAGAGCGUGAGGGAAGAUAGUGCGCCAUCCCGGUUUUACAGAAUGUGCGUGUUAUAAGAAGGCUUAGUUAGACUAGCGUGUGGAAGAACUCUGUUACCUAGCCCCUGUUGGGAAUCAGCACUAGCCAGUCUCAUCAGAACCAUAUGCUGGUUGGCUCUGAAUAAUGUUGCAGCUGUAUAUAAGCUUUAAAAAAAACUUUGUUUUACAUUGUUCAUUAGCUGUGAUAGCCAGAAGGGAAAGUACCAGUUACUGAAAGAAAGUGGGGUUUAAUAACAGAAUUAAAAAGUAACUCAGAGGGGCGCCUGGGUGGCUCGGUCGGUUAAGCAUCUGACUUCAGCUCAGGUCAUGAUCUCGUGGUCCGUGAGUUCGAGCCCCGUGUCGGGCUCUGUGCUAACUGCUCAGAGCCUGGAGCCUGUUUCAGAUUCUGUGUCUCCCUCUCUCUCUGCCCCUCCCCUGUUCAUGCUCUGUCUCUCUCUGUCUCAAAAAUAAAUAAAUGUUUAAAAAAAAAAAAAGUAACUCAGAGGGGCGCCUGCCUGGCUCAGUUGGUUAAGCAUCUGACUUCAGCUCAGGUCGUGAUCUCAUGGUCCGUGAGUUCGAGCCCCGCAUCAGGCUCUUUGCUGACAGCUCAGAGCCUGGAGCCUGUUUCAGAUUCUGUGUCUCUCUCUCUCUGCCCCUUCCCCGCUCAUGCCCUGUCUCUCUCUGUCUCUCAAAAAUGAAUAAACAUUAAAAAAAAUAAAAAAGUAACUCAGUUUUCUAAGUUUGGAGCAUUGCUUUUUACAGUCUACUGGUUAGUCCUCAGGGAUAGAGUAGUGGUAAUAUUUUCUAAAAAGUUAAAAGUAGCCUCUUUUAAAAUGUGCGUAAUCAGAAUAUCCUCGUGUUUUCAGAUGUACUUAGUAUAUCUUGCUAUUUCAGUAGGAAAUGGUCUUUUUAAGGUAGACAGAUUCCAAAGGAUUUCAGUAUUUUGGGUAUGUCUACAUCAAUAAUGGGAAGAAAAUAAAUCCAGGACCUCUGAUUGAAGAGGCAAAUAACUAUGUAUCUAUAACCAAUUUUCAGUUUACCGCCUUCAUAGCAUGAGUAAUCAAAAAUUCCCUUUUCGCGAUAACUUACUUUCUUGUUUAGUUUUUGCUUUGGGGUUCUUUGUUUUCUGGAGUGCAGAGGAACUGCCAGUGGGUUCAGAAGUGGCUUGUAUAGGGGCGCCUGGGUGGCUCAGUCGGUUGAGCGUCCGACUUCGGCUCAGGUCACGAUCUCAUGGUUUGUGAGUUCGAGCCCCGCGUGGGGCUCUGUGCUGACAGCUCAGAGCCUGGAGCCUGCUUCCGAUUCUGUGUCUCCCUCGCCCACUUGCACUCUGUCUCUGUCUCUGUCUCUCUCUCAAAAAUAGAUAAAUGUAUAAAAAAAUUUAAAAAAAAAGAAGUGGCUCAUAUGUAUCUGUGGAAGAGAGGAAUAUCCCUGUAACUUAAAAUAUAUCGCAGAUAUUGCCAGGUGUCAGAAGUAAUGCAUUGGGAGUUUAUUACAUUUCAUAUUCAUUUGCCUAAUCCUAAAACUAUGAAAGUCUAGGGCAAAGCAGGAGUUUAACGAGACAAUCUGCUUGAGGAGCUCUCUUGGCCCCCCUCCCCUCCUCUUCCCAUCUUUUUUUUUCUUUUCUUUUAAGAUGAAAUUAAUGUAGGAUUAAGAUCAAAGAUACUUGAAGGGGAAAAUAAGUUGCAAAAUAAAUUAAGCUUGUGAAUUUGGAAUUGAAAGGUAGGUUAGAGGAUGUUUACCUUAACGUUUUCAAUUUGCAGGUAAGGAAAGUGAGUUUCCCAGAGCUCCUGGGGCUCGCACAAGGCCACGGAGCUAAUAAGAGGUGAAACUGAUCCUGACACAUAGAUAGGACUUAUUCAACCAGAAACUUCAAUGGGAUUUUUUUUUCACCUUUAUUGAGGUAUAGUUGACAAAUAAUAUGGUAAAACAAAGCGUACAACAGCGAUUUGACAGAUGUAUACCUGGUCAAAGGAUUUCUUUCACUUGAAUAAUUUUCAAAAACGGCUAUUUAACUCAGCCUCCUUUUGCCUUUUGUUUUUUGUUCUUUAACAUACUAUUUGGAAAGUAUGGGUCUUAGCAGAAUGUCCUGGAAAGCAGAGCCUACUCAUAUACCCAGUGCUGUUUUUUCCACUCUGCUACAUUGAGGGUGGCCUGACAUGUGCACAGACAGGAGAGGAAGAGAGAAGCCCAAUCUUUGCCUCAGUGACCAUGACGCUGGUGUGGGAUAACUUGUAAACCUGGAACCACUUCCUUUUCUAACAGUGGUUGCUCCCUGGGAAGUUCUGUGUCUCUCUCAGCUGGUGUACCCCUAUUCAGCCUAGAAAACAACACCCCUAAUUCCUGUAAUCUAGGGAGGCAUCCAGCAGAUCCCCUCAAUAAACAAAAUGCUCCUGUUUGGAAGGUUCUUAUCCAUAUUAUUUUUUACUGGUGUAGAAGCAUCUGGAUGGCUGUCUUAAAAUGAAAGUGCUCUUGGUCCCAAGUAAUGAAACAGAGUAAUUGGGCAGCAAAAUGAGCAUCACCACCAAGAAAAGUCCCACUAUGUAAUACCACUAGUAAAAAGUGUCAUAUUCUACCCACAGGCUGUAUCUUUUUUAGAAACUGCUCAACUAGAUUGGUACAUACUUGAAUCAUCCUUUUUUUUUUAACUAUAGAAAAUGUACCCUAACCCAUGUGAAAAGUAUUGGUUUUAGAUGCAGUGAAUACCUGUUAGAAAUCUAAUCUGACCUAGAAAAGAAGUACCUUUGAAUAUACCUAAAAAUAACCUAAAAUUAUUAUAGUGAUAAAUAGUAAAAUCCUAUUUCUGGCUUUUGCUAUGACUUUGACACAGGCAUCCACACAGUUACUAUUCAAUUAGAAAUUUUAUUUUGACAGAACUCUACCUUAUAUGUAUUUUUAAAAGUGUUACAUUGCCUUACUUUUUUUCUUUGGUUGACUGAUUGGUAAGUAAUCUUCUAAACCCAGUGUGGGCCUGAAUUCACAACCCCCAGAUCAAGAGUCAUAUGCUCUUGCCACUGAGCCAGUCAGUACCUCCACCAUUGUGUUACUUUUUUCUUUUUAAGUUUAUUUAUUUUGGGAGGCGGAGGGGCCAAGAGAGGGAGAGAGAGAAUCCCAAGCAGCCUCUGCACUGACAACUCAGGUUCGAUCUCAUGACCUGUGAGCUCUUGACCUGAGCCAAAAUCAAGAGCCCGUCACUUAACCCACUGAGUCACCCAGUUGACCCCGUUGUUUUACUUUCAAUAGACUUUUUGGAGUAUGUAAUAUGUAAACAGAGUAUGAGAAAGCGUUGUCACAAUACACUUAGGCCUCAGAUUUUAACUUUGUUAUCGGAGUAUUUCAUUGCAUUUUGAAAGAAUCCUGAAUUACUUGAAUAAUUGAAUUCUCCACAUACAGUACAUUAUUAUGCAUUAAUUUUUUAAUAGCUUUUUUAAGUUUGAAAGAUAAUCCUGUUUGGCCACAAGGCAUUUUUAUGAGGAAAGUUUCAGAUUAUGUGGCCGAGGUGUGGGGGUCAGAUGAAGAUCCAAACAUGGUUUCCCUUUGGUUCUGGGAUUCAUUUGCAUGGGCCGUUUUAAUUCAGAUGGUAUAGGAAGAGGAACAGUACUUUUCUUCUGCUUCCAGUGUGGAGAAGCACAUUGUGUUUGCUCAGCACUUAAACAGUGCUGUGUCAGUUUCUUACUCGUGAACCUGGUAGCUGGGAAUGCUAACCUUGCUACCGAGGAUAGUGUCGAUUUUUAUUUAUUUUACUGUCUGUCUAGGCUCCGCGUGCACAGCUUACUCUAUUUACCUGAUGGCAAAGCUGGGUAGAUUGGAGGAAAAAGAAAGCUUUGGUUUAUAAUGCUUUCAUACUUUUCUGAAAGAUGAUGGUGCACCUGUCACGGUGUGUAUUAUACCUGCGAUAUCUUUGGAUCUUGUUUGAAACCCGUGUGUAGAAUAACAUAAGUGGAUGCAAAGAAGGAAGCACUCCUCAGAGCUCUGUGUAACCCAGACUGGCAGUAAACACAAGGGCUGCCGGCUGCCCGCUGGUUUGUGGAGAUAAGACACGGAAGGAAUGUGUUAGAAAUGAUUGGCUAGGGGGCGCCGGGGUUGGCUCCGUUGGGUAAGUGUCCGACCUCAGGUCAGGUCGUGAUCUCAUGGUUCGUGGGUUCGGGCCCUGCGUCGGGCUCUGUGCUGACAGCUUAGACCCUGGAGCCUGCUUCAAAUUCUGUGUGUGUGUCUCUCUCUCUGCCCCCACCCCCCCGCCUCUGUCAAACAUAAAUAAAUAUUAAAAAAAAAAAAUGAUUGGCUAAUAGGAAAGUUUAAGCAUCCAAUAAUGAAUUCUUUUUAACUUUAAAUAAAUAAAGGAAGCUCGAGGCGCCUGGGUGGCUCAGUCGGUUGAGCGUCCGACUUCAUCUCAGGUCAUGAUCUCACAGUCCGGGAGUUUGAGCCCCUCGUCGGGCUCCGUGCUGACAGCUUGGAGCCUGGAACCUGCUUCGGAUUCUGUGUCUCCCUCUCUCUCUGCCCCUCCCCAGCUCAUGCUCUGUCUCUCUCUCUCUGUCAAAAGUAGAUAAACAUUAAAAAAAAAUUUUUUUUUAAAUAAAUAAGAGCUCAACUCAUUACCGAAAAGCAGGGACACACUCAGUUGCAUUUUUACAUGUUUUCUCAGGAGGGAAAGAAGAGAUGGAGUUUGAACUAAUUUGUUGGGAAGCGUGUUCAGAUGCAUCAGGGUAUCAGAGUGUAAAAGAGGCUAACUCUCUGUGGCAUAGAUGAUGGACUUGAACCGCAGGAGAAAGAAGCAGGACAUCGAAGCCCAGGCAGUAGUGUUAGGAGCAUAAGUUUGCCUUUGGGUGUAUUUAUUCCCUGCUUCCUCCCUGUCACAGACUUACCUCUAUUAGGGAUGACUGUGGAAUGAACUGUUAAGGAUGCCAUACAACAAAGAGGGAAGGCUCGAGAUCCAGACUUCUGGGUUGAGAUAUGGCUCUGCCUCAAAGGCAGAUAACUUAAUUCUCAGUCUCCUCAUCCGUAAAACAUGGAGAGCAUUAGUAUUUACCUUUGUGGGGUUCUUGGGAGGAUCAAAUGAGUUAAUGACAUGUGAAGUGCUUAGAACCCUGUCGGGCGUGUAAUAAGCAUUGGGCGUGUGUUAACUAUUCCUAUACGAUGUGACCUUACUUAAUUUUUUAAAAUAAUUUCACCCUCUCUCCAUAGCCUCUGCCUAGAGAGAAUAGACACUAAACUGAUGAAUGAGUGGAUAAUGACUUGAAUGGUAUCUUUACGGUGGUUGACUGGUAAUGUAAAUGCAUCUUCCGUUGUGGGUCACUUUCCAAGAUGAGGCCAUGUAAGCACAGCACGGAUUAAGUUAAAUCCACACAUGUAUCCCUCCCACCUGUUUUCAAACAUGAUCUUUAAUCUUCUUUGCUAAUAAACCAUUUUCUUUCCUAGGACUCAAAGAAAGGAUUAUGUUUGUGAAAAAGUAGCACAUAACACACACACACACACACUAAAGUAACAACUAUUUUAUGAAACAGUAAUUACACUAAGUGUGAAAAACUCUUUUCUGUUUUAUUCUAUUCUCUGCUUAUAGUGCAUCUAAUUUAUUUUACAAGCCACUAAUGGAUUACCCUGCAGUUUGAAGAACCCUACAUUAGACAAGUUUGACUCUUGUCCAGAACCAAAUAGGGAUUGUAACCCAUAUUCCCUUCCUUUUCAUUCUCUUUCCAUAAUUGUCCUAUAAUGGAACUGGAAUUCACCAGCUUUAGACAUACACGGUCACACUCACUCAAAAAUGCCGUCCCAUCUAUUCAGUAAGUCCAGAUUUUGUGUUGUCAUAAGAAAGAGCUUUAAAUAUUACUGUAUUUCAGAUUUCCUUUUAGCACGUUUAUAACAUUAAAAAGGCAUAUAGCUUGGGAUACCUGGCUGACUCAGUCGGUGGGGUAUGCAACUCUUGAUCUCAGGGUUGUGAGUUCGAGCCCCACACUGGGCAUAGAGCUUACUUGAAAAAAAUUUCAUGGGGCUCAUAUCACUAUAAGACAGGGUCCAGUAAGCAUUGUCAGGAGACCGUUUAAGGUUAGGUAUGAUAAUAGUAACCGAUGUCUCAGAUAAUGAUAAUAUAACUUCAGUUCCAUCCCACCCUCCCCGAUUAAAUAAGGAAUUAACUGUGUUGUACAGAAAAAUGAUUUUAUUGUUAGAACAGAGCUCCAGAGAGCUGUUAUCCUGUAUGGUCGGUCUAUAGGCUUGGUUUGUUCCUUCUUUUUGGCCAGCAUCGGUUGCUUGGGAGCCUGCUGCUUAGAGCUCUUCAUGCCCCGUGGCCAUGAAGCUGAACACACACCACUCACUACCCCAUGCUGAGCCUUGACUCUAUUCUCAUCGACUGAGUCCCCAGCCAGGCCAAAUAACUGCUUCUUUUGAAAGAUUGACAACCAAAUUCUUACCAGAUUGAAAAUGCGAAGCCUUCCUAGAUUGUAAACACUUGGCUUUGUACACAUUCUGGUCACAUUCAUGACCAUUUGCACGUUGCCUUUGGUCAGUCUUCCGUACGCUCUGCUCCACACAAUAGCCAGACUGUCCUGGCUCAGCUGGAGAAGUCUAAUCCAACAUUUUCCCAUCUUAUUUGGCAGAACUCUAUUAAAUUCUCUUCUUUCCCCAUCCCCUUUUUAGGUUAUAGUCUUCAUUAAUUCCCUCCAUUCAUGCUACCAUGUUUCCCUAUAUUUCAAGUAAAUCUCUCUUUUUCUAAGCUUUUUUUUCUUUCUUCCCUCUGUUAAGUUUUGGAGAGCCCCCAGUGAUGCUAGUCGUAGCUAUAAGCUCAAGGGUAGGGAUAUAAUAGUGGUCAAGAGAGAAGAAUGGAGUAUAUUUGGAGGUACAAUAAGGCAUAGUAACCAAUGUCAUCAACUUUUGAAUGAUUUUAAUUGUCUUAGUGUAGCCAUCCUCUUCUGAUUAAACUUUCUCACACUUGCAUAUAGAAAAAUCAAAAUCAUUCUUAUUUGUAUUAGUUUAUUCCUUAUGUAAUUACUAGUGUUGUUACAUAGUUACAAUAUACAUUUCAUUUCAGGUGCAUAGUAUUACAGAUACCUUAUAAGUGAAAUAAGUUUCUGUGGUGGGAUCUGUGCACUAUCACUAACAGCAUCAUUCCUAAGGGAAAAGUAACACCAGUUCUGAACCCCAACCCUGGUUUGGGUAACAUAACCAGGUAUUUGAGGACUGUUUACUGUCCUUAUUUCUCUUAACCAUGCUUUUUGUUCCUGGAAAGAGGUUGACUAUUUUAAAAUCAUCUAAGUACUACUAGAGUGCUUCCAUAAUUACUUUUAAUAAUCAAUUAAAAUGAAAAUCAUGGGAGAAUUCACAGUAUUUUGAAAUGAGAAAUAUGGUUAAUCAUGGAUUUUGAAAUGACAAGUCGCUUUUAUUCUUUAUAUGUAUGUGAAUGUUUAGGAUACAGUCUCAGACCUAGAGUUUGCUACUUUUAAACACUGUGUUUAUUCUGAGGGACAGAACUUCCCCCCCGAUUCAAGUUACUGGUUCCAGGUGACCCUGGCCAUUUUCUCGCAUGAACACCAGAAAUAUGUUGUCUUUGCCUGAUGAGACACAAUAACCUUUUUAAAUAAGACUGGGGAACAGCAGCCAGAAAAUGCUUAAAAAUAGAAAAGGCUAUUACACUUUCUUGUUAGCAGAAUAUUAGAAGCAUUGACUCUUCAUAAGGGCAUUUCAGUCUUUGUUCUCUGUGCUGAUCUGGUAUUACACUUUUUAAAAUAAUGAUUACCUGGCAACACUUUAAAUCCAUUUUCAUACUAAAUCUCAAGGUAGUAUUUUUUUGUUUUUGGCUUGAGUUUUAUAGUAUAUAGUCUGAAACUUACCGUAUCAUAAGUGGCAAGCUAAUGGUCACUGGUGAAAGUAGGAUCAGAGCAGGGGAUCUUACAUGUCCUGGUGAUGUUCUUACUCAUUUAAAAUGAAUUAUCUUGGGGCACCUGGGUGGCUCAGUUGGUUAAGCAUCUGACUUCAGCUCAGGUCAUGAUCUCAUGGUUUAUGGGUUCAAGCCCUGCAUCAGGCUCUGGGCUGAGAGCUCAGAGCCUGGAGCCUGCUUCAGAUUCUGUCUCUUUCUCUCUGCCCCUCCCGUGCUCACUCUCUGUCUCUCAAAAAUAAACAUUAAAAAAAAAAAACAACCUUUAAAAGAUAAAAUUAAAUUAAAUUAAAUUAAAAUAAAAUAAAAUGCAUUAUCUUGACAAGAUUUUGUGUUUAUAAAAUGACUUUGAACUUGCAAAUAUCCUAAGGAUAUUGUUGCCAAAGAGAUACAAAUAAAGACCAUAAUUUAAGCCAAAUAUGACAUAGAAUUACUGAGUUUAGUGUAGUAAGCAGCAUUUGAAAUGUGAUUUGAUGCUUAAGAAAUUGUGCCCGACUUGGAGACACAAAGGCAUACAUAGAAUAAAAUACAGUAUGAGUUUUAAGAUGGCACCAAGGUAUGGGAUGGGAAGAGAUAAAAUAGAGCCUUUCGGGUUUGGCAGCGUUGCCUCAGUAGCCACCUUGGGGGGGAUAAUGAGUAAAGUGGGCCCAAAAAACCCCCAGGGAGGGACUUUGCACCCUCAGGUCUUCCACAUCUACUAAGGACAUUCCGCUUUCAUCUGGUGCACGGAUGGAGCUUUCUCCUAAGGUUUUAUUUGGGGGAAUAAGAGUAGUUCCAGUGCUCACAUCUAGUUUGAGAACCAUUGUCCUGCCAGGUGUAGAUUUUCCUGUUAGGCAAAAUACUUGGAGCACCAGAUACACCAGACCAGCUCAUCGUAAGGAGGAAAGGUAUAAAGUCAGUGUCCUUAUUGUCAGAUGCCACAUGUGCUGGUCAUCCUGAUGCACAGAGGGGGAGCGAGCACUGGAGAGCUUAUUUUGAAAUGUUUUGCUUUCUAAGUUGGGGUCCCCAUAUCCAGAAAAAUUCCUUAGAAACUUUGUAUGUAUUGGAGGAAAAGGUAAAACCCUUUUUUAUUAAAGUAAGACAUAAUUUUCAUACUUGUUGGUGAUGUUCAAAAAAACAUUUUUUUUUUUUUUUGUUCAUGUUAUAAUGAUAGGGUUUCCCCCCAGCACUUUGCACUGAAGUAAAUUGACUGGACAAAAUGGAGAACAGGUGAUUUGAAAACCAUUGUAAAUAUUCUGAAAGUCCCCACAAUGUUAGGUUGGAUAAAGAAUGUACCAAGAACAAGAAAUAUGGAAGUGUGGCACCAUUUCAGAUACAUUUCUCAGUUUCUUUUUUAAAAAAUCUUUUUUAAACAACAUUUAUUUAUUUAUUUUGAGACGAGGAGGGGCAGAGAGAGAGGAGAGAGAGAGAAUCCCAAGCAGGCCCUUUGCUGUCAAUGCAGAGCCCGAUGCGGGGCUAUGACGCAGGGCUCGAUCUCACAAACCAUGAGAUCGUGCCCCGAGCCGAAAUCAAGAGUUGGAUGCCUAACCGAGACCCCCAGGCGCCCUGAAAAUAUCUUUUAUGUGCAGGGGGUAAUGGGGUGGAAGUAGGCACAGGGGGCCAGUGCAAAGUCAGUCGUAGGCAACGCGCUGCUGGUGUUCCUGCUGUUAGAUGUAGACUCCUGAGCAUAUGUAUUAGUACACUUUUGCAGAAGUUAUUUUUUGUUGAGACUUUUAUGGCAGACAGAACUGGCAGAAAGUUCUUCGUCUGGUGCCUGGAGCAUAGUAAGCAAUCAGUAAACAUUAGUGUCCUCUCUUCUUCUGUUUCUCCCUCUUGUUUUUAGCAGUGUAUUUUAUCUUGUUUUCCAGUGGCAGCGUCUUUUAAUGUAAUGUUCAUUUCACCCUUGAGCACUGCAUUUUUCAGGUUCUGAAGCUCAAGCUUUUCUCCCUUAAUAGAGGGAUAGAGAGGUGGGGGGGGGGCAGCGGCAGGUGGAGGUCAGGUGAACCCAGUCUGGCUCUCCUUUUCCCAGUUAAAGCCACAGAUUGUUCUGGGGAGGCUUUAGUGUUCUUAUUGCUUCUGAUUUCAACAGUAAUCGAAGACAAAACAAUUGAAUAAGAAAGGAAAGUGGCAGCAACUGUUAUCAGUUGUUCAGUCCCAUUGUCAGGAAGACCUACAAUCUACUUGCCAUGCAGAUUCCUGGGUUCUACCCCCAGAGACUCUGAGUCCACUCUCAGGUCAUUCUAACGCGCAUGGUCCAAGGACUACGUGCUGAAAACCUCUUAAUUCUAGAAAGAUCCGUUUACACCAUUGCUCCAUUAUUCUUGUUUUCAUUCCUUGGUUGAUCAUUACUGUAGCACAAAGAUCAGAUUUCUUUUGAGAGUUUUCACCACUCCUUGGUAAUUCUGAGCCUCCAAACCAUGGCUCAGAAUUCUUGGCUUAAAAAUAAUGUGUACCAUGCCUAUACCAAUGCAUAACUCUUACGCCGUCAUAUAACAGGAGAAACUUUGGCGGUGGUUUGAGAUUAAUUUGUAAAUUGCCGGUGUUGACACAAUAAUUCUUUCUUUCAUUGGCAUUGCCUAGUGAAGCAGUCUCACUGUGGUUUGUUCUCCUCGUGGUUUCCGUAGUGUUAGAGAUUCUGCUACAGAAAAACGAACCCUUUCUGGUUUUGAAUCACUCAGGAGUUACUCUUGACUCUUUAUAUAAGAGGCAUGUCCUGGGAGGGGGCAAAUCAGACCUCCACACGCGUUGCCCUCUCCUAGCCAAUAGCUUGCUGAGAACGUGGAUAUUACAACGUGCAGUUUCAUUCAUCAAGGGGAUUUUCAGGCUCUAGCAGCAAACUGCUUUGAGUUUUUGGGUGAAUGCUGGGCUUUUGGGUCUUUGCAUUAACUCUGCCGUAGAAUCAAGCAGGUGCAUCUGGCUGUUAGAAGAAUUAAUGAUCGUGAUUCAGGUAAGGAUAAAUUGGAGAAGUUACUUUCUUUUUUUCCCUUUGGGUGGGUUUGAGAUUUUAGAAGAAUUAGUCCUCUCUUUGAGAAGAGCUCAGAACUAUUUAAGUUAGUCCCUCUGAAUUGCUUUAUAGUGUUACUCAGUGUAUCAUCGUUUUAAUGUGAAAUCCACCCUCUUCAAAAUGUAGUUUCAUUUUCAAACAUUAAAGUGAGGAUUCCGUUUUACUUUCUGUGCAUGAAAUUUUUUAAAUGAAAGAACUAUAGUUGCUAAGAUACUAAUUACACAUAGUUUCCUGGUUUGGAGCUGAAGUCUUAUAAUUUUAGAAAGUAUGCUUUAAAGGUUGGGCAGGGGAAAUCGAUGGGUUUGCAUUUGAUUUAUAAAACAAUGAUGUUACAUGUGUGUCAGACUUUUCCCUAUUAAAGGCCAAAUUUUGAGAUAGACCGCUUAAUCUGUUCUGACGUGAGAUUCCCCCACCCCCCAUCUCUCCUCUCUCCGUGUUUCCUGGUGGUGGGAUCCACUCAGCUCCUCCGCUCAGGCAUGUGGUUUAGUCUGUGUACAUUCAGUGCAGUGGCAUUUUUCUUGAAAAAGUGACUAAGGCUUCUUGGAUGAAUUCUGUCUUUGAAAGAGGUGGUAGAGUUGCAUCAGAAAAGCAUUUACAGUAAAUGGCUCCCCCCCCUUUCCUGUAAUGACCACAUGUGAAAGAAUGCAUUAAUUCUUGUUUUGAGGAAAUGAGAGUUGUAGAAUUCUAUGAAAAACUCCCUUUUUAUCAUUAAUUAACCAGAUUUGAAUGUUAAAAAUUCUAAAAUCUGAACCACUUUCUGCUGUGUAAAUAAAUGUCGCAAAAAUAUCCAGUUUUUCACUCCAUAUUCUAUAUGGAGUAACCACUUAUAUUGAGUUCAAGAAGAGAGGAAAUAAUGUUGACGAUGGCACUAGUUAAAGCAUACGCCUAACCUAAAUUAGUUUCUUCAUAGUCAUUUUCCAUAUUAAAUUAAUAAUUUCUUACGUGUGUUGCUGAUUUGUUUCAGGAUUUGUUUCUCUGUGUGGUAGAAGCUGAAUCUAGAAGGAAACUCCCAUAGCUCAUCUAGCCAGGGGUUCUCUUGGGAAAAGUACCGCCCCCUAGGGGACCUGCUAGGAAUGAGAUAGUGUUUGGUUCUGCAGUGAAGGGCUUUUAAUGGAUGGGAGCCUUGAGAUUUUAGAUGUUCCACCGCGGAAAAGACAGAAAGAGCUGUCCUUUAUCCCCCGUGACUUUCAACUGUCAUUUUGGAUAUAAAAAUAUGUUUAUAAUUACUUGAGCCUUGAGUUAAGUCCAUUUUAUGUAAGGAUGCAGGAUAACAUUUACAUACUUUUAUUUUUUUUUUUUAACGUUUAUUUAUUUUUAAGAGAGAAAGAGACAGAGUGGGAAUGGGGGGGUGGGGGCAGAGAGAGAGGGAGACACAGAAUCUGAAGCAGGCUCCAGGCUCUGAGCUGUCAGCACAGAGCCCAAUGCGGGGUGCGAACUCACAAACUGCAAAAUCAUGAUCUGAGCCGGAAGUCGAAAGCUUAACCGACUGAGCCACCCAGGCACCCCUUGCAUACUUUUAAUAUACACAGAAUAUACUUAUUUUCAUCCUUUGGCCCACCCGUACCUCUCCUAUUUCGUUUUCCAGUACUUUUAAGAUGGAAGGCUUCUGACUUGGCUCCUCUGAAUCCAAGCUGUUCUUUAUAAGUAAGUUGUAAGCAUUUCAUUACAUAGUUAAUUGGACCUAAAAAUUAUUUAUAUAUUAUUUGUAUAUUGGGUAUAUAGUGUUUUAUUAUAAAUUGUUUUUCUUUUACUUUCUCCUUUAUAUUACAUUUAGAGCAUUAUAUUGAUGUUUUAAAGGUUAUAUGUAUGCUAGUUACUAUUUAUUAAUGAAUUUUAUUUCAGAAUAGCAAAUAGGGCGUUACAGAAUUUUUGGUUCUAAAAACAGGGCUUUGGGACUAGUAGGGUUUUGAACCAAUAAUCCAUUCUGUCUCUCUACUUUCAGGAGGGACAGUAUGCAUGCAAGCCACCCAGGUGGGAGGGAUGUUUAUCUUCUCUGUGAAGUUCUCCGAGGAAGACUGCACAUGUACCUCAUUAAUAUGUUUUAGUAUCUUGAAGACUUCAUAUUAAGCUAGUUCUUCCUUAGUAAUAAUUUCCAGGAGUCUUCAUUAUGUCACUGGAAAAACACGACCUUUGGUUUUCCCUCUUUUUGUAGGAAAGGACAGACAGGUAUUGAGAGACGCUUAUAAGUCAUGCUGCAAGCUAGCAGAGGAGUUAAAAACAGACUCAGGUCAGGCCGCCUGGGUGACUCAGUCAUUUAAGCGUCUGACUUCAGCUCAGGUCAUGAUCUCACGGUUUGUGAGUUCGAGCCCCGCGUUGGGGUCUGUGCUGACAGCUCAGAGCCAGGAGCCUGCUUCGGAUUCUGUGUCUCCCUCUCUCUCAGCCCCUUGCCUGCUCACGCUCUAUCUCUGUCUCUCAAAAAUAAAUAAACAUUAAAAAAAAUUUAAAAAGAAAAAACAGACUCAGGUUUUCUUGAACAAUGGUCUUGGCCUCAUUGUCUCCUUACCGUGAACAUGUUCUACAUGUGCGAUUCUGAUUUCUGACUGUGCUGUAAGAAUAGCACAUCAUGGGUAACUGUUGUCAGUGUAGUAGAAUUAAAUCACCAGAAUCAUAGCUGUGAGCUUAUGGUUCCUGGGCACAUGCCCGUGGUGUUCACUCAGACCUGUUGUUUGGGGCCACACUUUUAAUUUGGUAGAUCUUUUUCUUGGAUUGUUAGUCCUUGUGGUAUUUUGUUGUCAUUGUUUUUCUUGUUAUGUCGACGUGAUGUUAAUUAUUGCUUCUCAAUAUUUCUAGGGAAGCUAAUAAUUAAUAAAGUUGUCUUUUGAGUUCUUUAUAAAGUGUCUUCACUCCCUUGAAUUUUCUGUUUCUUCCAGGGUCUUUCUGUUGUUUAUCUUAGUUUUCCGCUUUGCGUCGCAGGCUUUCUUUAAAUGUAUUCCUGCCCUUGACACUUCGUUCACAUAAAGAUGAGGUGGCACGAAGGCUGACCGGGGCUCUGUGCACGUGGGCACGUCUUGCCACUGGCAGCCUCCCCUCUGGUGGCACAGAAGCAGCUCUCAUGUUGGGGAGCCACCAAGCGUCAGAGGAAAGAGGGCUUGACUUUGGGGUUCUCAGAACCACACUAGCGGUUAGUCCUCACCCGACUUUUUGUUUAGUUUCUUUGGAGAGUUAACUUUUCAUUUUGAGUUUUUGCCUGGCGGCCUGUAAGAUUUGUUGUUUUGAGAUAGACCGCUUUUGAGAUAGACCUGAUAAACACAGGAAUUAGGCCUGGGAGGAACGAUUGUUGACACCGGACUUUUCAGUUCAUCUUCUCCUUUCUGCCGUUCUCGAUGUUUCUUUCCCAUAUUGCGUUUGCUUUUUCUUUUCUUUCUUUUUUUUUUUAAUUUAUUUAUUUUGAGAGUGAGUGAGAGAAUGAGCAGGAGAGGGGCAGAGAGAGGGAGAGCAAGAAUCCCAAGCGUGCUCCAAGCUGUCAGCACCCAGAGCCCAGUGUGGGGCUCAAACUCCCAAUCCAUGAGAUCAUGACCUGAGUCGAAGUCAAGAGUCGGAUGCUCAACCGACUGAGCUACCCAGGCACCCCUGUUCUUGCUUUUUCUGGGUCUAGAGCCUCUUUGGGGUUUCACUGGGGAAGUCAGUCCCCACCCCAACCCCCGCCCCGCCGUCUCAGCAGCAACCCUCCGAGAACUCUUUGGGCGGUAAGCUGCCUCUGCUCAACUUUAUCACUCAGUACUUCUCCGUCAUUUUCUGGCUUCCAGACAUUUCUUGAAAUCUCUCAGGCCCCUGAUAGUCUUUUUAUUGUUGUGGGUGUAUAUAAUUUUUGUUUUUAUAACUGCAGUGGGGUCUUUCAUGCGCCCUGACUACUAUUUUGAAAUGGUGUCUUAGUAUAGGUUACUACAACAAAGUACUGUAGACUGGGUGGCUUACAAACAAUGGAAAUUUACUCCUCACAGUCCUGGAGGCUGGCUCAUAGACAGCCAUCUUCUUGCUGUGACCUCCUUUGGUGGAAGGAGGAAGAGAGCUCUCUGGGAUCUCCUUUAUAAGCACACUAAUCCCAUUCCUCAGAGCUCCACCCUCAUGGCCUAAUCACUUCCCAGAGGCCCCACCUCCCAGUGCCAUCAGAUUAGUAUUCUGACUUGGGAAUUUUGGGGCAGACGGGAAGGUCUUUCAUUUGUUGAUUUGUCAGAAGUAUAUCUGAAGAUGGGGCCCUGGGUGGCUCAGUCAGUUAAGAGUCCACCUCUUGAUCUCAGCUCAGAUCUUGAUCUCAGGGUCGUUAGUUCAAGCCCCACGUUGGUCUCCACCCUGGGCGUGAAGCCUACUUAACAAAGAAAAGAAAAGAAGUAUAUUUGAAGAAUUAAAUCAGCCUGGGGAAAGAUUUGAUGGGGGCACAAGAACUGCAGUGAGUAUUGGGUUUGGGGAAACUACUUCUUAGAAUAAGUUGGCUGGGAAGGAACAAUGAGCUGAUGUUGUUAUACAGAUAUGCUUUCCAGCCACGGAGGCUAUCACCAUUAAUCACAGAGCUCUCUCAAGAGGCUCUUCUGGCUCUGUUGCUAGAAGACAAGAUGUGUCUUGUCAAACAUCCAGCUUCGUCGUUAAAAAAAUAUAUAUAUAAAUGUAGUGGUAGUUGUUUCUGAUCAUAAUACAAAUGUAAAUGUGGAUAUGCUUACUUUUCAAUUUCUUCUCUGCCCUUUGGCAUAGGAGUUCCUGAGAGAAUCUACUAUUCCUUCAUUUCUAGAACUUCUAUUCCUUAGGGGAUAGACCCUCCUACUACUUCUCCCCUUUCUUGUAAGAAGCAUCUCAUAUUCUUCCUUCCCAUUUCCUUUGUGGAAAAAAAAAAUCCAAAUUCUUAUCGAUCGUUGUGUUUGUUGUGUAGUACCUGCAAAUGGAUAGCAGAAACAAUGAAGAUGGGAAAAAUUAGGUGUUCGCUGAUUAGUGCUUUAACUUCCCUGACAAAGUGGUAUCCAUUUGUGUCUUAGAAGAAACUCCGAAUUGAUGUUUCCAAUCUUACCAUUAACUCAUUUUACUUGGAAAAAAAAAAUAGCCAUUUUCUUGUGAAAAAUCCUGGAGAUCUUCUCUAGAGGUCCUCCAUAGUUAGGGAUGGUGGCCCUAACAUAAUCUAACCUGAAGCAGAAUCUUCUCAGGCCUGUCUGAUCUCUGGAAGAGUACCAGGAGCCCCAAGUCUACCUCUGGCGUUUGCAAAGUAGUUCAGUUAGAUGCUAAUUAUUCUUUGCGUAGUGGCAUAGAGGCAGUUGAAGAUAGUAAAGGUCCUUACUUACAGGAAACAGUAAGUUGUUCAGCUUAGAGCCUUUGGAGCAGUCCUAGAUCCUAGGGCAGGCCCCCUGAGACCGUGCCCCUGGAAGCGGAUACGGAGAAUACUGAAAUGUCCUGAGCUCCCAGGGAAGCAGGACAUACUUGUAAUUUUACUUCUGGUAUUGGCCAGAAUGAGUAUUAUCAGCCUGUUCUAAGUAACUUUCUUCCCAAAUUUACUUUCUUUUAUCUAUCCCCCUUAACCUGCUGGCGGUGAGGAAUGUGUUGAAUACAGGUUAUCACUUGUAUACUGAAAAAUGGUGAACCUAAAAAGGACCUUCUGUGAGCAUUUAGAACACGCUUACUUUGGUUUUUAGAACCUGGGAUAUUGAUUGGCUUUUACUGUUGGAUGAGAGGAAACCCAGCAAAUUCCUUCUUUUUCCUUUGGAGAAAAUACCGUCUGUAGGUGGUCCCAAAGAAAUGAGACAGCCACAAUAGUUGUCAAACUGGUUGUCUGUUACUCAGAGUAGUUCAGAUAUAGUCUCCCUUUGUUGGGGCCAAGGGAUACAAAUCAAAUCCCAUUCUUCAGGGGGACUUGGGGAUAUAAAGACAUUCAGGGAGCCCUCCCAGCCCUCCUUUUUAAUAGGUGUAAAAUUUACAUGUGGAAAAAUGCACUGAUGUCAAAUGUAGUCCUGUAACCGAACCACAGUUAACAUGUAGAACAUUUCUACCCUCCAGGUUCUCUCAUGCCCCCAUCCAGUCCCUCUCCAUCCCCAUUGACAAAUGCUUUCUGAUUUGUCAUAAUAGAAUUUUUUUCUCCUGUUACUGACCUUUAUAUAGAUGGACUCCACAUGUACUUUUUCAGGCUUGGCCUCUCACCCCAGUUUUAUGUUUUUGUGUGGAUCAGGUGUUCUUUCUUCCUUUAUUGCCAGGUGGUAUUCUGUCAUACGAAUACACCCAAUUUGUCACUCCACUUUCCUAUUGACAGACGUUUGGGUUGUCUUCAUCUUUUCGGCUGUUGGGAAUCUGAAGCUGUUGUGAGAGCUCACUCACCCCUCUUUGUAGAUCCAGGCUUAAUUGCUGGGCCGUACCGUGCACGUAUGUCUUUAUGAGAAACUUCCAAGCAGUUUUGCAAAGUAAUUGUGCCUUUUAUGCCCCAGCCAGCAGUCGACGAGAGUUCCAGGUGUUCUGGUUCCUUUUUAGCAUUUGUAUAUUGUUGGUUCUUCUGAUUUUAGCCAUUCUUCUGGAUAUGAAGUGGUUUCUCAUUGUGGUUUUUAAUUUGUAUUUCCUUGAUGACCAACAUAUUCUUACUGGGCGUUUGUAGACUUUCCUUUUUGGAGUAUCUGUAUAAUAUUUUACCCAUUUUUUUUUAAUUUUUGAAGGGGCCAUUUUAUAUUGUAUGUCUUACUAUUAUAGAUUGGUAAGAGAUUUUAUAUAUAUAUAAAAUCUGGAGAGAUAUAUAUGGAUUAUAUAUAUAUAUAUAUAUAUAUAUGCAUAUGUAUAUAUAUCAGAAAACUGUGAUGCAAAUGUAUUCCAGUCUGUGGCUUACCUUUCAUUGUCUUAAAAAUGUCUUAAGGUAGAAGUGAAGGUUCCUUUUUUUGCACGUUUCUCGAGUUGUUCCAGUACAAUCUAUUGAAAAGACUUUCUUGUCCCCAUUGAAUUGCGUUGGCGCCUUUGUUGCAAAUCCGUUGUCCAUAUAUGUGUUGGUCUUUUCAAAGGAACCUGAAGAAUGUUUGCAUAGACCACGUGUGGCAUGCACUUAAGUCUAGGAAAUGAGUUCACAUUGGCCAACUGUAAUAAGCCUCAAGUGGCUGACUGCCUUAAACUUCUGUAUCAUGGAACAUUUGCGUUAAAGGUCACUGACAGACACAUAUGGGGGGCACUUUUUGCUUGCUAACCCAGCUGAGACUUCCAGAAGUUCCAGUGUUCCCACACUAAAUAUAAGGCUCUUAUCUGCAAAGAGAGAAUACCGUCAAGUCUGUGAGACCCAGCCUCAGCCUGCAGGCAACUUCGCAGAGAACUAAAUAGUAAUUUUUCUUAUUUGAAAACUGGAUAUGCAUGAAUUUAACAUAACUGAUUUGGAACUCAUUAUAGUUAUGUGUGGGUCCGACUAAAAAAAUAUUACUCUUAAGAAGGAGAUUUUUCAUAAUGUAAAGAAGCUUGUGAAGAAAAAUUUGUUCUAAUAACUUGUGCACAUUGUGUGCAGAAAUAGAUUUGCUGACUUUAAACGAGUGUUGCCUAUGAGUAGAAUCUCUACCUGGAAAGGUUUUUGUAAACAGUUUUACAUAGUAUUUUUACUUGAAUAUAGUAAAUAAAAAAAAAUUUAUUUUAAAAGAUGCCUUAAUUUGAAAACCAAAGGAUGAAUAGAGGAAACAUACCAAAGUUACCCAGGUAGAAUAAAUGGUGAUAGUCUCUUUUUUGAUACCUUGAUUUUUAGAAUCUUAGCAUUCGUGUUUUCAUGGUAUGGCACUGGAGCUCAGCGCUUGAGCACAUGACUGACGCUGGCCUGUCUGGGUUGGGCCACCAGCUCUCCUAGUCCUCACAGGCAACGGACUUAAGCCUCUGUGUCUCCCCCCUAAAACUCGGAGAAUAAGAGUGUCUGAAGGAAGUUCAGACUUAGAGCUGAGCAGGCUCAUAGUGAACCCUAUGUAACUUUUGGCCAGUCGUAACAUUAUAUUACUUUCAUGAUAAAAACAUAUGCAGAAAGGAAAUUUUUUUAGAAAGAAAAAGCCAGGAAGCAAAAGUAAAUUACAGUAUCCUAUGGUUCAGACACCUCGCUGUUCAUAGUAGACUUCCCAGUUGGUUGAGUUGGUCAGAUUUUACUGUUAAUUCCCAUUCUCCCCCAGAAGGGGGUAGAACUAAGGGAUUUUCUUUUGAGCUCCUUGGGAGAUGUUUGCCCUGAAAAUACAAGAGGCACUCCAUGCUAAUUGCUAGACUUACUCUUGUCUCCAUAAAAAGAUUUUACAAGGAAAGCUAUUCUUUCAAGCUCAUGUCUUCCUCUCCUCCUGCUUUGCUCAGUUAACUCAAGUAUAACACAUCCACUCACUUGAAAUACCACUUUCCCUAGUCCUGUGUUUGGACUUGCACAGCCGUGCUCAGCUCCUGGCCCCUGUUUUUGCUUUCUCCAGCAAUUUCCCGGUCAGAGCGGGAACUAGAGCCGAGUCUCGGAAAAGUGGCCGCGAUGGGCCUUUUUGCCCGCUCGUCUUCCCCACGGGACGUUGGAAGGGGGGAGGUGUCUGACCCUCACUGUAAUCCUGUGGGCACACGUAGCAGGGUUGAUGAUACCCGGCAGCAAAAUCCAGCUGGGGCUAAACGUGAAGGUUGCUAACGCACUGUUGAUGAUGUAAUUCCAGGUGAGAUACGAUGUUUUUGUCACACGUACAAACCAGGUUUGCCCAUAGAAGGAAGUGUGAGCCUUCUCCACAUGGUCACAGGAUGGCCAUCAUAGUUCCUGUGAAGCAUUUGUCUUUGUUGUGCACAUGUGGUUAAGGCUUGAGGAAAACUGAUACUAUUACGGCUGACUUACCUGAUCUUACGAUAUUGGAGAUGAGACUUCUCAUGAGGUCUGCUCAAUGCAAUCCAGUUCUUGUUUAUGUUCUCGGUGAUUUUUGGUAAAGGCUACAGGUGCAUAGAAUCCUUGCCUGUGGCUCUCCUGAGCUGACAUUCUGCAAGGUGACUUUUCCUCCCUGCUGUCCCCGCCCAUCUCGUCCCCCAGCAGCUCCUGCAAGCACUUGUUAGCUCGCUCCUCCACCUCACUUCCUUCUGCAGCCGCUCCUACGUCACAGGCGAGCUCACUUGGUUGGGUUCUCGCCCUGUCAACAAGCUUCGUCCGCGCCUGCCUCGCCUCUGGUUGCAGCGGAAGAGGAGUCUUUCCUUAUGCCCACAGCUCCAGAUCCCAGCCCCAGCUUCCCGCACCUUCUCAGAGACGUUCUCUCUGACCUGAUACCUGCCAUUCACUUUUUCCUAUGCACAUUUAAGCCUACACAUGUCUCGGGGCGCCUGGGUGGCUCAGUCGGUUGAGCGUCCAACUUCGGCUCAGGUCAUGAUCUCGAGGUUUGUGAGUUCGAGCCCCACGUCGGGCUCUGUGCUGACCGCUCAGAGCCUGGAGCCUGCUUCAGAUUCUGUGUCUCUGUCUCUGUCUGCCCCUUUCCUGCUCACACUCUGUCUCUCUCUCAAAAAUAAACAUGAAAAAAAAAUUUAAACCUACGCAUCUCACUAAACGCACUCGGGCGCGCGCACACACACACACACACACACACACAUACACAGGACUUCAGUAUUGCCUUGCUUUUUGGCUCCCUCUCUGUUUACUUGUCCUGCUAGGGCCAAACUUCUUGGAAGAAUUGCCUCUAUUGCUGCCUCCUCUUUCUCUCACUCCCACCCCCUCCUCCGGGUGCUCCAGGUUGGCUCUCGUAUCUGUGACCAAACUGGUACUGCUCCAGCCAGAGCUGGAGGCGGCCUUCCUAUCCUGCUGUUGCCACGUGGACCAGAUACGUUUGGAUUCUUACCUUCCAGGACCUGACGACAGUGACGGUGUUUGGUGUCCUGUCCUCUUUGGCCUCCAGGACCCCGCCUUGCCCCUUCAGCUUGUUCUCCCUGUUGCCUUCGUUCUUUCCAGCUGUCUCUAAGCUCCAUGCUUUGUGUUCAGAUGCUAAUGGGACAUUUCCACUUUGAUAUCUUGCUGGCAUCUCCUAUCCAGCAGGUUCCAAACGGAUCCAAGUUACCCAGGCUUGAAACCUGCGGCUUCCUGACCCUUCUCUCUCCUCCCCUUCCAAAUCCACAAAGAAACCAAGUCUGGUCAAGUUCUUGAAUCCAUCCGCUUUGUCUGCACUGUGUCCUUCCUGUUUUUCAUCACCUUUGACCACAGUUCUUGCCUUUGCACCUGUCUCCCUGCGAUUGGUAUUCUCUCCCAAUCCACUCUGCAUUUAGGGGUCUUCCUGACUGCAUCCAGAGUGAGGCCUCUAAAAAGCAUCUGUGUUGUGUCACUUCAUUCCCUGAAUUCUUCCCCGUUUCUAUGAUCUCUUCUCCCCAAAUUGACUGGGGCCUCUGCGAGGCUUGCAUCCUCACCCCGUGCAUAAAGAAGUCAUCAAAUCACUUGGGAUUUACUCAGAGAUGGAGAACAGAGUUACUUUCCCCUCCACACAGCAGAAUUUCAUGAAAACCCUCACUGGACGUCAGUCCCUCCACCCUCCAGAAUUCCUAAUUGCUCCCAGCCCUCCACCCUUCCCCCCACUCACCUGUCUGUGCUUCCCAGCCCCGGCCUCCCCCUACCCGUAGUUCUCCUGCCGUUUCCCCACUUCUCUUUUUGUACUCCAAGCAGCUCCGCCCUUUGCUGAACGUUCUGAUCUGAGUUGCAUCCCUGUCUUAGAUUGGGUUCUAAUUAAUUGGUUCAUGGACAGUGCCUAAAACUGUGUGACUCAUAGUAGUGAUCAGUCAGACUUGCCCCAAUGAUAAUAAUAACAUUUGCUAUUGACAGUAUUACUUCCAACAGGUUUCCAGACCUGUAGACCAGAUGGGAGCCCCCUUUGGGUGUGCCAGUAGCGCCUUGUGCCUCCAUUAAAUCAUAAUAGCCAGUUCUCUGAGGGAAGGGUGACGACACCCCGCUCGCCAUCCAGCGCCUAGCCCAGUGCCUGGUGUGGAGUGCACAGUGUGGACUGUGGACGCCAUAAAUACUUCUUGAACAGGUUUAAUAAAAUGACUCACAGAAAGAACAUUCCAGUUCUGUUCUUAUCUUUAAUAAGGCACUCUUUAAAAAAUAAGACUUAACGAACGAAACAUACGUGUGUUCUAGGAGUUUGUCACUAAAUCCCGUGUUACUGAGUGAGCCUGGGCAAACUCUCUGGGUGUCUGUGUCCCCCGAACAGCUUUACCUAAGGGCCUUUGUCCAGCUCCAAAACUCUUCAGGUCUGCAGCUGGAGUUCUCAGUAAGGAUGGAGUACAUUUCUAGGACCCAGAGUUUCCUGUGUUCCUUCCCGUUAGCUGAUGAGAAGACGUCAUUGUGUUGCUUGGGCUUGCAGGUUCUUUCCUAGUUGUGGGGAAUUUUUCAAGCUGGCUGUAAUGAGAGGGUCUCAAAAAACCACAGAGAGGUCUGGUAUGUUCUCUUCAAGUGAAACACGACGUCCCUUCUUAUUUUCAGUUUUGAUCUUCUGUGUUACGGAGCUGACUUCUGUAAUUAUCCCUGAAGAAUCUAGUAUUAGAAAUAAGGUCUAGUUUAUUUCAAUACCUGUGCCUUUGACAUCCUUUAAACUCUUCUUUCAUCGCCAAAUCAGAAGCCUUCUUCGGGACUUCUGAUUCUAACGAUUUUGGUUCUUUCAAGUAUAUAUAUGUAUAAUUAAUUGUAAAAUAUGUACAGCAUAAAAUGCAGUCUUCACAUUUGUAAGUGUGCAGGUCCGGGGCAUCGAGUACAUUCACAUUGUUGAACAGCUGUCAGCAUCAUCUAUCUCCAGAACCCUUUGGUCUUGCAAGACUGAAACUCCACACCCAUUAAGCGCUAACUCCUCUUUUCCCCUCCCCCAGCCCCGGGCAACCACUAUUCUGCUUUCUGUCUAUGGAUUGACUACUGUAGGUACCUCAUUUCAGUGGAGUCACACAGUCCUUGUCCUCUUGCCACUGGCUUAUUUCACUUCGCACAGUAUCCUCAAGGUUCACCCUUAUCGUGGCAGGUGUCAGAGUUGCCUUACUGUCUAGGGCUGAAUAAUAUUCCAUCGCGUUUAUAGACCACAUUGUGUUUAUCCGUUCAUUCGCUGGUGGGCACUUGGGUUGCUUCCAUCUUUUGGCUGUUAGGAGUAAUGCUGCUGUGAACAUAGAUACGCAUGUAUCUCUUCGAGACCCUUCGAAAUAUUUUGGAUAAUGAUUUUUUUGAACCUUCUGUCUUGAUGCUUCUGUUGUUUUCAUGAACUCCUGCCCUUCCUCUUUUGGCCACUAAACUACCCCACUCCCAUCAGCUUUCUUCACUAUUUCCCUAAUAAUGUCCUGCUGUUGGGAUGGAUCCUCAUGCUUCAAGAUGACCCUCACAGAACCACUGCAUGGAGAAACACUGACGUCUGAGAAGUAGGAUUUGUUCGCACCUCCGACAUUCCCAUCGAUUCCUGCUGUUUUCUGAAAGGUGUGCCACUGGUUCUUAAAGUGAAAAAAAUAAAAAUCCCUUAGUCAUGGGGCAGAUUUUUGUGACUAUAGGCCUUCUGUAUUUUGAAAUUUAACUGUUAAUAGUAGUAUCUUCUUGAUAUAUCAAUCUUUUUUUUUUUUUAAUAUGAAAUGUAUUGUCAGAUUGGUUUCCAUACAACACCCAGUGCUCAUCCCCAAAGGUGCCCUCCUCAAUACCCAUCACCCACCCUCCCCUCCCUCCCACCCCCCAUCAACCCUCAGUUUGUUCUGUUUUUAAGAGUCUCUUAUGCUUUGGCUCUCUCCCACUUUAACCUCUUUUUUUUUUCUUCCCCUCCCCCAUAGACUUCUGUUAAGUUUCUCAGGAUCCACAUAAGAUGAAAACAUAUGGUAUCUGUCUUUCUCUGUAUGGCUUAUUUCACUUAACAUAACACUCUCCAGUUCCAUCCACGUUGCUACAAAAGGCCAUAUUGCAUUCUUUCUCGUUGCCAAGUAGUAUUCCAUUGUGUAUAUAAACCACAAUUUCUUUAUCCAUUCGUCAGUUGAUGGACAUUUAGGCUCUUUCCAUAAUUUGGCUAUUGUUGAGAGUGCUGCUAUAAACAUUGGGGUACAAGUGCCCCUAUGCAUCAGCACUCCUGUAUCCCUUGGGUAAAUUCCUAGCAGUGCUAUUGCUGGGUCAUAGGGUAGGUCUAUUUUUAAUUUUCUGAGGAACCUCCACACUGUUUUCCAAAGUGGCUGCACCAGUUUGCAUUCCCACCAACAGUGCAAGAGGGUUCCCAUUUCUCCACAUCCUCUCCAGCAUCUAUGGUCUCCUGAUUUGUUCAUUUUGGCCACUCUGACUGGUGUGAGGUAAUAUCUGAGUGUGGUUUUGAUUUGUAUUUUCCUGAUGAGGAGCAACGUUGAGCAUCUUUUCAUGUGAUAUAUCCGUCUUAUAAUUGUGAUACUGACAUUUAUUUAUUGUCAUGGAAGCAAUAUAUGACAAGGGUAGAGAACAUGUAAGAUACAGAAAAAAAAAAUCACACACAGAAGCACUUACUGAAAGGUGACCAUUAUUAACAUCAUGUUGCAUAUUCUUCUGGUCUUUUUAAUGUGAAUUUUUGCAUAUUUAAGAUCCUACUGUUUUGUAUUUCUUUUUUGCACAUAAUAAUAAGGUAUAAGCAUUCUUUUGUUAAGAAGGUCUUUGUAAAUAAUUACGUUAUGUGACUGAAAAUAUUUAUAGGGUGCUGACUAGCUUACAUAACAUUUUUCCAGUUAUAAAAAUAAGAUUUCCUUUAGAAAAUGUCAUAUAUAAAUAUCUUAAUAUUGUAAAGAAGUAACAAAAAAUCUAAAUUGCCUGCCCCUUCUUAAUCUUCUAAAAUUACUCUUUUCUAGUAUCUUUUUGAGAUUAGCUUUUGUAUACCCCAUUUGUCCGUGCUUCCUUCUCUCUCCGCUUUCCUUUCUUACUAAGCAAUGUUGAUACCAUCUUCAUACACAAUUUUAAUUUCUUUUUAAAUUUUUUUUCAACGUUUAUUUCUGAGAGACAGAGAGAAACAAAGCAUGAGGAGGGGAGGGGCAGAGAGAGAGGGAGACACAGAAUUCGAAGCAGGCUCCAGGCUCUGAGCUGUCAGCACCGAGCCCGAUGCGGGGCUUGAACCCACAAACCAUGAGAUCAUGACCCAGGCUGAAGUCAGACACUUAACUGACUGAGCCACCCAGGCGCCCUCACAAUUUUAAUUUUUUUUUAAUGUUUAUUUAUUUUUGAGAGAGAGAGAUAGAGUGAAAGCAGAGGAGGAGCAGAGAGAGAGGGAGAGACAGAAUCUGAAGCAGGCUCCAGGCUCUGAGCUGUCAGCACAGAGCCCGACGCAGGGCUCGAACCCACGAACCGUGAGAUCAUGACCUGAGCUGAAGUUGGAAGGUUAACUGACUGAGCCACCCAGGUGCCCCCAUACACAGUUUUAUAUCCAGCAGUUUCAUCCAACCUGUAUCCUGCUAUUUCCAAUGUCAUUAAGUACUCUCCAUUAAACACAUGAAUUUACCUACUGAGUCAGAUGCUCCCCUCCAUGUUUAAUAGCAAUUUUAGGUGAUUGUAAGUAUGUCCUUGUACAGUUACCUUCCUGUGUAUCUGUGAUUGUUUCUUGAGGUGGUAUUUAUAGAGCUGUUCUGAGUCAGAACAGUUUUAAGGCUUUAUAAAAAGAUACUGCUUGGUUUCCUGAAAGGAUGCUCUCACCUCACUCUGCCAGCUUAACUCUUUGUUGUCCAUCUUUGUGAAUUUGGUGGUUGUUUGCUAGUGAAAUCCAACUCUGUUUCAUGUUAAUUGGCCAUUUAUAUUUUGGAGUGAAUUGUCUGUUAAUAACUUUUACCUUAUACAUUUAUAAAUGAUAUGAGGUUUAUUGCCCUGUUGCAAGUAUUUUGUUUUUUUCUUUACCUUUCACUUCAGUUGCUUUUGGACUUAUAGGUCAUACAUGUUCACAUAAAUGUGUUUACAUAAACAUUUUAAUGUAGUCAGAUUGAUUUCCCAUUAUAUUGCCUUUUGUUACUUUUUUCGUUACUUCUUUUCCUAUCUCUGAUUCAGAAAUGUCUCCUAAUUGUAUUCUUUUCCCCCUUCCUACAUUUAACUCUUUAAUCUCCACAGAAUUAAUUUUGGUGAAGGUUGUAAAGUAGGAGCUCAUAUUAGUUGUUCUAGAAUAUCCUCUUACUCCCAUGUGUGUCCCAAAAUCCCAGCGAAGCUGCAGCGUGCACCAAAACAUGUGCUUUUUCUUACUUUAGUGUCUUGAUCUUCCCACUGGACAAGAGGAGGAGGCUCUGAUGUAUACCUGUGAAGGGAGGAGCCAGGAAGAGGGCCUGGGACCAGCUCUCAGAGCUCUACCCCCAGUCCAGAACUUGCCCUGUCUCUGUCCAGCUCAGGAAGGUACUCCGCACACACUGCCGGAGGACCGAGAUAACAGUGACAAGGGUCAGGGGGCCCGUGAGUUAGGGACUGAGUGGCCCAGGGUGAGCCCCUCUCAGUCUUGACCCUGCUUCAGUUAUUCACAACUACGAUAAGCAACCAGGACUGUGCUCGUUGGAGACUUUACCUGAACCUCCAACUGUAGAUGGAAGGCAGCACGUGGUGAAGAAGAGCCCUAACCUAGGAAAGCCAGAAAGUUUGGGUCCUGUUGCAGCUGUCAGUCAACGGUGCAACCUAGGAAAGUCUCUGAACUUCUCUAAUUUCCUGACUUACAGAAUUACGGAGCUGAGAUGUAUGUUCUCUGAGGUGUCUUCUCAGUAAAUUAUGGUCUAGGCAAGUGGCAGAGCUAGAUCGUGCUGUGAAUCUGUUGGGGGAUCUUUCUUGAGAACUAAUUCAUCCUUCCUUAAUUCAGCCAACCAGUGUGAUACCGGAGAUUAGGAUCAUUUAACAAUGUCAUUUAGUACUCUACCUUGGAGAAUUUGUGCUUUUUACCUUUCCUAACUUUUCCUUAAUCUACCUCAGGCUUCCUUGCCGAAAGACAUCUGUUUUUCCUAACAAUUUCUUCUUUUGCCCAGCCACAUCUUGUGUUUAGGAAUUAAAGAAAGAUGACCUAGUUAUCAAGUACCCAGAACUGAUUCCUGUCACUGACCUUGCCCUACCACUUGCCCGAAGCCGUGACACACAUUUUUCUAAAAAGCUGAAAUAAAAAUGGGAAAACCAUUUUUGAAAACUGUGAAGCAUUAAUAAGGUGAUAAAAGUAGUAUCUAUGAGACACAAAUACCUGCUCUCAACCAUGUUAAUUGCUUACUAUUGGUAUUCAUAAAUCAUUUAUUAACAUGUCAGUAACUGAAAUUGCAUUGAGAAACAACCAACCACAGGCCAAACCUUUGGAAUUUCACGUAUCUUUAUAUUAACAUACUUUAUUUUAGAGAAGUAGCACAGAGAAUAUGUCUUAAGUAGCUCUUGUAUAAUAGAGUCAUCUGUCAGUCGGUCCAUUGUAGUCAGAUGUGUUUUAACACACAUCUCCCACUUUUUGAUUUCCAGAGCAAGUGAACGUGGUCUGAUAUGUGUGGCAUAACUUAUUUAACACAUAAGGAUAAUUCAGAUUCUAUCUAAUGGUGAUCUUUUUACUAGUUUCGAGGCUGCAGAUGAAAAUUUCAGUGCACUGGCAUUUUCCUCUGGAGGAUGUUAUUUGCUGUACUAAAACACAGUGACCACUUGAAAUCUGUAGAACUUGGGCGGAGACUGGAUGAAUCUAAACAGCUUUCUCCUUUGUGCUCCAGGAACACAGAACACUAUAUAUUAAUACGUAUAUUAUUUCUUUAAUGUAUCCUUUAUGUGUUUAUACACAGCUGCAGCUGAUGUUUUGUUCGAUUACAAUUCUGUAUUGCCUGAUCUUCAGAUAACAUGGAAAAAUAGCCUUCAAAGUAAACCUUGAAUGGAUAUGAUCUUCAGAGAAAACCUUUCCUUUAUUAAUUAAACUUUCACUUCUCACUGUGCAUUGCUUUGAUCUCAUAGUUUUAAAAAUGUCCCGAGGCCUUAUUUUCAAGGCUUCCAAACAGAUUAUUACUUCUCAAAAGCCAUACUAUAUUCAUGGCUCAAUGAAUCCUAAAGACAGUAUUUUUAAAACCCUCUUAAGCUUAUUUUUCUUAUGUGCUCGUCUACUGCAUAAUUUUCGUUGCUAUGGGUCACAUGAUCCUUCCCGUCUGUAACACAGGCACUUAAAAUUUUUACUUCCUGAUUGAGCCAUCAAGAUUACGUAAAAUGUAAAUCGGUCUAAAUACCCCAAAGCAGGAAUUUUAAGGAAAAGAUGUUUUUUUCCUCUGUUUCUUUAUUGACGCCUAAAAAAUCAGAGUGAGCGUGUGCCUGCCUAUCUGUACUUGGAAAUGAGAGACGGUUAGGGAUUUUUUGUGUGUCCCGUCCCCUUUCACAUUGAAUCAGACUUUGCUUUCAUUAUAAAAAUAAUGUAGCAACUAGAUAGACCGUGGGAGUGGUGUAGUUGCAGGGCUGAAAUCAAAAUGGUUCCCAUUACUGAGAGAGCUGUUCAUUUACUUAUUACUCCUUUCAUGAUCUGAGUGAAGGUACAGCAUCUCUCAGAAGGUAACGAUCUGAUGCUUCAGAAUUGUAAAUGGCCAUUUAGUCUUGCUUGCUGCCUGAUAGAAAUGAAAGUAAUUUCCAGAAGGCUGGACGACACUUGUUUUAUCAUGGAUCUUAAAAUCCUUCACAUUUUCUCAGAGCAGCUUUGAAGUUGUCAUAGUAACAGCAUGACAUUUGAAGAGUCUUUUAAGUAGUUCUUUAGCUAGAGUUAAUUAAUUUUAUUAACUCUAGAUGUUUUUCUUCUUACUUCUCUCUGACAAACAGGGGCCGUAAUUGCUCAAAUAUGUAUUUCAUGUUCUUUAUUUCUUGGUGACUACAAUUUGAGAACUUGAUGUUUUGUUAAGCUGUUUCAGGAAAAGAACGAGAAUGUCACCGAUUGACUUCAGAAAGGUUAAACUUGGGGUUUUAGUUACUCGUCUGUAAAAUUGCACUACCACGAUAGGACCAGAACUUGGUUUUAUUUAAAGAGGUGGAUUAUGGGAGAUGUCCCCCCAAAUUUAAUGGUGAUUUGCUCCAGGGAUUAUAGCUAUCCUUUGGUUUGAUUUGGAUAUAUUUAAAAUAAGAAUUGAAGAACACGGAAGGGGGAAUGUGUCAGACUUACAGGAGAAAAUUAUUUCUUUAAAAAUGCAACACUCAGAUACAUCACCAAAAGCAUAUUCCACAAAAGAAAAAAAAAUGGAAUAAUCUGACUUUGUCAAAAUUAAAAAUGUAAUAAUACUCUUUGGGACUCUAAAAUCUGCUAAAAUAAAUGAUCCUCUAGGAAAGUUUGUGGGAACCUUCUACCGGGAGAAAGUAGGUCGGGAUCUUCUGUUUGUAAAGCUCCAUGGCAGAAAUUCUUGCCAUUAUGGUGAUUGGUGAGAAAGGGUCAGGUGGAGGGUCAGAAGAAAUAAUGAUCCGUACUAGGUCUGGAAGCUGGAACUUUAAAAAGUAUCAGGUGGUCGGUGCUUUUGUUUGCUUGUAAGAGUGACCAGAGAGGUGAAUACAGAAGGUAUCAUGUGAGCUCUGGGGGUUUAAUGCUGAGGCCGGUAUCCUUCCUGUCCUGGGGAGUAUUUGUUCAGGCAGGGGCAACUGAAGACCAAGGGGACAGCAGCGUGUGCCCCCGACAGCAGUAAAGGUGCUAAUGCACAUCCAGUGAUGUCAGGAGUUACGAGCCAGUGGUUUCAAAACACUGCAGUAAACAGGGUCAAAGUGUCCCGGUUUUGCUGGAAGAAGGUUUGUUUUUAUGAGCUGGACAGUACGUGGAUGAAGUAAUUUUUCAAAACAAACCAAAUUUAUACGCUUUUUGUUUGUUUGUUUUACUUUGUGGGUUUUAAAAAAAUUAACCAGAUGAGGUUUAGUAAGGGUUACAUUUUUAAACAAAAUUAUACUUUUUCCCUUUUUUAAAAAAAAAAAAACGGUUUUCUAUGGUUUUCACAGAGGAAAUGAAAAUACCUCCGAUCUAGGAUUUUUAAAUGGAGUUUUAGAGAGCAAGCUGGAAGCCAGUGUGCAGCAACCGCCAAUCACAAUCACUAGUAAAAUAUUCCUUGUAAUUUUGUACCUUCUGCUCUUCUUUAGACAGGCAUUUAAGUACCAGAAAGUUAAUGGCACAGAAUACUGCUGACUGCGUGGUUCUCGUCUUAAUGCAUUUUCCAACCUUGAACCUGAGAAUACCAGAGGCUGGGGACUCUGGACACUCCUCUGCGCAGUUUUCUGCCGGUGGCCUGGUUCCUGAGGUAACAAGUGGGUGUCCCGGGCGUGUGUGUGUGUUAACAACAGCAGUGAUGCCACGUGGUGCCCAGAGGUCGCCGCGAUCUGUCCCGGGGGUUCCUGGUCCUCGGGGCUUCUGAGAUGAACUGUGAACUUGGGGCAUCCUGAGAAGUACAGGCGUUUUGGAGUGUGCCACAGCAAAUCUGGAUGUCGGCAUAAACACAGCUCUCAAAGUGAAAGCAGGGGCCUCGAGGAAGGAAUUACCCUCAUCUCAUUCCCGACCUGCUUACUGUGCUGGAAAACAAAGUAAGUUUUGUUUGUUUCUUUGUUAGUCAGUCGCUGCUACAUGUUUUCUCUUGCUAACAUUGUAUUAGACACUCCAUAUCUGGCAAACGCCAAGUUUUUCCCCCCUCAUUGGGAAGUAGGAUAUGAAGUUUGUUAAAUAGCUACUUGCUUCUUUAAUCUUUUCUGUCUCUCUUCCUAUAUCUAGCGUGCUGGCUUCCUUGUUGGAGAUCGUAUGAGACUGAAAUUUAUUAUCAAUGAGAAAACACAAAGUUCUUUUUUUCUUCUUCUUUUUUUAAACAAUCCAAGAACCUUGCUGUUAAUUAAAGGACAGUGACACAGGCAAAACUUUUUUUACGUGGUGCAGCCAGCAGCAUAUCUAGCAAAAGAGCCCCAGUUCACCGUCCUUAUUUCCAUUGGGAAGCAG
RNAcentral lists this long non-coding RNA (108758 nucleotides) under Lynx pardinus (Iberian lynx). The stretch from base 31487 to 31571 matches the Rfam family "tRNA". The record is from RNAcentral. Lineage: Eukaryota; Metazoa; Chordata; Mammalia; Carnivora; Felidae.